This 105565-nucleotide long non-coding RNA is filed under the name Coffea arabica (coffee). RNAcentral describes it as "long non-coding RNA (CARA_LNC003142)". The stretch from base 41113 to 41180 matches the Rfam family "mir-302 microRNA precursor family". Lineage: Eukaryota; Viridiplantae; Streptophyta; Magnoliopsida; Gentianales; Rubiaceae. The record is from RNAcentral.
UUUUUUUUUUUUUUUUUUUUAAAUGUAGGAAAAAACCAUCAAAUUGCCACUGAAAAUUGAAAACUAAAAGAAUCAUCAUCUUAUAAGCACUUCAAAUAAAAAAAAAAGAAAGCUAGUUAGUUAUUUUCCGUCUGACAGAUAAAUCCCAACUAAUAAAUAAGUUUGUGGUUCUUUUCCUCAGUACAGGACUUAGACGGUUCCUAAUUCUUCAAUGCAAAAUUUUUUUUUUUAAAAAAAGGUAUAUUUGUUUUGCGCAUGAAGCUUCCAAAAUCUUUAAAAUUUUCAUGUUCCAGGCUGCAAUUGUUCUUAGUUGUGAAUAGCGUACACUUUUGCUAAUAUGAUUGAGAGUGUGAAUUUUUAGGCGGGCAAUAGAUAGAGAAAAAAAAUGAAAAUUUAAAAUAAUGCAAGUUGGGUGCAAUUACAGAAUAAGAUUAAAGUUUUUAUAAUUUACCCUAACAUGUUUUCUAAUUUGUCAAAGUUAACGGCGGCCACCACCCAAAAAUUUUCUACGUCAAUAUUAUUGUUAAUUCUUGUUUUGCACAUUCACAUUUUCAAUUUUGCUAUGGAAUAUCAGAAGCUUUUCUAGGCUAAAGGUCUCAACUCAACUAAGUGUGGAUUGUUUUGCACAUCCACAUUUCUUGGUUAUUUCUCAGAUCCAAGAAGUGCCCUAAAUGAGCACGUUCACAACAUAUACGUGCAUGCAUGACGUCCUUUGCUUCAUUUCAUGGCGGCACCGCAAUGAACCGCCGACUCAUUCAUGGCGGCUGUCCGCUGAGUCCCAGUACUCAUAGAAAAUCCUCUUUUGAUGAAGUCACUUGGAAUGUUUAAGUAGCUUGCUUUCACCAAUUGUCAUGCACUAGUAGGUGAAAAUAUCUCAUUCAGGCAACUCCUUGAUUGAGUCGUCAACGUAGUGUGAAUGGAAAUUGGAUGGAAAGCCUAGAUUAGGUCAAAAAUACUUUCUUUGGAGGGCCAAUCAAUCGACUGAGAAAUUCUCAAGUUUUUUUGCCAUAAGAGAAAUUUUCAAUUCGAAGGGUAUGAUUUAAAGUUUUUGUGCGAUGUUCCAAUUUUGCGAGUUUAUCUGCGGCACCCAUUUGUACGAGUUCCCUCUACCAUAAAAAUGAAAAAGCUGUCAUGGUCCUAUGAAAUUUUAAAAAGGGUUAAUUCCACUUUGUCCCCCCAAACUUUGGACGAUUAUCCACUUAAGUCCCUAAACUUCAAAAUGGGACACUUAACUCCCUAAACUUAUAAAUACCUCCCACUUAAGUCCCUGAACUUAUAAAAUGGGACACUUAAAUCCCUAAUCCCUUAUAAAAUGGGACACUUCGACCACCAACGUCAUUCAAGAUUUGUUAACAAUUUUCCUUAAGUGGGAGAUAUUUAUAAGUUUAGGGACUUAAGUGUCCCAUUUUGAAGUUUAGGGACUUAAGUGGGUAAUCAUCCAAAGUUUGGGGGGACAAAGUGGAAUUAACCCUUUUAAAAAUAUUCGCAGAUAUCAAUUUCAUUUAAAAAUAUUCAUUCCCUGUUUUUUAAGAAAUUUUUCUUCUUUUUUUUGGGAAUUAAGACUAAAGAGUGAAUUCUUUUUUUCUUUUUUUUUUGGUUCCUGUAUGCCCUUUUUCUUGGUCAGGAGUAGACAGCCAUUUUCUUAACCAAGACCAAAGAAGUAAGAGGCAGACUAAAGGGCUUGAAGGCAGUUGGCAGUUGGCAAUGGGCAUAAAAUGGGAGAGGAAGCCAAUUAGCAAUUUCGCUCCCAUCUCAUCCCCACCCAAAAAGCCACGGCCCCACUGGCGUACGUCACCACCAAAAAAAUCCAUGCUGCCCCGCCCAAUUGUUGUAGUAUAAAUACCACAACCUGUUCCCAGCAAUUUCCCUACCAGUGUUCUCUACCGGUAAAUUCUGCCAGUGUUCUGCUUUUAAUAAUAUUACUGCCAGUUUUAUACGUAAUUGCCCAUAUAAUAUACAUACUGCGAGCACUGAGAAAUGAGGGGACAAACCGGUACUGUUGUUUUGGCCUUCCUCUUGGUAUGGGCCUUCAACCUCAAGCUCGCCGAGCUGCCGAUUUUCAUACGGCAGAGCGGGGCGGACGACUCAGUAGCCCCACAGCCACAACCCAUGCCCAUCGCCAUCGACGACGACCUCGAGCGAGGUACAAGUGGAAGACUACCUGAAUCAGAUGAUCAUGGUUCCAAAAUUCCCGACAUGCCAACCAAGCUGCUGUGGGGGCAGAUGGUCAUCGGAGUUUGUUUUCCGGCUGUUAAUACCGCCUUGCUAGCUCUCCAUACUCCGGCGCCUCUCCCCAGGACCUUUCCCUGGUUCUGCCUGACAUUCGAGCUGGCCCUUUUCGCUUCCUUGGUGUCUAUCUACAUUCGACGCCGUUCCAAGAAGGCAUCUCUGAUCCUGGAGCAUCUUGCUGUACUCUUCGGCGCUACGGCUUUCCUCCUAGCCAUUUCAAUGCCUCUUCACAACCCAAUGAUUGAGAUAUGCAUCGCCGUCGGCUGCAUUUCCUUCUUCAUAAUCAUCAUUGCCAAUCGUUCUCUGCGUGACUGGUACACCUCUGUUUUUUUUUUUGGAUUUUGCAGUUAUUUGGUAUUGUUAUGUUUUUUGUUUUUCUUAAUGCAUGGAGUAUUUGAUACAUUUGAACCAGGAUUUAACCGGGAGAAUGGUGCUUUUGCUGGAGAAAUUCAAACAUCUUCUGCCACGGUUUCAUGACUUGAUGAUGAGACAUGUCCUUUUUUAGUUAAAAUAACAUCUCUCUUUGUAUGGUCUUUUCUUGAAGUUGUUUCAGGAGACAUGUAUGUGUAAUGGUUAGUACUGUACUUUAAGUUUCUUAAUUUUUGGGAAUGUUGAAAUGAUGCUUUGAUUGGAUUUCUUUUAUGUGUGACUGGAUCAUGUGGGUUCGAUUCCAAUCAUUUGACCUAUGGAACGAAGUGUCUAUUAUAUUAUACUGUACUAUAAUUGGAGAUUGUAAUUUCGAUUGCAAUGAUUGGUCCCGUGGCAAAAAGUGAUCAUUAAAAAGGUUGAUGGUCAAAAGACAAGGAAGCGCCUAUCGCCUUCCCUAUUAUUAUUGUAUUUGAAGAUGUACUGUGAGUUGAUCAGGCGAGAAUUCUGAUUUUCCAGUAAAGUAUCCGCGGAAGGGUGUCUGGUUAGGGGGCUGGGUUUUUGGCCUUUUCUUUCUCAGUCUUCCUUAAACUUUUAACACAAGUAGGGGGGUUUUAACACAUGUUAUUUUUUAUUCAAUUAAUAGUUAUUGGAUCAUAAAGAAAUAAAAAGGAAUUAAAACAUGAUAUUUGUGAAGGAGAAAUAGCAAUAUAAUAAAAAGUGGAAUAGAAAUUGGCACAGGGUGUGGGACAGAAGAUCCGUUGCGACACCCUGGUUAUUUCAUAGAUCCCACCGUCAAUAUACUGUGCUGAUCGAGUCCCCAUGGGUGAUACGAUGAAGAUGCAGUGGGCAUUUCUAGUAGUUUCUUGACAACGGAUCUUCUGUCCCACAUCUUGUGUCAUUUUCUAUCUCACUUUUUAUUAUAUUGUUAUUUUCUUACAUAAACAUCAUGUUUUAUUUUUUUUAUUUUCUUAAGAUCCAAUAACUAUUAAUUGAGUAAUAAACAAAAUUUAACAAAUUCAAAAAAUCAAAAUGCAUAAAAAAUGAGAUUUUUAUGAAUUUUCUGCUAUAUUUUUAAUUUUCUAUUAUAUAUUACUUUUUUGAAUCUGUUGUAUUUAUUUUUUAAUUCAAUUAAUAGUUAUUGAAUUUUAAGGAAAUAAAAAAACACUAAAAUAUGAUAUUUAUAUAGAAGAAAUAGCAAUACAAUAAAAAGUGGACAGAGAGUGAGACAGGAGAUCCGUUGCGGAGUUUCUUUCGCCACCAUUAGCACUUCCCUGCAAGCUGCCCAAAUUCCUGGCCCUCUCCCUGCAAUCUUCCAUUGGCACUGGAGCUGGCCUUUUUGGUUGCUUUAGUGUCUAGUUACCUACAACGCCCUUACCCUAAUGCUUCUCGUACGUCCUCUUUGGCGGUGUUGCGUUUAUACUGGCCAUCUCGAUGCCUCUCCUCCAUCCCCCAUUGAAGCCGUUAUCCAACAAGCUCUUUCUCAUUGCUUUUCUCAUACUAAUCCUUGCCAGUCGUAUUAGUUUCUGGUAAUUUCUUUCUUUCUGGAAUUUGUCAGUGAAGUCGUUUUAUUUUUGGUUAUGUUUGGUUAAUGUAUGCAAACCCUUGACACAGGGCUUAACAUGGUGCCGAUCGUUUUCCAGCUUUUGUGCGACGGAGUUAGGAUUAUGCUUUUCACUUUGCCUUUUAGCUUUCAAAAUUCUCAGUUUUUCUGGGAAGCGUUGUUGUAUAUGAUUCAACUGAGAUGAAAUGAUGUUUUAUGAUCACCGUGUUUAUACUUUUCCUUUAAUUGUGGAGUUCGUGCUAUGAUUUGACUUCUAUAUGCAUAUGUGAUUCUUUCUUUCUGUUCUGAAGCCUAUUAUUGGAUUUAUGGCACUAAUUUUUUUUUUUAAACAGGGAUAUAGUAAACUAUAAACUUAAACACCAAAAGCUGCUUGAUCAUGUUGAUAUUCCUAAAUGCUAUUAUUCCACAUAAUUUAUACUUUGCCAUUCCCAAUUUAAUAGAGGUAUGUGUAUUUCUCUAAUUAGCACAAUCGCGGUGGUUUAAAUCUAAGCAUUAGAUCCGAAAGUAGAGCUUCGAAUAAAAGUGAUUAAGCAUAGCAUGGCAUAGAUAUAGCUUAAUUAUUCCUUUUUAAGCAUUCAAGAAUUAUACUAUAAAAAUAAAAGAGAGCACAGAAAGAGCCAUACACAUGGAAAAUUGUUUGUCCGCAAUACAGUUUCUCUUUUUUUAGGGCUGUACGAACUAUACUUGAUUUGGCUGCAAAGUAAGGAAUUAGGAGAUAAUUAUCAAUUAAAACCAAGGCAAUCAAUUGCUAAGUGGAAAUCAUUUGUACGAAUUAUUGCCAAUUUUUAGUGUAUGAAAUAAAGAUUGCAGUUUUUGUGGACAAGUUUUUGUAGAGUAUUCUCUUCACACAAUUUUUAAUUACUCUUUUACCUCAUGUACAUUUCAUCUCAAAUACGUGUCACAAUAUAUUUUUCCCCCUAUAGAAACUACUGAAAACUUAUCAAAAACCCAAUGCAAAUUGUCUCUUAAUGUUUUAAAUAUGUUACUCAAAUUAAUUUUGGUAUCUAUGAAUGCUUCCAUACUGAAGAGGCCAUUUGAAUCAGUUUUGUGAUUCCGCUUGUUUAUGGGCUUCAACUAUUGAUUCUUUGUUUCUGUUUGAGCUGCCUAACUUGACUGAGGAUUACUAUUAUGUGAUUUUUAACUCAGUGUCUUGUAGAUUAUAUUAGUUGAAUAUUCUGUUAUGGCAUACUAUUGGGAAAUAGAUCAUACCAUUAAAGAGCUGUUUGAUCAUGAUUGGUAUGGUCAAUUUUAUUUACACUCGUAAAGUUUGAGACGAAAGUUUUGUCAAUUAACGUUUCUGACUUCAGUUUGUCAUAAAUAAAUAAAUUACUACAUGUACUUGCCUCGUUAUCUCUCCUCCCCUCCUCUUUUGCUUUAUACUUUUUUUUUCUUUCAUUCCUUCCCAAGUUCUUUGCACUUCACAGCUUCUACAGCUCACAAAGUCGGUGCUAUUUCAUUUAGUGAUCAUUUUGUAACUGCAUGACUUUUCUGAAUUUGGUGAGCAGAUUUGAUAGCAAACUUGGUUCCAGACGAGGCUAUCCCAAUAUCCCAUCACUAUCAUGCCUUUGGUGCUACCUUCGGUGCUGUUUGGAUGGAAGAGCAUUCUCAUAUUUCUGUUAAAGGAAAAUGGAUGGUGUUUUCCUCAAGGAGAAAUGGAAAGAAUGGAUAAGUGACCACUUACCAAAACAAAAAGUUUCCAAACUGAACGAUGUUGUCUUCCCCCCAAAAAAAAAAGGUAGAAAAAAAGAAGAAGAAAAGAUUAUAACUCUACAAUGUGGGUUCAACAAAGUUUUUAUUUUAUGGUGGAAUAAAGUAUUCACAUAUGAUCAGUCAUACUUGUAUUGAUUAUAACUCUACAAAUGUAUUUUUUCGAACAAGGUUAUAGUAUAAAAAAAAAACAAGGUUUCCGCAUAGGUGUGCAUAACAAUGUUAAGAUUUUCUUCUACGCAAAAAAAUAACAAUACACAUUACCUUCCAUUACCUUCCAUUGCCUUCAUUUCAUUUUGGUCACGCUCGGCAACAACCAAACGGGGCCUAAGAGUGGAGGCUACAAGAAAAUUCUUUCAACACAAAUUGUUAUUAAAGAUAUCCAUCAUCAUGAUCAGUGACAAUACCCUAAAAUUUGAUCCCCUCGUAAAGUCUCUUUUUCAAUUUUGUUGGCUCCUAAAUUUGUAAAGAUUAGUCUCUUUUAAAAUGGUAGUGUGGUGCUUCCUAAAUAUAUUAUCUCAAUAAGACUAUGUAAUGACGGAACAUUCUUGUCCAAUGACUGUAGAUUUCAUUUGUGGAACUUGCAACCUGGCAAGGACAUGAAUGCAAUAGAACACAAUUAUGUGCAUUUUUUUUUUUCUAAAUCCUUUUGCGUACAACAAAAAUUUACCUGGGCUAUCUCUGUAAGUAUUGUUUAUGGGGUGGCGCUAAUUGCCAACAGAAUUUAAUUUAGAGUGCAUUAGAGUGUGAUCAUUGUCUAUAUUCAACAAUUUCACAUCAACAAGACUAUUAAUCUAAUUGGUCCUUUCCUUUAUUUAUUUUUUUGUUUUGUAUAAUAGUAUUCUACAGGAAAUGUAAUUAAAGGAUAUACUAACAUCAGAAACUGUUAAAGCUAAAGGAACUAGACGUAAACCACAAGAAGUAGGAAAGUUAAAGGGACCAAAUUUGUUCAUCAUGUGUCUAGAGAUAAUUUAUCAAGUGUCUGCAAAUUAUGUAUAUCAUGUGUCUAGAGACAAUUUAUCAUGCUUAAUUUCUCUGACUUCUAGUAAUCUUGAUAAAUUUUUAUUAAAAAAAGGGCAAAUUAUAUGCCUUCAAUGAAGAAUAUGAAGGCCAAUGUAGGAACAAAACACUAUAUUUUCAAUUCAUUGAUCAAAUGAUUGUAACAGCAAAAUUUACUAAUCGCUUUGCAGGUGACAGUUUGGAUUUUGAUUAGGUUCCAGGGAAACGCGCAGUCUUGAGGAUCCAAUUCGUCCCAUAUCGAAAAUUUGAAGUGAACGUGCUUGGGAUAUGUCUUUAGAUUCAUUGGACUCGGAGCAAAAUCUUGCUAUAGGUUGUUCGGCUAAUCCUUGGGCUCAAGGAUUCUCUCGUUGGGCUUGGAGCAAAAUCUUAUCCAAAGGUUCCUGGCUUGAGUCCCAGGACGACAUAUGCUCCCACUAAUGUCGCCAUCUCAAAACUUCAGACAAAGUUUCAAUGCCUCAAAUGCGGCGGUCAAAUGCAGGUUGGCAUUGAAACUUUGGUGCAAUGCUAGGAGUCGUUUUCACCCCAAAGUUCCAGCCAUGGCAUUGAAAAGUUUCAAAUCAAUAUUUUCCCCAAAGUUUCAAUAGGUGCCAUGACACUGUUCAUCAAUUGCUAGGAGUCGUUUUCACCCCAAAGUUUCAAUGCCAUGGAAAAUAUUGAAACUUUGGGGUGAAAACGAAAACCCCAAACGACUCCUAGCAUUGAUGAACAGUGUCCUGGCAUCUUUGUCAGGACACUGUUUAUCUUCAGGACACCCUGCCUAUAUAUAUGGUAUCGUUCCAGGAUUGGCAACACAUCUUCAGUUUCUCUCUCUCAACCUUUUUCAAUUCCUCACUCUCUCCAUCUUAUAGCCAAAAAUAAUACCUUGUCAAGAAAUCCUCAAUUUCUCUCUCUGUCAGCCCUUUUCAAUUCCGCACUCUCUCAACCUUAUUACCAAAAUAAUACCUGUACGUACCUGGAUUUGUCCUUCACAACUAUGGUGAUGAGCAUCUGGACAAAAUCCAUGAACGUCAUCAAUCGUGCUAAAGACAUCCGUCUCUGGUGGGCGGAUAGCCCAGAACAGUCCCAGUCGCCACCUGAAUUGCUAAGCAUCCGAGUAGACCAGACUAAUGCAACACGUUCCACUGAUGAGCCACCCGGGGGUGGGAGACCACGUCCAGCCCCUAGCAAUGCUGCUGAUGGUAACAAGAUGAGCGUGAAACAGUUAUUGUUGGUGAUGGGAGUUUGUUUGACUGCUGCUGGGGCUGCUCUGCAAGCUCUCCAAACUUCAAAACCACUUCCGAUGGCCUUUCAUUGGUUUUGCGUGGCUCUCGAGCUGUCCUUUCUCUCCGCGAUUGUGCCCAUAUACAUCCGACCCCGUAACCAGCUGGCAUCUCUUGUGAUGCACCAUGCUGCCAUUUUCUUGGUGACCACGGCAUUCAUGCUGGUCAUCUCAAUGAACUUUCCGACCCCAGUUCUGGUGAUCAACAUGGCACUCUACUUCAUUUUCAUCCUUCUCAACAUCGUUGCCAAACUUUUGAUGCCCUGAGACACAAUAAAUCCAUAUAUAUUACUAGUGGUUUGUUUGCUUGUUAAUCAGUUUCUGCUUUUAUUUUAAGCUUUUAACUAGCAGUUUAUGAGCUCAGUUGUAUUUCGUGGGGUAUUCUCGAAGGUGAGCAGUUAUGAUAGUAUGUUUUUGUCGAAUGUCUUUGAAAGAAGAAGAGAGGUCAAGGUGUUAUACAUGUGGAUAUAGCCAGUUCCCGUGAUUAUUUCUUUGAAUAUUAAGGAUAUAAUUCAGCAGGUGUUCAGACUUUUUUUUUAUAAAUGAUGUUAUGUAUUUUUUUAAUCUUUUCUUUGUUCGAAAAUGGACAUCGUGUCGUCGUGAUCAAAUAUCUGAUCACAGAGAAUUGAUCUUCUCAGUCAUGAAACCUAUCAUUGAAUUUAUUAUUAUCAUUGCAUCCAAAAAAAGAAAAGCCAAAGAUACAUAUCUAUCUAAAUAUAUAAAAGAGAGAGUUGGAGAAUGAACAGUAGCUUUUUGGUCAAGCGGUUAUGCUGUUAUUUUUGUGACUUUGAGGGGCAUUUUGGUCUUUUGGCAUUGGAUGGCAAUGGUUUUGCUGGAAAUUCGCUUUUGGCAUUGGAUGACUUUGAGGGGCGUUUUGGUCAUUAAAGUUCUUUGCUUUACCUCCUUAGCCACGGACCAGAUGGCUCAAAGCAAAUUUAUUUCCAACACCAAGCCACGUGCCUUGCCUUGCCGUGGGAUUAUUUCCAACACCAAGCCACGUACUUCCUGUGGCAUUUGGUUUGGAUUAUCUUGAAGAAAAAAUUGUAGGACAAAAUAAGUUAAUAAAACACACUAAUUCAUGGGUAAAAUAAUCUAAUCUUUAACAAUAUAAAAGGGGGAGUUGCCCUAUGAAUAGUUUUUUUUUUGUCAAGCGAUUAUCCUGCAAUUUUGGAAAUAAAAGAUGGAGUUGGCGUAUGAAUAGUGAAUUUUUUGUCAAGCGGUUAUAAGGUAAUUUUGGGCAACUUUGAGGGCAAAUUUGUUGGCUUUUGUAUUUGUUGGCUUUUUCCUUUUUUUUUGCACAAAUUAAAACAUUUAAUCAAUAUAAUCACAACAAUUAUUUUUCGGAGGGAGUUGGCUUAUGAAUAGUGAAUUUUUUGUCAAGCAUUUAUAAGGUAAUUUUGGGCAACUUUGAGGGCAAAUUUGUUGGCUUUUGUUGGCUUUUUCCUUUUUUUUUUGCACAAAUUAAAACAUUUAAUCAAUAUAAUCACAACAAUUAUUUUUCUUUCAUAUUUUUGUAAAAUGCUGCUCACUAAUAUUAGAUCAUUAAUCUACAUUAAGAGCCAUGUAUUAUUACAUUGUUUUUGAAAUUUACAGUACUUUAAUUUUUUUAAUGUAAGAAACAAUCUAAAUAAUGUUGAGUGUUUUGUAAAUACACAAUUAUUGAGGAAUAUAAUUAAUAAAUUAUUAUUGGCUUUAGUGACUUUAAAAAAUGGAUUUUAUUACAGCGACAUGAAAUAAAAUUGUUUGGAAAAAAAUGAAUGCAUAUAUUGCAAAAAAAAUGAAAUAAAAUAGUGCUCUGUAAAAUUGUUGAAUGCAGUAAUUGUUUAGCAUGUUCAGCAGUAGCUUUUGACUAAAUGAUUCCCAAAAGUUUAUCAGCAGUAAAAAAAAAAAGAAAAGAAAAGAAGUCCAACAUUAUUAUCACAAUUAACCAAAAUCGAUUAAGGUGUCAUCGACUAAAAAUGGUUUCUAAUCCUACUACUUUUUAAAACAUACAAUUAUAAAGAUAUAUUAGUCUAUAUAUCCAUAUUACUCUAUAUAAUUAUUACAAAUUUUUAAUGCCCUUGUUUUUAUUCUUAUUUUUCGUUCUUUAAAAAAGAAUAAUUAGUAUGUUAUUUACUAAUAGUCCGUGCAUCCAAUAACAAUUGCAGGAUAACUGCUUGACAAAAAAAAUUGUUCAUGGGGCAACUCUCACUUUUAUAUUGUUAGAUAAAUAUCCAUAUUUAAUAUAUAUAUAUAUAUAUAUAUAAUUAUUAUAAAAUGUUUCCUAAUGGCUCUAAAUUUAAUGUGUAUAUAUUCAUUUUUCCUAAUGGCUCUAAAUUACUCUAAAUUGAAAAGCAAUGUUGUAUGCUAUUUUUUUAUUAUUCUUUUAGUCAAACAUGCAACAUUAAUUACAUUGUUUCUUACAUUAAAAAAAUUAAAGUACUGUAAAUUUAAAAAACAAUGUAAUAAUACAUGGCUCUUAAUGUAGAUUAAUGAUCUAAUAUUAGUGAGCGACAUUAUACAAAAAUAUGAAAGAAAAAUAAUUUUUGUGAUUAUAUUGAUUAAAUGUUUUAAUUUGUGCAAAAAAAAAGGAAAUAGGUCCAUAUUUAUGGAACUUAGUGAGUAAUAGAGAUAUACGUAAAUAUAGAUGGAUAUCUUUAUGUGAGAACCCGUAUUUUGCAUUUUCCAGGUUUUAUUAUUUUUCAUGGCAUGUUUUCUGCAUUUUCGUGCUUAGGAAAAAAUUUCUAGAUAAUUUUAAGGAGCAGAUAUAAUUUUUAGAUGAUUUUUCUAGUAUCGAAUAGGUUUUGAGAAAUUAAGAGCGUAUACCGGACGUGAGACCCACUAGUGCGAAAGUUCGGAAAAAUUCGGCCAACUAGGUUAAGUUUUGGAUACUGGACUUAAAUUACCGGGUGUUAAGAGAUAAGUAGAGGAUGCUAAGUGGAUGGGUAUAAGAGAGACAAAAGUUAGGCAAGCAUUAAUGAAGGUGACAAGUGUCACCAUGGGAUUUGGUCUUAAGUAAGACCACUAUUCACCUUUUGUACAAUUGACCAAAUAAAUCACAAAAAUCACAAAAAAUUCACCAUAUUUCCCUUCAUCUUGGCCGGCCCUCUCUCUCAAGAAGAAAGAAAGAAACUCUUCAAGUUUUGCUUCCAUUUAGCUCAAAUCCAUCCAACCAACCAUUGAAACUUGAAAUUUCUCCAUAAAACCUCUUCAAUUAGUGUUAGUGAGUUGAUUUGUGGGGUUAUUUGGAAAGCUAAGAGGAUCUAUUGCUCCCUCUCUCUUGUUUCUAAGGUGAGUUGUGAAGAACCACUUUCCUUCCUCUAAUGAUGCUUAAUUUGUGAUUAGUGGUAGUAUAAGGUGCAAUAUUAUGGAUUACAUCUUGAUUUGUGGUUGAAUUAGUGAAGUAUUCUAUUUAUUGGUGAUUUUUCUGUUUUAAUAUGAACAUAAUUGUGUGGCUAUCUAUGAUGAUUGGAAAUGGUAUGUAAUGACUUUAGGAGGUGGAAAAAGUGAUUAAUUGCAACCAAUUUCUGUUUGGAAGAAAAAUUGACAAGUUAGGGUUUUUGUGAAGAACAUUCUGCCCGGUUUUGUAGCUCCUAGAUAGAGGCCAAAUUGGCCUUAGUUUAAAACAUGAAAGUUGUAGGGAAUGACAUUUUAGAGGUGCCUCCAAAAUUUCAGGUCAAUCGGAGUAGUGUAGAAUGAGAAACGUCGAAAUUACCCUUGCUGUCUUGGUUUUAUCCGAAUGUAAGAAUUCCGCCUGUAAUUGGUUGUUUUGGCUGGAAUUGCUUUGGAAUUGGUUGUUGAGGUCUUCUGAUGAAAUGUAUCCCUGUUUCUAAGCUUUCGAGUGGCUUUGGAAUUUCUGGAUUUGGACUUGUGUAGACUGAGUUAUGAUGUUUACACCAGAAUGCAUUUUGUGAAUCUGUUUUUGUAGUUUUGAUGUAGUAUCUUGCAUUUGUGACCUGGUUGCACUCAAAACUGGGUUGAGUGACCUUCUGCAAUGUUGUAGCCCUGUCUUUUAGCUUCGAAACGGUGUAUCGUACACCUUCAUCCGGUAAUCGUGGUGCCCUUGGUGCCAUUACCGCAAAAAGAGGUCAAAAACUAUUUUUUUCAGGGCCGAAGCUAAUUGCAUUUCCGAAUUUUCUGGUUUCCUCUAAUGUGUGAGUAUGCUUAUGGAACCCUAUUGGGGUCAUAUUUGGCAUUGGAUUAUGACUCGUUAUCGAGUUUCAUUGUACUUGUUUGCAUGUUUUAGGGCGUGACGGUGGUUCACGACGUUCUUGUGACGGAAGUGCAUGAAACCGCAUUUGCAAGCUUGGUGAGUGUACUACUCACUACUCACUUGUGUGUUAAUAUAUGGCUUUGAUACUUGAACUUGGUGCUUUGAAUGUUAAUUGCUUGAAGUGAAAGUGUACUUUAUCACUCUCACUUAUUGUUUAUCAUGUUAUUGGAAUGUUAUAUGAAAUGCUACAUGAAAUGAAAGUACAUGGCUUGGUGUCGUUUGGACGAGCAUCAAACGACUACAAUUGUUAUCCUUGAGCUCAACCCCAUGGGUCGUUGAUUGAAUCGAGCCGGCGAGGGCUUGGUCGUGCCAAUUAAUGUGCCUUGGGGAAGUGUUAUAUGGAAUCUUGUAGUAUGAGAGACUCUCGAUUCCGGUUUACUCGAGUAAUACCACAAUGCAAGUGUUUGGAUUUCGGGCCCGGUAGGGGAAUGUUAGGUGGAAGGAAUGGAAUUAAAGUGGAGUCUACGGUUAGUUAUUUUUUGAACAUUGACGGAGAGUCAAUGACGUCCGAUCAAGAAAUGCAAACGAGAAAAAAGGGCUCUUGAGAGCCAUCCGUAUCCUUUUAUCACCACCAUUAAUGUGUGCCUUUGUUUACUUUUGGUGAAUUGAAAUGAAAAGCUUUAUGUUUACAUGAACUUGGUUGCUUAAGUGAUAGUAUCUCAUUGGGCAAUUAGCUCACACCGUUCCUUUUGUUUUUCUUACAGGAAUAUGACUCUUUUGGACAUUAUUCUUGCUAGUUGGUUGCCGAAAUAAGUAAUGAAUGUCUCUUUUGUAUAGCUUAUGAAUCAAAACCAAACUGUACCUUUAGGCGCCGUUUCACUUUUGAUUUUGGCAAACCUUACAUGUAGUAACUUUUGUAUCACUUUUGUAUGGGCCAUUUUUGGCUUGUAAAUGCUAAAUGUUAUGUUGUAUAUAUAUUUUGAGGUUUGAUUGGGUUCUGACGGGUCGGUUACUAAUUCAUGGCCGACUCCGGAUUUCAUUUUUUUUUUUAUUUUGGGUUAUUUUACCAUUUUGACUUGUUUACGUGCGUUAUAAGUUCCGGAACGCAAUAGAUCGCUCUAAACCGCACCGUUAGUCCUGGCGAGAGUUGGGCAGGCAAUCCGCUAACCCCUUUGGUUCGCCUUAGGGGAAGGUGGGGCUGCCACACUUUAUAAUUACCUCACCCAAACCACAUAAUUUAUACAAAUCAUACCACACAAAAUAUCGACACUGCAUUGUCUCAAUUAUUGUACUUUAUUAACCAUUAUAUUACAAAAUAUCCUCCAUACUUCAUAAACUAUUAACACUAUAUUCAUCCAAUCAAUUUACCGCACUAUUAUUUUAUAAUUCAAAUCAGACUUAUAAUAAUUAUAUAACUCUCUAUAUUAUAAGAAAUAUAUAAUGGCUAAAAAUUAAGCAACUUAACACGGAAAAUAUUAGUGCUCCUGCGCAACGCGCAGGCCGUCUCAGUAGUAGUAUAAAAAGGGUCACAAAAAGGAACAAGAACAAAGGUUGGAAUAAUCAGAUAAUACAUGUCUGAGCACUACUGCUGAUGGGGGUCCCAAAAAAGGAAAGGCCAAAAAAAAAAAAAGAGAGAUGGAGAUUAAUGCUUUUGUUUGCCAUCACGAUUUUUCAAAUAUCCGUUUAUUCCCUCCUGCUUACAAGCAGACACCACAUUAAAGGUACAACUUUCAAAGGACAAGGUACAAAGGUGUCAAGCUGAGCUCGUGCUUUAUCACUUUUACCUUGAUUCUUACUCACUCUUCCAAAAUUUUUAUACAUCUUGUUAAUUAAAAUUCCACGUCAUUAAGGUAGUAUAAAUAGCGGCCUAGUUUGCGUUGGUAUUAUUCUGUUAUUAGUUGGCUUGUUUCUUUCUGCUAUUUUGUCCUUUUUUUUUUUUUCCUUGUUUGGUAAGUAGGAGUAUUUCCUUGUCCAUUUUCUUUCCUGCUGUGAGAAUGAGAAAUUCUCUGUAAUGGUACUCAGAUUUUUCUGGUUUUCGUUAGAAUCUUUUUUAAUCUGACGUGGAUCAUUUCUCGCCAAACGUUUGCACUCUUUUUUAAUUGCCAAAGUGGAAAACGUUUGCAAAUGCCUGUGCACAGUAUAAAUACCCCAAGUCACGCUCAGGCUUUUGCAGCCAUCAACUUCUUCUUCUUCACCUCGAUGGAGUUCGCUAAGGGCUUCCCGGUAUGGAAAUGGUGGGAAUCUAGAAACAGGGCCGCCCAACUCCUCACGCCACCGUUGCCAACCGUGCAAAUCCAACAACUCCCACCACAGUUGCCAACCGUACAACUCAAACUCCAACCUAGUGCAGCAUCUCAACUUGAGGAGCAGCCGUCCCUGCCUACCGUCCGGCAACCUAAUAAUAAUGGCGAUGAUCAGAACCCCAACUUCGUCGACUAUGUGAUGAAGAUGCAAUGGGCAGAUGUUGUGUGUGUUUUUGAAAGGAUUGUUAUCCAUGUAUUUUACGAAUCCGUGUAAACAGGGCAGAUGUUGUUGUUUUAGCUGUUGUUGCCUCAAGGAUGAUGUUUUUAUGACUACCACCACGUUCGUACUAUUCCAUUCUUGGAAUGCGGACAUCAUGCUAUAUUUGAAUUGAAUUUCUGGUUAUAUAUAAGUGCAUCUUUUCCUGUUCUGACAAGUGUAAAGCCUACUCCCUCCCUUUUUUUAUAACUGACGUUUAAGGUUUUGCACACUAAUUAAGAAAAGUUUUUUAAUGCUUAAAUCUGUACACUACUUUCCUUUUGUACCCUCAUUAAUUGUCCAAUUCACCCAUGUUUUUUCUCACUAUAGUACUAAAUGGUGCUGUUUUACUAGGCCAAAAGCAAUGCAUGGGAGUGUAUUAAUACCAGAGAGAUAAAAGGGUAAAAUUGUGAAAAAGUAAUUAAUGCUGUAUGGGGAUAAUAAAAUGACAGAUAAAAGUACACUAGAGCAAAUUUCUUAAACGUCAGUUAUAAAAAAAGGGAGGGAGUAUUAUUUAUUGGAUUGAUGGCACUGAAUUAUUUAUUUCACAAAAAAGAAGAAGAAGACAGAACAGAAAAUUCGAGUGUCGAUAUAUAGCGGUUUUAAUUUCUGCACCUGAUGAUUGGUUUUAUUGCGCAGUGCAUACAACAAAAGAAGAAAUGACGUGGAUAAGAAAUUAGGAAUGACUAGAAUUGUUAACCAUGAUCCAAUUUUUUUUUUUUGACAAAAAAAUAAAGCCGUGAUUGACUUUAUUCUCUUGGAGAAAUAAAGAGAUCUCUUCAAGGAAACUUGAAUUCAACAUCGAAGUUGAAAUUCCACAAAUCUUGUGCCAUAAAGACUUAAUUUUUCCUUGUAGUAUAUUACUAAACUGCAUCAUUCUAGUUAAUCAUAAGUUGGUGAUUUUUGUCCUUUAAGGAAUUACUUUUGAUAGGUCGCUCAUUCAAAUGAUUUAUCAAACAAAUUAGAGUUCCUUGAUUAAGCACCCCUAUGAAGUGAUAACUGUUUUAGAUCCUUCAGGUGACUCCAUAAACCAGAUUUAGUCACUUUUACAGUUAUAAACACUACUCAAAAUCCCAUAUAUUCUUACACAUGUUAAAAGAUUAUAAUCAUAUACCAUGGCACACCAACUUAUAUAUGCAUAAUUAAUGGUAGGGCAAGAAUGCACUGGAUGUACAAAUCUGAACCCAGGUAUAAGUUAAAUCUAGGCCUUCUAUCAUAGAGCUUCUGAUGAAGUAAGCAAGCACAGGAAAGUACCGACAUGCUAGCUUUUUUCCUUCUAAUAUCUCCUGUAAAUUAGAGCUUCAAGAUAAUAUAUAAUAGUUCAAUAGCAUAAAAGUGCCAUUAAUACCCUGUGAUAACCGAUGAUGCAGUACUGCCAUAAAGUUUGCUCAAGAGUACAAGAAAGAACGCAAAAUGGCUCCUCCUCACAGAUAAAAGAAUACUGAUGCAUUAUCUGGUAAUAUUAUGAUUACAUAUGAGUCGAUUCAUUACAAACAUACAAUGCCAAUAUUUAACUGACAUCAACGUAAACUGUAGUGUCUUCCACCACAUAUUAUGUUGUAUUAAAUAGAGAGCAGGCAAGCCUAUAAAAUAGCUGACAUGAUAAGUUCCUGAAAGAAUGCUGCUCGCUGCGUUCUGUCCUCAUAAUCUUGUUCUUGAACUGCAUCUGCGAAAGAUGGUCAGUUACUGCAAGAAGAAAAUUAAUCACAAAUUCUGUCAUCCUAUCGUGAAAGUCGAGGUCAUGCACAUUAGAACUCUAGUCUUUCACGAGAGGAUAUGCAACUAUUCAGUUUUUCUUUCCUUUUCUUACUAUCUGCUGUUGAUCAUUCGGUAAUUUUCAGACGAGCAAAAUAUCAAAAUUGCACAUUCAAGUAUAUAAUUUUCAGACAAAUUGGAGAAAAGUUUGCAAUUACAUGACAUAAUUAUUGCUAAACAGAAGCUCUGCCGCCAGAGCAAACAAUAAAAAGUUACAGUAGUAUCUGAUCAACUGGCAUGCAUACAUAGGAAAAGUAAUGCAGCAGCUUCUAUCGACAAGCAUCGUUCAGUGUUCUGCAUUUCCAGUUCACUCUAUCCAAUUUACAUGCUCUGGCAACUUUCUUAUAAACUCACUGCAGUGGAUUGCCAUUAAAAUGCCUUCUAUUUUCCAAGUACCCCGGAUAUAGAUUACCAUUUUCACUUCGAUUUUUCUUUUUCUUUUUUGGGGUUGAGUGGAAGGAUUGGAGAGCAGGGGUGAGCGUGAUAAACUGCUCAAAGAGAUAGGCUAUCAUAUGAGUGGAAGUUAGACAAGAAACUUAGGCAUCAUCAACAAUGAAUCCACUUCCUAAUCUAAAGAGAAUCUUACGACAUUUAUUGUUGGUGUUAAACCUUCUGCUCCACCUUAUUCCCUCUAUUUAGGCAAAGAACAAAAAGAAUUAUAAGAAAAGGAUAGCUUAUAAACACGAAGAAUAAAGUUACUUAGGACUGGGAGUAAUAUUAAUUAGAAUUCUUCUUCCCAAUGGUGCUCUGAUUGGGCUUGCCAUGCAAAGCAACCCCCCAGACACGUGAUAACUGACAUGGACAUGCUGAAAGUCAAUAACUUAGUUAUGAAUUUUGGGCUGUAACCUAGAAACGAAAAGUUUGAUUUCUGGAUUUUCCUAAAAUGUAAAAAAUGCUUUUAUUAGACAAAAAAAAAAUGAUGCAUUCUGUUGUUCGGUUUUCUACCAAAACAAAAAAUGAUACACUACAUCUCAGUUUAAACAGCUUUUUCAGCUUCAUCUGUAUUCGUUCAACUGCAAUUUUGGGCUUCACAAUCAAGAAUAUUAGCUAGGAUUUGAGUCAUGCUGAGAACUUCUCCUAUUGAAAUAAGGCACUUCUUGUGUUCUAUGUUCACUUUGCUGUAGAACUAGAGAAUCCUCUUUUUCAUGCUCCAAUCAGAAAAUUUGCGAAGAAGCUAGUAGAACCUGAGAGCAUGUCAAAGUCUUAAUUCCUAUGAUAGUGAAGAUACUCACACCGCUUGAAAACUGUGAAGCUACCACUACAAGUUUAUCAUCUACCAUAAAUUAUAGUAUGAUACGUAUGCAUUCUAUUAAGAUGAGUAACCAAACAUUAAUAGUUACUCUCGUCAAAAGAAGUUCAGGCAGAAGACAUGCUUACGGAAUUUCAUCCUGAGCAAAAUAAAAAUGCUUUUCAUUUUCCAAUUAAAUCAACCCAGAUGAUCUUAACUUGGCGUGCUUUCAUCAAUAAAUUAAGGCGAAGGAGCAGGAGAGUGAGUUGUCCUGCCCCGAUUUGUUUUUUAGUGUAGUAAUUUUUCUUUCUAGCGUUUCUAAUUAGUGUCGCGCCGAUUUUUCUGGGUGAAAAUAAAAUGUUUACAAAAUGAUGUGAUUUUAUUUAAAAAUAGGUGAAAAAAGGCCUAGAUUGAGACUGUAAAAAAUGUGACAAUUUGGGUCCAAAGUUUAGUCUAAAAGAGUUUUUAAGAAAAAGAGAAGUCGUCACUUGAUAUUGAGUUUAGGCGUACCAAAUCAUCCCAAAAAUAUUUUUGACAAAAAUAAAAUAAAAUAAAACCCUAUUCGACAACUCCAGAUCUUUGAAAAACAAGAGGAAAUGGGGUUGGGAGUCACGAUUAAAGAAAGGGAAAGCAAAGAUUCGAUUCUAGCGUUUCUAAUUAGUACCAUUAAUUUUUGGGCAAAAUAUAUUGGCGCUCAUUAAACUAUUUCCUACGUCUAUUUUUAAUCAUCAAACUAUAUUUCGUCACAAUUCAGCCACUCAAGUAACUAAUCGAUAUAUAGGUGGUCAUCUUGUCGGAUUUUGCUCUUAAUUUACAAAAUAAACCAAAUGCUGAAAGUCGCAUGUCAAAAUUUAAGGGUCAACAAUUCCACUAAACUUCUCAAUCUGAACCUAAAAACUCUGAUGGCCACUAAACUUUUUCCACUCGUACAAUUUUUGACCACUCAAAUAUUUUUUGUUUCAAUAUAGUCACUUAACUCUUAAAUCCGUGUACUAGUGCUCAUUCCGUCAAAUAUUUUUGUUAAUGCUAACAGACUGAGCUCCAAAUGCAUUUCAUGUACCAAAAAUAAAGACAAUUUCUUAAGAUCAAUUGUUAGAUUUUUUUUUCCAUCUAGAGUUUUAGAUUUUUUUUAAUUGACAAAAAAUAAAAUUUAGAAUCUUCAAUAGUUGCUUUAAUAUAUUCUAAUUUAUCAGUUUUGACAAAAAAAUCUAAAUUAUAUGCUCAAGUUCUUGUGAAUUGUUUCCAAGAACCUUGAAAUCAAAUGAAAAUAGUAGAUCUAAGAACAAAAUUUGAAUAAAAGCUAGCUAAUAUACUAUUUCGGUGAGUUGAGUGGUCAAUUCGAAAGAAAGAUCACUAAGAAUACGGUGUUUUGUAUGGUUCAGUGGCCAUUUAAGAUUUUUUUUGUCUCAUCUAUUUGGACAAAUUUACUUAUGGACUUUUGGCGUGCUCAUCCCAUUAGGUUUAACGUCAAAUAUGGACAGAGUAGCUGCUGAGAUACACAAUAGCCAUAUGCAACUUAAGGUAUUUUGUCGGUUUCUGUCGAACGUUUGGUUUGUGCAUCAAUUUAGAGUUUGUCUGGUUACGAAAUACAGUAUCGGUCGGGCCUUUGUUAAGCAAAUCCAGGGGGGAAAAGAAUAUGCCGCUGUAUUUGGGCUUCGGUUAUAUUUUGGGCUGUUGAUGAAUGUUUAGUAAAUUCAGUGAAUUAUUGUCCAUAUUCAUUCUAAUAAGCAAGGGGAGGUCCAUAGUGUUUCUUUUGUUUCCUAUUCUUAUGGAUUAAUUACAACGAAUAAAUGUUACCUCCAUUAAAGGGCGAAUCAACGUCGGAAAAAAUGUUUCAUGUUACAAAGUAAAAAAUGGUCAUACAUUUGCAUUCAGGGAUGGGCUGACUGAUGGCAACAUGAUUUCUGUUUAUCACAGUAAGCCUAUUAUCCAUCAAAAAUUACCCUACAAUAAAAGAUGUAACUAUUCGUUGUCCUUUGCUUUCCUUUCUUUGCCAAAAAAAAAAAAAAAAUUCAAUCCAAUCUCUGUUGAGUGUCUCCGUUAGAAUUGGAAUUGCAAUUAUGUCCAAUCAAAUAUAGAACAGGACACAAUUGCAUCAAUUUGGUAGCUGACAUAGGAUGGAGGAAGAUCAUUUUAUGAGUCCUAAGGCUAAGGCACAAAAACAUUAGUCCUUCUAAUGCCAUAUUAUCAAGACACUUCCUAGGCAUUUCGUUCAGCUUUGCAGAAACACAUUCCCCUUUGCCACAGAAAAAAAUUCCCUUGAAGCACACAUUAAUUGUUCCGAUAAGGAAUGUGGUGGGGGAAAAUUCAGGCUUGCAAUCAAUACCGUGAUCGACCUGGCCAAGCAGCUCCCUCUAUGGAGGACGGUAAGGCCAAUUCCACCAGAGUUGCCUACUGCCCAAGUUGAGCCUAGUGGUGCAGUAUCUGAAACAGAGGAGCUGCAGCCCGCGCGUAUGGUGGAGCAGCAGCAACCCGAUCAAAGUCAUCAUGAUCGAGCCCAGAUUGACAACGUGAUGAACAUGCAGUGGGCGUUGCUGGUUAUUGGAGUUUCUUUCGCGGCCAUUGGCGUCAUCUUGCAAGCUCUCCAAACUCGUGCAACUCUCCCUGUAGCUUCAACCUUUCCCUGGUUCUGCAUGGCUUUCGAGCUGGCCUUCUUAGCUUUGUUGGUAUCUGUUUACAUGCAUUGCCAUUACCACAAAGCAUCUUUUGUCAUGGAGCAUGUUGCAAUUUUCUUCUGUGCUGUUGCGCUUUUCUUGGCCAUCUGGAUGACCCCCCGCUCAAGCAGAUGCCCGUCGCCAUCUUCUUCAUUGGGUUCACCAUAAUAAUCCUUGCCAAUCGUUCUCUGCAUGAUUGGUGAAUUUUCUCUUUCUUUCUAGAAUUUUUCACUUUAUUUUGGUUCUAUAAUGUUUGUUAACAUAGAGAUAUAUCUGAAACAGGGCUUAACGGGACUAUUGCCGAUUGUUUUUCUGCCUCUGAGAAGUUAGAAUUCUGUUUUCCACUUUGUCUUUUCAUUUUCUGUUAUAUAGUAAGUACUAUUGUUUUAUAUGCAUUGGACAAGUACAUGUAAAACAGGGCAAACAGAGACCAAGCUGUUGUUACCUGUUGCUGUUGGGGGAGAUACCUGGAUUAUAGUUCCUUUAAGGACUAGUACUACUAUGUUUGACUUUUUCUUUCUUAAAUUGUAUUCUAUCUCUAUUUAAGUGGAUCUUUUUCGUUCUCAAGCAUGCUUGUUAUAGGAUUGAUGGCGCUGAACUUUUUUAUUUUUCAUUUUUUUAAAAUAAAGAGAGAGAAAAAAAAAGGUAAUAAGGAAAGGAUUGGACUCGCAAUAAUUAGAUCUUUCCAGUUAUGCACCUCAUUAAUGGAUUUAUUGAAUUGCACAAAGAAAAGAAGAAAGGCUGUGGAUAGGAACUAAUGAGAUGGUUCAGGCUGAACUAGUACUAAGAUGGGGAAAAGGGAAAUGGAUUAAUGGAACAAGGGAUAAUAAUUGAUCAUUAACUCCAAGCUGCCAAGACUGCUGAUGGAUCUUUCCUAGUAAUAUCUCCUAUUAGUUUUAAGGUGGAAGAUAUAUAUAGUUCAAUAGGGUUUGAGUAUGAUGGAUGAUCCGAUCCCUUUACAAGAGACCUUUCAAUUGCGUUCACCAUAAAAUUCACCCAACAAGCCAAGAAUGACACCAAAAUGGAUCCUUACAGACAAACCAAUAAUACACCAUCUGAUAUUGUGAUUGAAUAUAAGUCCAAGGUGUGAAUUAUGUAACCAUUCCCUUUACAAGUUUUAAGUUUUAACCAAUGCCCAAUUGAUUAAUGAGUCAUUGUAACAUCUUGCACUGCUAAGAGCAACCUGAUAUCCAAGUCCAUAAAGCAAUUAUCCUCCCUGAGUUUAUCUGUCACAGUAUAUUGAGAGCAGACAAGCCUAGAACACUUUUAGGCAAAAUCUUGAUCUUGAAAGCUCAUUCCUCUGUUCUUUUAGAACACUUUUAGGUAAACUAUGUCAUCCUAUCUGGAAAAUGAAGGUCAAACAGCAUGCAACUCUAGUCCAGUGCAGUCAUUGUACCACUUCACUCACUGAGAGUAUAUAUUUAUCAUUCCUGUGUUCUUUCCUAUGUUACUCUAUCACAAACUGCUGUUGAUUGUUGGGUAAUUUCCGGUCAGUAAAAUCCUUCCCUUGCACAUUCUAUUUUGAAUAACUUCAGACAAAUGACAAAAAAUGACAUCAGUUAUUUGCUAAAAGCAAGCUCUACACCAGAGCAUACAAGGAAUUGUUACUCUUAAUCUAUCCACUGUCAUGCAAACAGAGCUAACGCAAUGGAGCAGCUUACAUUUAAUCAUUAAUUCGACAAGCAUUCACUCUAUCAUGUUUAAAUGCUCCAGAAACUUUCUCAUAUCACCAACAUUUUUUUUUGAAAAUAUUUUCUGGAGUAGCAAAGCAUGCUCAGGUUGGUUUCUCAUACGUUCUUAAGUUUCAAUCUCACUAACACUUCCCUAAAUCGGAAACAUUUCAACUAUACCAUGAUCACCACCACCAGUCCUUCUCCUCCACCCAUCCGAAUCACCACCACCACCACUAGCUUCACAAUUUGAACCUUAAAUUCCCCUCCUUCUCCAACCCCUACUUCUCCUCCCAUGUUAGCCUCUAAAUACUACAGAUCUGUCGCUUCUCUUCCACAUUCACCGAGCUCAACCUCUUCCUCUUUGGCACUGUUGCAUUUGUGCUGGCCAUCUUGAUGCCCCUCAAUCUCCCACUGAAGCAAUUAUCUAUCCAUCGCUAUCGUCCUUGCUGCAUUUCUCCUAAUAAUCCUUGCCAAUCGUUCUACAGGUGAUUGGUAAUUUCCUUCUUUCUUUCUUUUGGAACUUUUUUCUGUAUUUUAUUUUUUGGUUAUGUUUGGUUAAUUUAUAGAUAUAUUUGACACAGGGGUUUUUUUUUUUUUUUUUCUCCACAGGGGGCUUAACUUGGUGGAUUAUUGUGUCAUCCUCUGAAAUAUUUAAACAUCUUCGCCAAUUAUUUCAGGCUUUGAUGACUCGCGUUUGUCUUUUAGUUUUCAAAAUUCUCAGUUCUGGUUUGCCUGUUUGAUCGUCCAUUUCCUAAGAACUAAGGGAACUCGACAAUGCUUUAGUAACGAUAGUUAUGGUAACGAAACAGUUUUUAUCUAAUAUGACAGGUUGUUGUACUUUUAGCGACCAUUUGAUUAUUUGUUGGACCCAUUCACCUAAAUAGGAUAAUACCUAAAAAUAUGAAAGUAAGUUUCCCAUCUAAAAUAGUAAGUUAACCUUAAUAGAUUAGUAAUUUUUAUACCUCAAAAGGUAAAUUGGAAUAACGAUUAAACUUACAUUUUAAAUAAAUAAAUUACUAUUUUAUAUUUCAAACUUAAUUUUUAGAGAGUAAGUUUAGUUCAAGUAACAGUAAGUUUUUAUACAUAAAUAGUAAUUUUUACUAAUAACAUGGUAAAUUUUAGUAAUGAUCAAAACUUACUUGUUUUUGGUAUUAUACAAUUUUACAUUAAAAAAUUAUCUCAAACUAGUAUUAGAAAGUUUAUUUGAAAUAAUGAUAAGAUGUUUUAUUAAUGAUUACAACUUAGUACCUUAGUUAGUAAGUACUCGUAAUAUACCUAUAUAAUACAUGAUUACAGGUAUAAUUUAAAUUUUUUUUGUAUUUAUAUAUUUUAAAAUACUAUGAAAAGUAGUUUCAUUUUUCAGAUAACCUUGUAAAAUAUGUAAUAAAAUUUUGUCAUAUUAUAAGUUUUUAAUCAUUUUCAGUUUUUGAAAAGUUUGAAAGUUUGAAUAACAAUAAAAACAAAUCUUCCUGUUAUAUAUAGAAUAUCACUUGUUUAUAUAUCACAAUUUUUAUAAUUUAACACCUAUGAAUAUAAUAAGAUGAUAAAGUUUUAAUAAAUUUACAUCUGGGACACAAGAAUUAAUAAGAGUUAAACCUCAAACAAAAUGAGAAAUAGUAUAACAAUAAAAAUGACAAAAUUAGUAUAACAGUUAAUAUAAGAAAAUAAGUAUGUUCUGAACUUUUUUCCUUGGGAGAUUGUUCAUAAAAAUAAGAUCCAACAAUUAAAUGAAUAUCACUUGCACAUAUAAUCUAUUGUAUAAUUUAAAUUAAAUUCAGUUCACGUAUAAAACGGUCCAAAAAUAAUUAGCACACUAUGAUACAAUGUUAUUUUAACAACCAAAAUUUGUUUUACUAAAAGUCCCAAAUAUCCAUUACAUGCAUAUGAGGGAUAUUUUACCACAUUUGUAUCCAACUAUAAGCACAAAUUUCGUUGCCAAAAAUAAAAGACAUGAAAACUUGCACAAAUAUCAAAUUUAUUAAAUCAAAUAAUAAGAGACUUACAAUCUCUAAAAAUUCUUUUUUCUUUUGAUAAUUACAAUCUCUAAAAAUUCUUGAAUCAAAGAAAUUAAUCCCCUAAUUCUUCUCUUCAAAAGCACUCUUAAUUAAAGCAUAAUAAAAUCAAGUUUUUUUUUAAAAUUUUUAAUGUAGUAGUUAUGUUUACUACAAAAUUAGUAAACCAUUCCUACAAUGCAUUGCUUCUCCUAUAAGUACUAAUAUUUUGUAAAUAAAUUGAAAUAAUUUUGUAAAAGAUUUUAUGCAUUUUCACUAAUAUAAUCAAGAGAAUUUUGCACAUUUAAAAUAUAUAUAGAAAGAAAGGAAAAUGGUAUGAGUAUAAAGGCAACCAAAUGCAAUAUAUAUCACAUCAUGUGUUUAGAUAUGAUUUGUUAAGUAAUCAGUAAUUUAGUCCUGGUCAAUAUAUGAUGCAUAUUGAUUUCUUAUAAAUAAAAAUAUAAUUUAGCAAUUAUGCACUAACAGAAUUCAUAGUUUGAAUGCAAUCAAUUGAGCAUCUAUUUCCUUUUUUUAAGUAGCUAUUAUUUAUUUUAUUACUUAGGUUAUAUAUUUACAUGUAAAAUAACAACAAUAGCAUGCCAAUCCUCGGACCAACAGAACUUCAAUUAUUGUUAACUAAACUAAUUUUACAUUGAUAAAAAUUAGUCUAGAAAAUGAAAUGUUAAUGACAACAAUUGGUCAAAAAUUGCAAUCUUUUAAUUUUAGAAAAAUAAAAAAUAAGUUCCCAAGAUAUUUCACUUUUAUUUUUUAAAAAAAAAAUCUCAACUUGUUAAUUAAAUUCAAAAUGAUUUUAUUAUAAAAAAAUAUUCUUCCUCAAAUUAACAUCAAUGAUUAGACAUGAGAUACAAAUAUGGGAAAAAAGAGAUAAAAAUAUGGUAAAAUAUUUCUCAUACAUAUAUCGUGGAUAUUGGAGACUUUUGGCAAAAAAAAUUUUGUUGUUAAAAUAAUAUGGUAUUGUAGUAUGCUAAUUAUUUUAGAAUCAUUUUGUAUCUGAACUAAAUUUAAUUUAAAUUCUACAGUAGACUAUAUAUGCAUGUGAUUUUUGUUUAGUGGUUGGAUCUUAUAUUCGUGAACAAUCUCCAAAGAAAAAAAAAUCCAGAUUAUACUAAUUUUGUUAUACUAAUUCUAUUAUUUUUAUUGUUGUAUUAAUUGUUACACUAUUUCUCUCAUUUUGUUAGGUCUAUAUUAAUACAAGUUUAAUUAUUAUUAUUUCUUGUGUCUCAGACAAUAAAUAUAUUAAAACUUUAUCAUCUUAUUAUAUUAAUAGGUUUUAAAUUAUAGGAAUUACAUAGAUAAGUGAUAUCCCAUAUAUAACUAGGAAGAUGUGUUGUUAUUAUUAUCCAAACUUUUAAACUUUUCAAAAAUUAUUCAAAAUUAUAAUACGACAAAAUUUUAUUAUUUUAUAAGGUUAUGUGAAAGGUCAAAAUAUUUUUCAUAGUAUUUUAAAAUAUAUAAAUACAAAAAUUUUUAAAUUAUACAUAUAAUUAUGUAUUAUACAAAUAUAUUACGAGUACUUACUAACUAAGGUACUAAGUUUUAAUCAUUAAUAAAACAUUUUAUUGUUAUUUCAAAUAAACUUCCUAGUAUUGGUUUGGUAUAAGUUUUUUAAGCAAAAUAGUACAUUUGUGCCAUAAAUUAGUAAGUUUUGGUCAUUAAUCAAAUUUACUAUGUUAUAAGUAAGAAUUACUAUUUAUGUAUAAAAACUUACUAUUACUUGAAAUAAACUUACUCUCUCAAAAGUAUGUUUGGGAUAUAAAAUAGUAAUUUAUCUCUUUAAAAAGUAAGUUUCAUAUUUAUUCCAAUUUACCUUUUGAGACACAAAAGUUACUAAUUAUUAUGGUCAACUUACUAUUUUAGAUGAGAAACUUACUUCUUUAUUUUUAGGCAUUAUCCUAUUUAAGUGGAUAGGUCCAACAGGUAAUCAAAUGGUCACUAAAAGUAUAAUAACCUGUUAUAUCAGGUAAAAACUAUUUAGUUACCAUAACGAUAGUCACUAUAGCAUUUUCCGUAUAGUAGUGAUAAUAUUGGUUAAAAAAAAAACUGUCCGUGGGAGGAGCAAGGCAGGGGCGGGGGUGAGGACAAAGGGAGUUACAUUGCAACAGAGGGAGUUAUCUCCUGCUUCAAACUUGCCCGUUAUCUUCCCUAUUCAAAGAAAGAGAGAAAUAGAAAGAACAAUUAGUAGUAUGAUCAUCUCCUAAAUAGUAGUAUCCAAAAUAAAUGUUAGAGGUGGCAAAAUGGGCGGGAUGGGCGGGAUUUGCUUGGAUUUGUGAUGGAACCGAGUCAUAUGGGUUUGGAUCCAACCUUACCCAUAUGUGUUUUGGGACUAACUUGGGCGGGAUCACUUUGGGAUGGAUUUAGAUUGAUCCCGCCCAAUACCCAAAUCUAUUUUCUACAUAUUUUUUUUCCUUCAUUUUUAUUUUUUAUAUAAUUUUAAUAUUUUUGAUUUAUUAAAUUUUUUUUAGUUUUAUUAAAUAAACAUGCAAGUGCUUUAUACUCAGGAUUCCCAUCAAAAAUUGGAUUAACAAAUAAAGGAAAAAAUAGAUAUACAGUCAUAUUCCAACAUAUAUCAAGAUGGCCAAGGUACUUAAGGUGUUGAAUAUUUAUCCUCAUCAUUGUCCAAAGAUGACAGGUCUAAAUUGACUGAAAUGUUGAAAAUUCUUGUGGAUAAUGACUAGGAAAACUACUAGAUUAUAUUCUCUAGUAUGACUAUAAAAAUUGUUAAAGAUAAUUUUUGAAUCUAAGAUUCCGUUUGGAUUGGCUAUUUUUUCAAAAAAUAAGUUUUUCAAAUACAAUGUUACAGUAAUAUACAAUAACUCAAAAAACAUCACAUCCAUAUUAGUAUAUCAAAUAUUUCAAAAAAAUUUUAUAGUAAAAAUUUUCAUAUACACUGCUAUAAUAAAAUAUUUCAAAAAUACCCCCCAAACAUAGCUAAACCAAACAGAGCCCUUGUUAUUUGAGCCCAAUGGGUACCCAAGUAUUUCCCAAGUAUUCCCAUCAAUUAAUGAGUACAAUUGGGAUUUGUCCCAUUUUAAAUCCAAUAUCAAAAUCCAAUACCCAUCCCGCCCAAAGUCCCCAUGGGCAUGGGUAACCCAUUGGGACUUGGGACAAAUUGCCACCUCUAAUAAAUGUAUUACAAGUUUUAUGGAAUGCUCCGAGGUGGGGGGAUGACCAUCAAAGGGUUUCAAAAAGGAAAAUUAGUAUGUGCCUGCCUAUCUAAUUGCCAAAACAACAUUAUCUGUAAAUUCUUGUGGGAUGAUUUUCUUCCUGAUGUUUUCUUGCUCCUGCACAAGGCAUAUCUUAAUAAAUAGUUGCUGAUUCUUAAAAAAAAAGAAGACUUUACUCUAAAAAAUGAUUGCAUCUAAUCUAGAAAUCAUGAUCAGUGACUUUAUGCUAGACUUUGAUCAUGGAUGGAGCAAUUCUUUGAACACAAAUUUUUAUUAAACACAUCCAUCAUCAUGAUCAGUGACAAUACCCUAAAAUUUGAUCCCCUCGUAAAGUCUCUUUUUCAAUUUUGUUGGCUCCUAAACUUGUAAAGAUUAGUCUCUUUUAAAAUGGUAGUGUAGUGCUUCGUAAAUAUAUUAUCUCAAUAAGUCUAUGUAAUGACGUAACAUUCUUGUCCAAUGACUGUAGAUUUCAUUUGUGGAACUUGCAACCUGGCAAGGACAUGAAUGCACUAGAAAACAAUUAUGUGCAUUUUUUUCUAAAUCCUUUUGCGUACAACAAAAAUUUACCUGGGCUAUCUCUAUAAAUAUUGUUUAUGGGGUGGCGCUAAUUGCCAACAGAAUUUAAUUUAGAGUGCAUUAGAGUGUGAUCAUCGUCUAUAUUCAACAAUUUCACAUCAACAAGACUAUUUAUCUAAUUGGUCAUUUCCUUUAUUUAUGUUUUUGCUUUGUGUAAUGGUAUUCUACAGGAAAUGUAAUUAAAGGAUAUACUAACAUCAGAAACUGUGAAAGCUAAAGGAAGUAGACUUAAACCACAAGAAGUAGGAAAGUUAAAGGGACCAAAUUUGUUUUUAGAAGAUAUAUAAGGAAUUAAAGCAUCACGAGUCUAAAACUUAUGGGACGAGAACCCAAUUUUGCCUAGCUAAAACGACCAUGUUGAUGUAGAGUGGAAAUAAAACGAAAAUGAGGGAUUUGUUCUUUUGCGUUUGGGCUUGGUUUUUGAGUGUGAAAAGGGGCUGAUAGUGAAUGAGGCGGCUAUAGCAAAUUUAGUUAUUAUAAAAUUUUGUUUAGGUCCAAGAAUCGACAAAAAUGGUAGGAAGGAAGAGUUAUGAUAAAUCAUCAUGUGUCUAGAGAUAAUUUAUCAAGUGUCAGCAAAUUAUGUAUAUCAUGUGUCUAGAGACAAUUUAUCAUGCUUAAUUUCUCUGACUUCUAGUAAUCUUGAUAAAUUUUUAUUAGAAAAAAGGCAAAUUAUAUGCCUUCAAUGAAGAAUAUGGAGGCCAAUGUAGGAACAAAACACUAUAUUUCCAAUUCAUUGAUCAAAUGAUAGUUCCAGCAAAAUUUACUAAUCGCUUUGCAGGUGACAAUUUGGAUUUUGAUUAGGUUCCACGGAAAUGCAAAGUCUUGAGGAUCCAAUUCGUCCCAUAUCGAAAAUUUGAAGUGAACGUGCUUGGGACAUGUCUUUAGAUUCAUUGGACUAGGAGUAAAAUCUUGCUACAGGUUGACUGUGUGUAGUGAGCUUUGAAUCAAAGCUCAAAGCUCUUACACACAGUCACCCGCUUAGGUGCGUGUUUCACAAUCAAAGCAAGAAACUUUCACGCGUUUGAGAAAUUUUCACGCACCUAAGCGGGUAACUGUGUGUAAGAGCUUUGAGAAAUUUUCACCCACCUAAGCGGGUGACUGUGUGUAAGAGCUUUGAGCGCAAUUUUCACGCACCUAAGCGGGUGACUGUGUGUAAGAGCUUUGAGCGCAAUUUUCACGCACCUAAGCGGGUGACUGUGUGUAGCUUUGAGCGCAAUUUUCACGCACCUAAGCGGGUGACUGUGUGUAAGAGCUUUGACGAUUUUCACGCACCUAAGCGGGUGACUGUGUGUAAGAGCUUUGAGCGCAAUUUUCACGCACCUAAGCGGGUGACUGUGUGUAGCUUUGAGCGCAAUUUUCACGCACCGCUCAUCAAAGCUCUUACACACAGUCACCCGCUUAGGUUGAAAGUUUCUUGCUUUGAUUGUAGCGCUCACAAGAAAUUUUCACGCACCUAAGCGGGUAACUGUGUGUAAGAAAACAAGACACCCUGCCUCUAUAUAUGGAAUCCUUUCAAGAUUGGCAACACAUCUUCAGUUUCUCUCUCUCAACCUUUUUCAAUUCCUCGCUCUCUCCAUCUUAUAGCCAAAAUAAUACCUUGUCAAGAAAUCCUCAAUUUCUCACUCUGUCAGCCUUUUUCAAUUCCGCACUCUCUCAACCUUAUUACCUGGAUUUGUCCUUCACAACUAUGGUGAUGAGCAUCUGGAAAAAAUCCGUGAAUUCCUUCAUCAAUCGUGCUAAAGACAUCCGUCUCUUUAGACCCUGCACCUGGUGGGCGGACAGCCCAGAACAGUCCCAGUCCCCACCUGAAUUGCAAAGCAUCCGAGUAGACCAGACUAAUGCAACACACUCCACUGAUGAGCCAGGAGGUGGGAGACCACGUCCAGCCCCUAGCACUGCUGAUGGUAACAAGAUGAGCGUGAAACAGUUAUUAUUGGUGAUGGGAGUUUGUUUGACUGCUGUUGGGGCUGCUCUGCAAGCUCUCCAAACUUCAAAACCACUUCCGAUGGCCUUUCAUUGGUUUUGCGUGGCUCUCGAGCUGGCCUUUCUCUCCAUGAUUGUGCCUAUAUACAUCCGACCCCGUAACCAGCUGGCAUCUCUUGUGAUGCACCAUGCUGCCAUUUUAUUGAUGGCCACGGCAUUCAUGCUGGCCAUCUCAAUGAACUUUCCGACCCCAAUUCUGGUGAUCAACAUGGCACUCUACUUCAUUUUCGUCCUUCUCAACAUCGUUGCCAAACUUUUGAUGCCCUGAGACACAAUAAAUCCAUAUUCCUAGUGGUUUGUUUGCUUGUUAAUUAGACACAAUAAAUACAUAUAUAUUCCUAGUGGUUUGUUUGCUUGUUAAUUAGUUUCUGCUUUUAUUUUAAGUUUUUAACUAGCAGUUUAUGAGCUCAGUUGUAUUUCGUGGGGUAUUCUCGAAGGUGAGCAGUUAUGAUAGUAUGUUUUUGUCGAAUGGCUUUGAAAGAAAAAGAGAGGUCAAGGUGUUAUACAUGGAUAUAGCCAGUUCCCGUGAUUAUUUCCUUGAAUAUUAAGGAUAUAAUUCAGAAGGUGUUCAGACUUUCUUUUUUUAUAAAUGAUGUUAUGUAUUUUUUUUAAUCUUUUCUUUGUUCGAAUAUGGACAUCGUGUCGUCGUGAUCAAAUAUCUAAAUCACAGAGAAUUGAUCUUCUCAGUCAUGAAACCUAUCAUUGAAUUUAGGGCAAAUUACAUUUUAUCCCCUUGUGAUUUUCGCAAAAACCACAUAACCCCCUAUGAUUAUAAAAGCUAUACAUAAACUCUCUAUGAUUUGGGUUGAAGUGUCAAAUAGACGGAAAACACCCAUCGUGACGAUUCGUAUCUUACACGUGCUUGUACUACUGGUAGCAGUAAGAAACGUUUGCAUAUUACCUUGACCACUUUAACGGAUCCAAUAAAUCCUAGAUCUGUGCUCCUUAUCUCUUUCAAUGACGGCAAUGGAUAUGGCUCUGUAGAUGGUAAUGGUGGUGGUUAUGGGGCUGGAAGCGGAGGCAGCAAUGACGGCAGUGGAUUUGGCUUUGUAGGUGGUAAUGGUGGUGGGUCGGAUCGGGUGGAGGUGGUGGUCCAGGCGGUAAAUAUGGUCCAGAUGGCGACGGUAAUGGUGAUGGAUGGAAUGGUGGUAGCUAUGGUCCUGGUGCAAGCAGCAGGCAAGGGAGUUGGGGCAGCAGCUAUGGCUAUGGCAGGGGCUGGUGCAGGGGCCCUGGCUUAAGAUAUGGCAGCAGUAGUACUGGUCAUGGCAGCGGAGGUAACAAUGGAGAAGGGCAGUAUGGAAUCACUGGUGGGGGCCUAGACAGGGACAAUCAGCUGCUCCCAUACAGCAUGAAACCAUGACUAGAGCUCUUGUUUCAGAAAUCGCAUUUUUUGGUAGUUGACCAACGGAAAAGCAUGGGAGAAAGAAGGAUGCAGAAACCGGAAUCCUAUCUCUUGAAGAGAGGUGCAGAAAGCUCUCCCUUUGACUCAGGUGGGCCUUCCACCACUUUGACUGUUGCGGAUGUAGUUCCUCUCAUUGUGAAGAAAGAAGUAAUGAAAGGAAAGAGAAGCCCAGGCCGUGUUCGUUGUUGCCUUUUUUGUAUUUAUAUUAGGGUAAUUUGGACAUUUCGCCCACAAAUCGUGACGAUGGGUAGUUUCCGUCUAUUUGACACUUCAAUGCAAACCAUAGAAGAUUUAUGUAUAACUUUUAAAAUCAUAAGAGGGUUAUGUGGUUUUUGCGAAAAUCACAUGAGGGUAAAAUGUAAUUUUCAAAAUAGUGCAACUUACAAUGAAGGUUUCGCCUUAGAUUUAACUGUUAGUCUGUUACAUAGGAAAAUUUUCGAUCAAAAGAUCUCAUCUUGGGCAGUAUUCAUGAGACUUUAUUUUUUCUUUGCUAGAAAACAAAACAUGUUUUGGUUCUCAAAAUUAGUUUGUCAAUUUUAUCAGUUCAUAUUAAAUGAAUAAAUACAAGUCUGUGCUAAGCUUUAUCAUAAAGUGCAACUCAUGUGCUUUUUUCUAGUCUUACUAAAACAAUAUGUAUCAAAGCAGUGCAAGCAAACGGUAGAAGUUGACCUGACAUAGAUCUGACAAUGUUUAGUUGUUUAAGAAUAGUACCUGUGGAACAAGCAAACGGGCUAAUUUUCUGGGAGUUUUAUUGAACUUUUAUUAUUUGUGUUUUGAAUGAUGGUGUGACUUUAAAGAAAUGCUCGGUUGAAAUUGGAUGCAGCCUUGUCCUUGAAUGAGGUUGAAUUCUGAUUGUCCUUUCAGCCAUGGUAAUUGAUAAGUAUUAUAAUUGGGUUAUAUUGGGUGUAGGCUUUGAAAGGAGGAUACAGAGAGAAAGUGCAGAUAGCAAUCAAGUUUGGCAUUGGAGCAAGGGAUGGGAAAACGGACAUUCGUGGUGAUCCAGAGUAUGUGCGUGCUUAUUGUGACAGCAGCCUGAAGUGGCUUGAUGUUGAAUACAUUGAUCUUUUUUAUGCUCAUCGUAUUAAUACUCAUGUUCCCAUUGAAGUCACGGUUAGUUAUUUUUUCGAUACCACUUUAAUGCCAUUUUUACCUGGUAUUAUGGGUUUAACCAUUUGAAAUUACAAUUUUUAGAUUGGAUAAUCCUGAUUACAAAAUACUGUUUCUUCAACUGAUUUAGUAAAGCUUCGUCUCAAAAACAGCAGUAACUGACAUAGAAAAGCUGCCAUAUUUUAAGAAACUGUCAUAUUUUAAACUGCCAUAUGCUUCAACAUUACUACAAUUAUGGUUUGUAUAAGGUAGUACUGGUAUGAAUUCUUUGAAAUGUUCACUUUCAGAUAUAUUGGUCAUCGUAAAAGAACUGCCAUAUUUUAAAGGCUCAUCUGUUGGCUUUUAGUCUGUUUGUCCUUUCCAACAAAACCUUGUCCAUGAUUGUCUGUUAAGAUUUUUGGAGUACAUAUCUGCCUACUUUAAUGGUGUUAAUUUCAGUUGUGCUUGCUUGGUGCUCAUCUCUGAUGCCUGCCAUGUCUUAUGAUUACCAAUAAAAUGAACAUGCUUGUCUCCCGAUUCCUUCUGGAAGUUUUUGAGCCAGGUUGGAGAGAUGAAAAAACUUGUUGAGGAGGGUAAAGUUAAAUACAUCGGUCUAUCAGAGGCCUCUGCUUCGACAAUCAGAAGGGCUCAUGCUGAUCAUCCUAUAAUAGCUGUUCAGUUAGAAUGUCCAUUGUGGUCAAGAGAUUUGGAGGAAGAAAUUCUUCCGACAAGCAGGUAGAAAUAUUUUGUGCUGUUACAAUUGGUUUGGAGGAAAUUAAAUGACUCUAUUUACUUUCCUGUUUCAUUAUCAGAGUGCUUGGUAUUGGCAUUCUCCCUUACAUCUCUCUUGGACGAGGAUUUUUCUCUACAGGACCACAACUGCUUGACAACUUAGCAGAGGGUGACAUGCGUCAGGUUGGUGUACUGAACACUUAUGAGUAUAUUUUCACCUUAUCACGAUUCAUUGCGCUUUUCUCUUUUGUCUUCAAUGGAGUUGGGAAAGUUAGCGAGUAGAUGGCUGGUAAAAGAGAAUGCAUAGAGCAAAGGAUUUUCUAAUUUACAUUAUUUAUCUAUAGCAUAGUAACAUCUCAUCUUAUUUUUGCAUGUACCAUGCAUUUUCUUGCCCAUAAAAGAUGUUUCUGCUGCACGCGCAUGUGUGUGUUUUGACAUCUUUUUCCCCCUUUGUCAUUGGUUUGGUAAGAGGGAGGAGGCAGUCCUUACUUUCAGGUUUUCUCUAGAUUUUCAGUUUUUCGCUGCAGAUGCUAAUGGUCUCCUAAUAUCUGUCCUUGUGUUGUAUGAUAUCUGAAUGGCCAUUCAUUUCUUUUUUCACUAGAAUUCUGCUGAGUGCACGUUAAUGAUACAGUGUUUUUUUCACGUGUGAUACAGCUCUUUUUGCAGGAUUAAUGAUUCAACUUUUGCAACUCUUUAGAAUUAGUUCCAUUCCUGAUAAAGUGCAGUCUUUCGUUGCAGAGUUUUCCAAGGCUGAAACCAGAAAACCUGGAGGAAAACAAGAAAAUAUUUGCACGGGUUAGUGAAAUGGCAGCAAAGGAUGCACCCAAGCACAGCUGGCCUUGGCUUGGGUUCAUCAUCAAGGAGAUGACGUGGUUCCAAUUCCUGGUACCACCAAGAAGGAUAACUUCAACCAAAAUGUAAGAGCUCUAUCAGUAAAAUUAACACGAGAGGGCUUUUUUGGACAAAAAGCUCCAUUUUUUCAAUGGGUUCUACUCUUGCAGAAUAAGGAAUUUUUUUUUUUGUUUUUCUUUCUUGCAAAGAGGGCUUGAUUUUGUGAUUAUGUUCUUGAUUUUGGUAAAAAAAAGGUUUAAAAUUUUCCUUAUUGGUAUUUUAGAUGUGCAGAAAGCAGAAGAAUAGGAUAUGAGUGCAUUAUUUGCCAUCGUUAUUUCAUGAGUCCAUUCGUUACAAACAUACAAUUCAAUUCGAUUCAGUCAUAUGAGUCGACUAAUUUCACAUUAGAGUCGUUCUAAUGUCUUGCACCACUAAGAGCAACCUGAUAUCCAAAUCCACAAAGCGCUGCUCAUCUUCACUGAGUUGUAUCUGUUGUAUUAUAUAGAGAGAGCAGAUGAGCCCAGAAAAUGCAGCUCGCUGCAGCCUCUUCUCACAAUCUUGUUCUUCAAGUGCAUCCGAUAAACAUAGUUUGCUGCUGCAAUAAAAAUUUACCAAUAAACUGUGCCCAACCAUUUGGAAAAUCACAGUCAUGAAGCAUGCAAGUCUAGUCCAAGGCACUCAUUUUACUAGCCCACUAACCUGAGAGUAUAACAGUCAUUCCUCUGUUAGUGCCUAUUACAAACUACUGCUGAUUGUUCAGUGAUUUUCAGAAGAGUAAUAUCCUCUGUCUUUCACAUCCAACCUUGAUUGACUUCAGAUAAAUGCCAUAGAAGGAAAUUUUGUUAUGACGUUACAUAAACGCUACAUGCAAGCUCUACUUCCAGAGCAAACCAGAUAAAGAUGCACUAGCAUCUGUGCCAACCUAUUUGGAAAAUCAUGUCAAGCGUGCAAAUCUAGUCCAUGGCACUCAUUUUACUAGUACAGAAACCAAGAGUAAAAUCUACUGUUGAUUGUUAAGUGAUUUCCAGAUGAGUAAUAUCCUUGUCUUGGACAUCCAAUCUAGAUUAACUGCAGAUAAAUUCCAUAGAAGAAACAUUCGUUAUGACAUUACAUAGUCAGAGCAGACAAGAAAAGAUACAGUAGCAUCUGUUGACUGUCAUGCAAAACAGAACACAGGUAAUGGAGCAGAUUCUGUCGAUUCUGAUUGUUGAUAUAAACAUUUUAAUUUGACAAGAAUUAUUCGUUGUCCUUCAUUCCGGUUCAUUCUGUCAUAUUUAAAUGGUCCAGUGACUUCCUCGUUGGGUUGCUGGUUACUAAAGUUUGAUUGACAGCAAGUGCCUUCUAUCUUUUACAUAUGUUCCGGCUUUAGCUUACCAUUUUCACUUGGAUUUUUUUUUUCUUAUUUUGGGUUGCCAUGGAUGGAUUUGAGAGCAUGGGUGAGACGGGGUGAUCAAUAUGAAGAUCUAUUCAUAAGAUUCCGUGAAUCAGACAAAAAAAAAUUGAGCAUUAGAAGUAAAAUCAUUUUCAAUCUGAGGAACAUCUUAAGACUUCUAGCAUCGGAAUUCAACCAGCUCCACAUUAUCCACAGUAUAUAAAGAAGAAAAGAAGAACAAAUUUAAUGAAGGACAUGAGGUUGUAGUAUACAAGAGGAACAGAGUUCGACUAGCACUACUACGAACUAUUCUUCUCAGAACUCAGAAGUGCUUACUUUACUCUUGUCCUGAUAACGCAACAUGCUAUAUAACUCACAUUCGAUCUUCUUAUAGACAUGCGAUUUUUAAACUCAGUGUCUUGUAGAUUCUAUUAAUUGAAUAUUCUGUUAUGGCAUACUAUUGGAAAUAGAUUAUACCAUUAAAGAGGUGUUUGAUCAUUAUUGGUAUGGUCAAUUUUAUUUACACUCGUAAAGUUUGAGACGAAAGUUUUGUCAAUUAACGUUUCUGACUUCAGUUUGUCAUAAAUAAAUAAAUUACUACAUGUACUUGCCUCGUUAUCUCUCCUCCCCUACUCUUUCGCUUUAUACAUAUUUUUUUCUUUCAUUCCUUCCCAGUUUAUGUUGCAAGAACAUCAUCUAGUUUCCUGGUUUUGAUAUGAGUGCGGAAUCAUCUCGUAUCGUAUCUGAGUACGUACAUAAAGAGUAACAUCUGCAAAGUUCGGGAGCGGGAAACGCACUGCGUGGAUUGCUUUGAGCCUGGUGGUGCAGUAUCUGAAACAGAGGAGCUGCAGCCCGCGCGUAUGGUGGAGGAGCAGCAACCCCAUAAUAUUCAUCAUGAUCGAGCCCAGACUGACAACGUGAUGAACAUGCAGUGGGCGUUGGUGGUUAUUGGAGCUUGUUUCGCGGCCAUUAGCGUCAUCUUGCAAGCUCUCCAAUCUCAUGCAACUCUCCCUGUAGCUUCAACCUUUCCCUGGUUCUGCAUGGCUUUCGAGCUGGCCUUCUUAGCUUUGUUGGUAUCUGUUUACAUACGGCACCAUUAAGACAAAGCAUAUCGUGUCAUGGAGCACGCUGCAAUUUUCUUCUGCGUUGUUGCGCUUCUCUUGGCCAUCUGGAUGACCCUCGAUCCCCCACUCAAGCAGAUGUCCGCCGCCCUCUUCUUUGUUGGGUUCACCAUAAUUAUCCUUGCCAAUCGUUCUCUGCGUGACUGGUGAAUUUUCUCUUUCUUUCCAGAAAUUUUCACUUUAUCUUGGUUUUGUAACAUUUGUUAAUACAGAGAUAUAUCUGAAACAGGGUUUAACGGAACUACUGCAGUGUGAUCCUCUGAUGCAUGCGAUUUAACAUCUCUGCCGAUUGUUUUUCUGCCUCUGAUAAGUUAAAAUUCUGUUUUCCACUUUGUCUUUUCAUUUUCCGUUUUUUAGUAAGUAGUACUGUUUUAUAUGCAUUGGACACGUACAUGUAAAACAGGGCAAACAGAGACCAUGCUGUUGUUACCUGUUGCAGGAGAUACCUGAGUUCCUUUAAAAGACUAGUACUAUGUUUGACUUUUCCUUUCUUAAAUUGUAUGCCAUCUAUUUUUAAGUGGAUCUUUUUUGUUUACAAGCCUGCCAGCCUGUUAUUGGAUUGAUGGCAUUGAACCUUUUUUAUUUUUCCUUUUUUUCAUUUUUUUAAAAUAAAGAGAGAAAAAAAAAAGAUAAUAGGGAAAGGAUUGAACUCGCAAUAAUCGGAUCUUUCCAGUUAUGCACCUCAUUAAUGGAUUUAUUGAAGUGCACGAAAGGAAAGAAGAAAAGCUGUGGAUAGGAACCACUGAGUGGUUCAGGUUGAACUAGUACUAAGAUGGGGAAAAGGGAAACGGAUUAAUGGAACAAGGGAUAAUAAUUGAUCAUUAACUCCAAACUGCCAAGACUGCUGAUGGAUCUUUUCUUGUUGUAUCUCCUAUUUAGUUUUAAGGUGGAUGAUAUAUAGUUCAAUAGGGAUUUGAGUAUGAUGGAUGAUCCGAUCCCUUUACAAGAGACCUUUAUAUGGCGUUCACCAUAAAAUUCUUCCAACAAGCCAAUAAUGGCACCAAAAUGGAUCCUCACAGACAAACCAGUAAUACAUCAUCUGAAAUUGUGAUUAACUAUGAGUCCAAGAUGUGAAUUAUGUAACCAAUCUCCUUACAAUUUUUAACCAAUGCCCAAUUGAUUAAUGAGUCAUUCUAACAUCUUGCACCACUAAGAGCAACCUGAUAUCCAAGUCCAUAAAGCAAUCAUCCUCCCUGAGUUUAUGUACUACAGUAUUAUUGAGAGCAGAUAAGCCUAGAAUACUUUUUGGCAAAAUCUUGAUCUUGAAAACUCAUUCCUCUGUUCUUUUAGAACACUUUUAGGUAAACUAUGUCAUCCUAUCUGGAAAAUGAAGGUCAAACAGCAUGCAACUCUAGUCCAGUGCAGUCAUUGUACCACUUCACUCACUGAGAGUAUAUAUUUAUCAUUCCUGUGUCCUUUCCUAUGUUACUCUAUCACAAACUGCUGUUGAUUGCUGGGUAAUUUCCGGUCAGUAAAAUCCUUCCCUUGCACAUUCUAUUUUGAAUAACUUCAGACAAAUGACAAAAAAUGACAUCAAUUCAUUGCUAAAAGCAAGCUCUACACCAGAGCAUACAAGGAAUUGUUACUCUUAAUCUAUCCACUGUCAUGCAAACAGAGCUAAUGCAAUGGAGCAGCUUACAUUUAAUCAUUAAUUCAACAAGCAUUCACUCUAUCAUGUUUAAAUGCUCCAGAAACUUUCUCAUAUCACCAACAUUUUUUUUUGAAAAUAUUUUCUGGAGUAGCAAAGCAUGCUCAGGUUGGUUUCUCAUACGUUCUUAAGUUUCAAUCUCACUAACACUUCCCUAAAUCGGAAACAUUUCAACUAUACCACGAUCACCACCACCACCACCACCAGUCCUUCUCCUCCACCCAUCCGAAUCACCACCACCACCACUAGCUUCAAAAUUUGAACCUUAAAUUCCCCUCCUUCUCCAACCCCUACUUCUCCUACCAUGUUAGGCCUCUAAAUAUUACAGAUCUGUCGCUUCUCUUCGACAUUUAUCGAGCUCAACCUCUUCCUCUUUGGCACUGUUGCAUUUGUGCUGGCCAUCUUGAUGCCCCUCAGUCUCUCACCCAAUACUUUUUGGCAAAAUCUUGACCUUGAAAGAUCAACGGUAAACUAUGUCAUCCUGUCUGGAAAAUAAAGGUCAUAAAGCAUGCAACCCUAGUCCGAUACAGUCAUUUUACCGCUGGAAAAUGAAGGUCAGAGAAUGUGCUACGAUUGAAUUUAUAAUUAUAUAGAAGAAGAUGCAUCUUUCCUGUUCAGAGUCUAAAGCCUAUUAUUGGAUUGAUGGCACUGAAACAUUUUUUUAAAAAAAAAUGGAGAACAUAGAAUUGGAGUGUCAAUACAACAUAGAGCUUUACAAUUCUGCACCUGAUGAUUGGAUUUAUUGCAGUGCAUGCAACAAAAUAAGAAAGGAUGUGGAUAGGAAUAACUAGCCAUGAUAGAGUUUCUACGACUUUUUUUUUUUUUUUGGGUGUAAAUAGCCAUGAUUCACUUUAUUCCCUCCCUUGAAGGAAUAAAGAGACCUCUUGAAGGAAACUUGAAUUCAAGAUCAAAGUCGAAUUUUUGUGACAUAAAAACUCAAUUUUUUUAGAUAUCAUUCAGGUGACUCUUGUCAACUCUACAAUCAAAUCUAGUCAAUUAUCUUUUACAGUUAUGAGCACUACUCAAAAGUCCCAUAUAACCUUAUUCACUUGAAGACAUUAUAAUGUAUAAUCAUACACUAGGGCACACCAACUUCUAUUUGCAUAAUUAAUGGUAGAGCAAUAAUGCAGUGGAUGUACAGAAUCAAGGCCUUCUAUCAUCUUAGAACAAUAUUUUUAUGACAUGUCUCAUACAUGGCAUCAAAAAUGCUAUACAUGAUGUAAUUUGAGUCUUAUAUUUUCUUUCUUAGACCAAUCUUGACUCUUAACCCUUCAUGGAUAGUUUCUGUAGCAGCGAUUCCUGCCCUAAAUUCGAUACACGCUUAUAUAUUUGGCAGCUGUGCUGUUGACCGCAUAAAAUCAAUCAGGAAAAAAAAAUAACAAGGAGAAAAUGAAAGCAACCUCACCUGGGUCUUAUCUAAAGUGGAAAUUUUGAUCCACUUAAGAGCAUGGGGUUUUGUUUCAAUUCUGUGUUGAAUUGAAUGAAAGAGCUUGUCGUGGGGAAUUUUGCAUGCUUGGUUUUUGGACAAUUGUGAUGCUUAUGAAAGUGCAAUCGGCCGGCCCAAAAUCUUUCGUCUCAACAGAAUUGAGUUCCACUCCAUUUUGUGGCCUCAUUUGGAUUGAGACGCCAGUCCAGGAGAGCAUUGGCAGCAAAAACUUGGAAGAAGAAAAAUGUUUUCUAACACAUUACUUGUGAACUGUUGCCCUGUUUGGCAAGUGAGUUUUGUAAAUGUUUAUCUAAAAUUUUACUGUAGGUUACUGCAGAAAUUUUUUUUAAAAAAAUUUUUAAAGUGUGUAAAUUUUUGAAUAUUUUGAAAUGUAUAGUUUAAAAACUUUAAAAAGUUUUUUGAGACUACUAUAGCUAAAGUUUUUAAAAAAUUUGUGGCAGACAAACUUGGCAAAAAACUCAAGUGUUGUGAAGUGUUGGGGGUGGAUUGUGAACUGUGAAGCUUUGGGGAGGAUUUUGAUUUUUGAGUGCUCUGCUUGUGAACUGUGAAGUGUUGGGGUGAGAAUUAUUUAAACCCGAGUGUAUUAGUUUUAUUUUUGUUUAAUAAUUGGAUUUAAACGCGAGUGCUUUCGUCACAUUUGAUACUUUGUCAAGUUUUGUCAAGUUUCGAAGACCCCUAAGCUCUUCAAGAUCCUUAAAUUUUCUUUUCAAGCUAUCAUAUUACGGAAUAAUUUCUUGUGGUUUUAAUGCCAAAAGAUUGGAAGAAGGUACUGUAUAAAAUUUACUUGUUUUAAAAAGCAAUCUCCUUAGUUAGUAGGUUAUAUAAAACAACUCAUAAAAUGAAAGUUUAUCUGCAAAUUAUGUACAUCAUGUGUCUAGAGAUAAUUUAUCUUAUUGUAUGUUCAACCAAAACAGUUGUUGAAAUUAUAUGCUUAAUUUCUAUGACUUUCCAGUAAUCUUGAUAAAUUUUUAUUAAAAAAAGGCAAAGUAUAUGCCUUCAACGAAGAAUAUGAUGGCCAAUGUAGAACAAAAACACUAUUAUAUAUUUCCAAUUCAUUCAUCAAAUUAUAGUAACAGCAAAAUUUACUAAUCAAAGCAGGUGAUAGUUUGGAUUUUGAUUAGGUUCCGCGGGAAUGCACAAGCCUUAAAGAGGUAAAUGUGAUACCUCCAAUUUGUCCCAUACCGAAAAUUUGCGGUGAACUUGUUUGGGAUAUGACUUUAGAUUCAUUGGGCUAGGAAAAAAACCUUGCUAAAGGCUGUUGGGCUAAUCCUUGGGCUCAAGGAUACUCUCAUGGAAGAGAACCGAGUCAAGUUAAUCACUCGAUGAGGAGUAAGAUUUGUCAGACAUCUGAUGGGGUCUGAGAAUUCUAUCAGAAAUGAAUUCUACGAGAUCAUCUUAGUCUACUACGCUUAUGUCGCUUUCUUUUUUCCCUUAUGCCGCUUUCAUUUCUGAUAGAAUUCAUCCAUGUUUGCAUCUUAGUCUUUUUGAUAGAGAAUUCAUCCAUGUUUGCUCUUUUUGAUAGAGAAUUUUUGCUCUUUUUUCCCUUAUGUCGCUUUCAUUUCUGAUAGAAUUCAUCCAUGUUUGCAUCUUAGUCUACGACGCAAACAUGGAUGAAUUCUCUAUCAAAAAUGAUAGAGAAUUCAUCCAUGUUUGCGUCGUAGACUAAGAUGCAAACAUGGAUGAUGCAAACAUGGAUCAUUUCUGAUAGAAUUCAUCCAUGUUUGCAUCUUAGACUUGCAUCUUAGACUUAGUCUAAGAUGCAAACAUGGAUGAAUUCUAUCAGAAAUGAAAGCGGCAUAAGGGAAAAAAGAAAGCGACAUAAGGGAAAAAAUACGGAUUAAAUUAGUGAAUAAAGGGACUAACAUGGAUGAAUUCUAUCAGAAAUGAAAGCGACAUGGAUGAAAUUAGUCUUGACAGCCGACACUGAAAUUUGUCAUUCAGGCAACUCCUUGAUUGAGUGGUUAACGUAGUGUGAAUGGAAAUUGGAUGGAAAGCCUAGAUUAGGUCAAAAAUAUUUUCUUUGGAGGGCCAAUCGACUGAGAAAUUCUCAAGUUUUUUUGUCAAAAGAGAAAUUUUCAAUUUGAAGGGUAUGAUUUAAAGUUUUUGUGCGAUGUUCCAGUUUGCGAGUUUAUCUGCGGCACCCAUUUGUCCGAGUUCCCUCUACCAUAAAAAUGAAAAAGCUGUCAUGGUCCUAUGAAAAAUUUAAAACACCUGGGUCAGUGGCGGAGCUAGGAAUUGCAAUUUGGGGGGCGAGUCUCUGUUAUUUGGAUCAAGUCCAAAUAACUUUCAAAUAUUAUUGUUUGGGUCCUUGAGAGGGGGCAAAGUGAAAAUUUUUAUCAAUAUUUUGGGGGGACAAAGCAAUAUAAUAAAAAUUUUUUUACUUAGAAAUUUUUUUAUAACAAUUGGAGGGGGGGCAAAGUGAAAUUUUUUAUCAAUAUUUGGGGGGCAAAACAAUAUAAUAAAAAAAUUUUUACUUAGAAUUUUUUUUUUUUAACAAUUGGAGGGGGGGCGGUUGCCCCCCCUGGCCCCCCCUUCCCUCCGCCCCUGACCUGGGUGAAAGAUUAAUAAAUAAAGAAGCUGCACAAAUCUAAUAUUUGAGUUCUUUUACUCUAUUUUGGAGCAUAAGCAGGGCAAAUUUCACCCUAUUUGAUCACCACUUCAAGGGAGGUGAUCCAAUGAUUUUUUAGUGUAAUUGCAUGUUUUGAGUAUUUUUUCUUUAAUUAGUCAUUUUUAUUCAUUUUAAGUUUCAUUUGUUUUAUUUAAUUUUGAUGAUUAUUUGAGAGGCAUUAAAAUGUCAAGUUGUAAUAGAUAGGUGCUCAAGACAUGUAUUUAGCUAGUUUAUGUAAUAGAUAGAUUUUAAUUUUUGCUGAAAAUAUAUUUAGUUAGAUAAAUAUAAUAAUUAGAUUAUUAUUAUUUCAAUUUUCCCCUUAAAUUAUAGUUAGGGCUCUCGAAUAUAAUAAUUAGACUUUUAUUUGCGUUUAUAUGCUUGUGUGUUUGCAUACUUGUGUGUUUACGUGUUUAUUCGUUUUCACUAGGCUUUGAAAGUAAUUUUCACAUCCAGAAUAUGAAAGUCUCACAAAGGAUAUGAACCCAUUUAAACACAACUGCCAUAGAGGAUCCCAACUGCUAUAUAAACACAACACAACACCGGCAGCGAACCCAUUGAGAAGUUUUCUUCCGGAGAUUUACCCGUCUCAGAAAUUUUGGGCGAACUCAGGCUUUUGCAGCCAUCAACUUCUUCUUCACCUUGAUGGAGUUCGCUAAGGGCUUCCCGGUACGGAAAUGGUGGGAGUCUAGAAACAGGGCCGCCCAACUCCUCCCACCACCAUUGCCAACCGUGAAAAUCCAACAACUCCCACCACAAUUGCCAACCGUACAACUCAAACUCAAACCCAGUGCAGCAUCUCAACUUGAGGAGCAGCUGUCCCUGCCUGCCGUCCGGCAACCAAAUAAUAAUGGCGAUGAUCAGAACCCCAACUUCGUUGACUAUGUGAUGAAGAUGCAGUGGGCGUUGCUGGUCAUCGGAGUUUGUAUUGCAGCCUUUAGCGCCGCCUUGCAAGCUCUCCGUACUCCUGCACCUCUCCCUCCAACCUUUCACUGGCUUUGCAUGCUUCUGGAGCUGGCCGUUCUUGCUUUGUUGGUCUCCGUUUACAUCCGCCGCCGUUACGAGACGGCAUCUCUUAUCAUGGCACAUGUUGCAAUUUUCAUGGGCGCCACUGAUUCAUGCUGGCCAUUGCAGUGGCACUUCCGGCUCCGCUAAUGGGGAUAUCCAUCGCACUCUACAUCGUUGCAAUCCUCGCAAUCAUCUUUGCUAAUCGUUGAAUCUCCUGCUCAGGUAUUUGUUUAUUAACUUUUUCUUUUUCUUUUUGGCAUUUUUCAGCAUAUUUUGAAUUUGUUUUGUUAUAUACAUAUCUACCCGGCUGAAACAGGAAUUGCCAGGACGUACUACUGUGUUAUUCUCUGAAAUGCUCGAACAUCUUCGCUGAUUUGAUGACGACAAAAUUCUCCUAAAAGUUAAGCUCAUGCUUUUUCGCUUUGUCUUUUCAUUUGUGUAUUUUACGAAUCCGUGUAAACAGGGCAGAUGUUGUUGUUUUUGCUGUUGUUGUUUUCGGAAAUAAGCUCAAGGAUGUAUUAGGAUUACCAUGUUCGUACUAUUCCAUUCUUGGAAUGUGGACAUCAUGCUAUAUUUGAAUUUCUGGUUAUACGUAAGUGCAUCUUUCCUGUUAUGAAGAGUGUAAAGCCUAUUAUUUAUUGGAUUGAUGGCACUGAAUUAUUUAUUUCACAAAAAAGAAGAAAAAGAAGAGAUUCGAAAUUUCGAAUGUCAAGCCUAUAACAUAGUUGACCUGAUAAGGUCCUGAACGAAUGCUGCUCGCUGCGUUCUGUCCUCAGAAUCUUGUUCUUGAACUGCAUCUGGGAAAGAUGGCCAGUUACUGCAAGAAGAAAAUUCUGUCAUCCUGUCUUGAAAGCAGAGGUCAUGCACAAUAGAACUCUAAUCUUUCACCAGUUCACCAACGGAUGGAAUAUGGCAACUAUUCUGCUAUUCCUUCCUUUUAUUACAAAAUGUUGUUGAUCAUUUGGUGAUUUUCAGAGGAGCAAAAUCUUUAGGAUUGGAUUGGAUUGAAGAAAAAUUUGCAAUGACAUUACAUACUUGCUAAACAGAAGCUCUGCCACCAGAGCAAACAACAAAAACGCUACACUAUUAUCAAAUCAACUGGCAUGCAUACAUAGGAAAAGUAAUGCAGCAGCUUCUAUCGAGUAUGAUCGUUCACACAGACAUUAAUUUGACAAGCAUCGUUCACUGUUCUGCAUUUCCAUUUCACUGACUCUAUCCAAUUUACAUGCUCUGGCAACUUUCUUAUAAACUCACUGCAGUGGAUUGCCAUUAAAAUGCCUUCUAUUUUCCAAGUACCCCGGAUAUAGAUUGCCAUUUUCACUUUGAUUUUUCUUUUUCUUUUUUUGGGUUUGAGUGGAAGGAUUGGAGAGCAGGGGUGAGCGUGAUAAACUGCUCAAAGAGAUAGGCUAUCAUAUGAGUGGAAGUUAGACAAGAAACUUAGGCAUCAUCAACAAUGAAUCCACUUCAAUCUAAAGCGAAUCUUACGGCAUUUAUUGUUGGUGUUAAACCAUCUGCUCCACCUUAUUCCCUCUAUUUAGGCAAAGAACAAAAAGAAUUAUAAGAAAAGGAUAGCUUAUAUACACGAGGAAUAAAGUUACAUAAGACUAGUAGUGCUCUGUGCUCUUAUCGGUCUUGCCAUCCAAAGCAAACCCCCAGACACGUGAUAACUGACAUGGACAUGCUGAAAGACAAUAACUUUUUGGGCUGCAACCAAGAAACGAAAAGUUUGAUUUCUGGAUUUUCCUAAAAAUGUAAAAAAAAAUGCUUUUAUUAGACCAAAAAAAAAUGAUGCAUUCUCUUGUUCGGUUUUCUACCCAAAAAAAAAAAAAAUGAUACACUACAUCUCAGUUUAAACAGCUUUUUCAGCUUCAUCUGUAUUCGUUCAACUGCAAUUUUGGGCUUCACAAUCAAGAAUAUUAGCUAGGAUUUGAGUCAUGCUGAGAACUUCUCCUAUUGAAAUAAGGUACUUCUUGUGUCUUAUGUUCACUUUGAUGUAGAAUCAGAGAAUCCUCUUUUUCAUUCUCCAAUCAGAAAAUUUGCGAAGAAGCUAGUAGAACCUGAAAGCAUGUCAAAGUCUUAAUUCCUAUGAUAGUGAAGAUACUCACACCGCUUGAAAACUGUGAAGCUACCAUUACAAGUUUAUCAUCUACCAUAAAUUAUAGUAUGAUACGUAUGCAUUCUAUUAAGAUGAGUAAUCAAACAUUAAUAAUUACCAGAAAAGAAGUUCAGGCAGAAGACAUACUUUAUGGAAUUUCAUCCUGAGCAAAAUAAAAAUGCUUUUCAUUUUCCAAUUAAAUCAACCCAGAUGAUCUUAAAUUGGCGUGCUUUCAUCAAUAAAUCAAGGCGGAGGAGCAGAAGAGUGGGUUGCCCUGCCCCGAUUUAUUUUUUUAGUGUAGUAAUUUUUCUUUCUAGCGUUUCCAAUUAGUACCAUUAAUUUUUGGGCAAAAUAUCUUGGCGCCCAUUAAACUAUUUCCUACGUCUAUUUUUCAUCAUCAAACUAUUUUUCAUCACAAUUCAGCCACUCAACUAACUAAACGGUAUAUAUGUGGUCAUCUUGUCGGAUUUUGCUCUUAAUUUACAAAAUAAACCAAAUGCGUGCAAAUCACAUGUCAAAAUUUAAGGGUCAAUAUGUCCACUAAACUUCUCAAUCUGAACCUAAAAACUCUGAUGGCCACUAAACUUUUUCCACUCAUACACUUUUGACCACUCAAAUAUUUUUUGUUUCAAUAUAGUCACUUAACUCUUAAAUCCGUGUACUAGUGCUCAUUCCGUCAAACAUUUUUGUUAAUGCUAACGGACUGAGCUCCAUAUUCAUUUCACGUACCAAAAAUAAAGAUAAUUUCUUAAGAUCAAUUUUUUAGAUUUUUUCCAUCUAGAGUUUUAGAUUUUUUUAAUUGACAAAAAAAUAAAAUUUAGAAUAUUUUAUAGUUGCUUUAAUAUAUUCUAAUUUAAAAGUUUUGACAAAAAUUACUCUACAAUAAAAAGAUGUAACUAUUCGUUGUCCUUUGCUUUCCUUUCUUUGCCAAAAAAAAAAAAAAUUCAAUCCAAUCUCUGUUAAGUGUCUCUAUCAGAAUUGGAAUUGCAAUUAUGUCCAAUCAGAAUAUAGAACAGGACACAAUUGUAUCAAUUUGGUAGCUGACAUAGGAUGGAGGAAGAUCAUUUUAUGAGUCCUAAGGCUAAGGCACAAAAACAUUAGUCCUUCUAAUGCCAUAUUAUCAAGACAUUUCCUAGGCAUUUCGUUCAGCUUUGCAGAAACACAUUCCCCUUUGCCACCGAAAAAAAAUUCCCUUGAAGCACACAUUAAUUGUUCCGAUAAGGAAUGUGGUGGGGAAAAUUCAGGCUUGCAGUCAAUAUCGUGAUCGACCUGGCCAAGCAGCUCCCUCUAUGGAGGAGGGUAAGGCCAAUUCCACCAGAGUUGCCUACUGCCCAAGUUGAGCCUAGUGGUGAAGUAUCUGAAACAGAGGAGCUGCAGCCUGCGCGUAUGGUGGAGCAGCAGCAACCCGAUCAAAGUCAUCAUGAUCGAGCCCAGAUUGACAACGUGAUGAACAUGCAGUGGGUGUUGCUGGUUAUUGGAGCUUGUUUCGCGGCCAUUAGCGUCAUCUUGCAGGCUCUCCAAACUCGUGCAACUCUCCUUGUAGCUUCAACCUUUCCUUGGUUCUGCAUGGCUGUCGAGAUGGCCUUAUUAGCUUUGUUGGCAUCUGUUUACAUACGUCGCCAUUACCACAAAACAUCUCUUGUCAUGGAGCACGUUGCAAUUUUCUUCUGCGCUGUUGCGCUUCUCUUGGCCAUCUGGAUGAACCUCGAUCCCCUGCUCAAGCAGAAAUCCGUCGCCAUCUUCUUCAUUGGGUUCACAAUAAUAAUCCUAGCCAAUCGUUCUCUGCGUGACUGGUGAAUUUUUUCUUUCUUUCCAGUAUUUUUCACUUUAUUUUGGUUUUAUAACAUUUGUUAAUACAUAGAUAUAUCUGAAACAGGGUUUAACAGGACUACUGCAGUGUGAUCCUCUGAGAAGUUGGAAUUCUGUUUUCCACUUCGUCUUUUCAUUUUCAGUUUUUUAGUAAGUACUUUUUUUUUAUAUGCGUUGGACACGUACAUGUAAAACAGGGCAAACAGAGACCUUGUUGUUGUUGGAGGAGAUGCCUGGACUAUAAUUCCUUUAAAGAUACAUGUACUACUAUGUUUGACUUUUCCUUUCUUAAACUGUAUGCUGUCUAUAUUUAAGUGGAUCUUUUUUGCUUACAAGCCUGCCUGUUAUGGGAUUGAUGGCACUCAACUUUUUUUUCCCUUUUUAUCUUUUUUUUUAGAGAGAGAGAGUAAGGAAAGGAUUGGACUCGCAAUAAUUAGAUCUUUCCAGUUAUGCACCUCAGUAUUGGAUUUGUUGAAGUGCACGAAAGGAAAGAAGAAAGGCUGUGGAUAGGAAUUAAUGAGAUGGUUCAGGUUGAACUAGUACUAAGAUCGAGAAAAGAGAAAUGGAUUAAUGGAUAAUGAUUGAUCAUUGACUCCAAACUGCCUAGACUGCUGAUGGAUCUUUCCUAGACUGUUGAUAGCUCAAUAGCGUUUGAGUAUGAUGGAUGAUCCGAUCCCUUUACAAGAGACCUUUUAAUUGCGUUCACCAUAAAAUUCACCCAACAAGCCAAGAAUGACACCAAAAUGGAUCCUGACAGACAAACCAAUAAUACACCAUCUAAUAUUGUGAUUAAAUAUGAGUCCAAGGUGUGAAUUAUGUAACCAUUCCCUUUACAAGUUUAACCAAUGCCCAAUUGAUUAAUGAGUCAUUGUAACAUCUUGCACUGCUAAGAGCAACCUGAUACCCAAGUCCACAAAGCAAUGAUCCUCCCUAAGUUUAUCUAUCACAGUAUAUUGAGAGCAGACAAGCCUAGAAUACUGUAGGAAGGUCAAUGGUAAUUGUGUCAUCCUAUAUAGAAAAUGAAGGUCAUAAAGCAUGCAGCAUUAGUCCAAUCAUGGUUCAAAGUCGUGGUCGCGGUCACGGUCGCGGCCCGGAACGUUCCACAUCGGUUUCAGCAUAUCGGUCGCGGUCUCGGUGAGACGCAAAUUUUAAAGUAUUUAAUAUUCUAAAAAUUAUUAAUAAUAUAAAAAAAGUAUGCUAAACAAAAAUAAUAAAAAAUAGCAAAAGAAAUGGCCAAGUCAAUCCGUCACGGUGUAACUCGGCCGAUUUCUCGUCUUGACUCGGGAUAACUCGGAGUGACUCGGCCGAGUCAAUCCGUCGCGGUGACGUCUCGGCCGAUUUCUCGGCGAGUCAAGUAUCUCGGUAUCGUAUCGUCACGGUAUCGUAUCGGUAGGGGCCGAGACGGUGACGACUCGGCCGAGACUUCGAACCAUGAGUCCAAUGCAGUCAUUGUACCACUUCACUGACUGAGAGUACAUCUUUAUCGUUCCUCUGUUCUUUCCUAUCUUACCAUAUCACAAACUACUGUUGAUUGUUGGGAAAUUUCCAGUCAGUAAAAUCCUUCCCUUGCACGUUCUAUUUUGAAUAACUUCAGAAAAAUGACAAAAAAAUGACAGCAAUUAAUUGCUCAAAGCAUGCUCUACACCAGAGCAUACAAGGAAUUGGUUCUCUUAAUCUAUCCACUGCCAUGCAAACAGAGCUAAAGUAAUGGAGCAGCUUACAUCGAGUUCGACCUUUCAUUUAAUCAUUAAUUCGACAAGCAUUCACUCUAUCAUGUUUAAAUGCUCCAGCAACUUUCUCAUAGACUUACUACUGCUUUGGCUUACCGUAAUUGCCUCCGCCCCCCCUCUCUCUCUCUCUUUAGGUUGUGGUGGAGGUAUUCUUUGGUAUCCACUGGAUGUCAGAGAAGAAACUGGAGCAUUAUUAACAAAAUGGAUCCACUACACAAUCUGAGGAGUAUCGUAUGACUUUUAGUAAGGAAUGAAAAGAACAGUAAAUUUAAUGAAAACAAGAAGUUACUGUAUAAAAGAGGACCAGAGAUUCAAGAAAUACUGUCUAGAAUUCUUCUUCUCAGAAGCGAUCACUUUGCUCUUGUUUUUAUUGGAUUUUCCAUGCAAGCCUACCCUCCAGCAACAUGUGAUAACUCACAUUUGAUCUACUGAUAGAUGUUCAUUUGUGCAAGUAUAUUGUGGGCUUCAACUUAAUGACAAGCUAAUUAAUGUUAAUAGUUGUUAACCAAAAAAUGUUAAUUUGGCAGUUCAAAUUUUUUUUUUUUAGCUUCAUCUGAGUUUCAGUAACAACACUUUGGCUUCAAAAUCAAGAAGUCUAGGGAGAGAUUUAUGUGGAGAUUUUUUUCAAAAUAAGAGACUUCUGUAUGGUAUUUACUCUUUCCGGUUUUCUAGAGCUGUUCCAGUUAGAUGCUUAUCAACUAUCAUAUCCUUUUCUUUCCCUUUUUUUUGUUUUUUAACUUCUCCAAGCAGAAAAUUUAAACAGAAGCUAGCAGAACUAGAGAGCAUCUAAAGUUCUUCACUCCUCUGAGAUUAAAAAUCCUCAUAGCCAUGCUUGAAAACUAUGAAUGGAAGGGCUCAAGUUACUCAUCAAUCAGAAGACUAUACAGCUCCCUUUUAUCAAAGGAAGAACUAAAUUCUUAGGAUAAAUUACCAACAACAAAAAUAGAGAAGAUUUGCAGCUUGUAGAAAUGCAUUCUGAGCAGAAUACUAACUUACAUUUUUUUCAACAAACAGAAUACUGACUUACAUGUGUGAAGAGAUUGUGUUCCCGUAACUGGAAGUAUGUAAUUCCUUUGACGACUAGUGCUAUAAUUCAUCUGUCAUUGAUGUUUUAUGAUUACUGAAUUUAUCCCUUUCCUUUAAUUGUAGAGAUAACAUGAUUUGACAUCUCCAAUUGAGAUUGUCGUUCACGACCAGGAGCCAAAACCAAAGUUCUGGUUUACUUGUUUGAUCAUCCAUCUGCAAAGAAUUAAGGGAAUUUUGCAGGCAUGCAUAGUAGUGAUAAUAUUGGGAAAAAAAAAUGCCCGUGGAGCAAGGACAGAGGGAGUUAUGUUGCAUUAGAGAGAGUUAUCUCCUGCUUCAAACCUACCCGUUAUCAUCCUUAUUCAAAGAAGAAAGAAAUAGAAAGAACAAUUAGGGAAAAAAAAAAAAAGCUUAUCCCUAAAUAGUAGUAUUCAGAAUAAAUGUAUUACAAGUUUUAUGGAAUGCUCCAAGGUGGGGGAUGAUCAUCAAAGGGGUUUCAAAAACGAAAAUUAGUUUGUAGGGAUAAGGGGUAUAACAAUGUUUAAUUCGUGUACGGUAGUAGAAAGAUGGUCAUCAUCAUCACAUUGAAAUGUAUUACUACAAGUUUCGACUCAAAAUGAAAACUGGAAAUUUAGGGGAAUUGUAUAUACAAAAAAUCAAGAUUAGCCCACUUGAGUGAAAGUUACUAAAAUUUCAAAAGAAAAAAAAAAUGAGGGGAAUUCAAAUCUAUUGAGACUGAGAUUUUGGGCCAGCCCCAUUUCAUUUUCCUGAGCAUCCAACAGAACUACCCAAUAACUAAACAUGCAUAACACUCCAUGGCACAAGAUAUUUCUUGCACUAGAGAAUUUGAAAUUAAAGCCCAUGCUGUCUCAACUGGAUCAAAAUUUCAGCAGCCUGGAUCAAAAUUUCAUUUUCUCCUUGUCAUUAUUGUUUUCUUUUUGAUUCAUUCUUUGCAGUCAACGGUUCAGCAAAAAAUCAACGUGACGCGAGAGAUGUUUCAAUGAUUUUACUACUGCUAUAAUUUAAGUUUCUUAAUUUUUUGGAAUGUGGAAACGAUGCUUUGAUUGGAUUUCGUCUUUGUGGAUCACGUUGGCUCGAUUCCAAUGACUUGACCUAUGGCACGAAGUGUUUAUUAUAUAUAUUAUAAAAGAAACAGUAAAAAAAAAGACAGAGACAUGGAAACGUAAGGCACGAGACAUUUUUCCCCCCCUUUUUCUUUUUGUCAAAACCGGGCAUUUGUCUUGAUAUGACACGAACAAAAUAUAUUCACACUAACCGUAUCGACAACGACACGGCCAAGAUUAUGCAUUACUAGAUUUUACUUAUUUGGUUUUGUUCUAAAAUGGUUAAAUACAGAGUUACCAAAGUAAGAGUCCAAACUACCUGUACCCAAGAAAACUGCAUUACUUAUUUGGUUUUGUUUUUCUAUUGAGAAAAAGAAUGGCUUCCAUAGUGCAAUAGAAAUACAUACAUAUAUAUAUAUAUAUAUAUAUAUAUAUAUAAAGACUGCGAUCUCCCAUAAUGAGUUGGGACUGGGAAUAAAGAACGUUGAUAUUCCUAAAUUGAUUUGCUAAUUUAGCAAACUAAACAUAAACCUUAUUUUGUAUUAAGCAUAGGAUGGCAUGGAUAUAGCUUAAUUAAUAUAUUUUUUUUAAAGUAAAGAGGACUAAUUAGAUAUUUGGUUGUACGACUAGCUUUGAUGGGGGAAUUUUGGAAUACAGCAAAUUGUAAACUUAAAAACACCAAAAGCUGUUUGAACAUGUUGAUAUUCCUAAAUGCCAUUUUUCCACAUAAUUUAUACUUGCUAUGUUGAGUCACCAUUUCAUAGAGGUAAUGCGUACUUCUGUAAUUAGCUCAAUUCACGGUAGUUUGAAUCUAAGCAUUAGAUUGGAGAGUAGAGCUUCGAACAAAAGUGAUUAAGCAUAGCAUGGCAUGGAUACAGCUUAAUUUUUCCAUUCUAAGGAUUCAAGAAUUAUACUAUAAAAAAAAAAAGAGGGCACAGAAAGAUGUGUUUGUACAAUUUUCUUAGUACAAUUUUUAAAUUACUUUUUUUUCUACCUCACAUAUAUUACGCCUCAAUAAUUAAGUGCUAUAGGUUUUUUUUUACAAAAACUAAAAAAAAAAAAAAAUCCCCAAAAACGCAAUGCAGAUAGUCUCUUAAUGUGCUAAAAAUGUGCUCAAAUUAGAUUUGACAUCUACUAAUAAACGCUUCCAUGCUUACAAGGCCAGUUGAAUCGGUUUUGUGAUUCCUCUUGUCUAUUCUUUGCUUCUGUUUGGGAUGACGAAACUUUACCCAGAGGAUUAUUAGUAUGAAACACUUCCAAAAUGGAUUGAGCUUCCAAUAUUAACUGAAUAUAUUCUACGUACUAUGCCAUACUAUUGGUACUAAACUAAAAGAGCUCUUUGAUCAUUAACCCUAAUAUUGGAGAGACCAAUUCCAAAAGUGAGGGUGUCCAGAUGAGAUGAAUUGUUCUCAAUUAACUUUUACUGACUUUUUAGUGUGUAACUCGUAAGUCCUAACCCUAAUAUUGGAGAUGUCACAAGUGGGAAAAACAGUUGGGGUUGGUUGACUUUCUUAAUUGUCCCAUCGGUCGCCGAACAUUAUGUAACUCGUUAAAAAGUCGAUUAAUUCUGUGGGUCGUUAAGUUAAAAGCUAUUUGAGGUUAAAAAAAAUUAAAAUUUAGAAAACCGUGGAACGAAGUUACGGUUCACUUGGUUGCUAGCUCAUUACAUCAUUCCACUGCUAGCCGACAUCCCCCCGGGCACAAAAUUUUGGAGCGAAGUUUUCUUUGGGGCCCAAAAAUAUUUGCGCUGACAAGAAAAUUUUAGCACGGGCGAAAUCGUCGGCCAAACCUCGAAUUUCUCUUGACAAAACGUCGUUAAAUCGAUGCUUGAAAGCCGUUUAACACGAAGUGGUUAGUCUAGUCAUUCAUUGAAAUCGAUGCAGACAAUAUGAAUGACCACUUAUUAACAAACCAAACAACGCGAGGCAUUGGAUCGGGAGUUUUCCUUAUCUUUGGUAGGGAUGGGCCAAAAAACCUGCCGAUCCGAAAAAUCGAUCCGAAAAAUAGGAUAUUCGAUCCUAUUUUUUUUAGCGGGGUAAAUGAGGAUUGGGUACCCGCAAAAAUCGGAUACUGAUAUGGAUCAGAAAAAUAAAAACCCGCGGGUACCCGAACCGCAGGGUAUAUUAUAUAAAUAUUAAAAAAUUAGGGAUCAUUUUAUAACUUUAUAAUUUUUAAUUCUAAGUGCAAGUGAAGUGGCUUACAGUCUCAUAUUCUAAUCCCAUAUGAUCCACCUCUUCUCAUUUUGUUUGAAGAAAGCGAAUAUUUUCGGUGAAACAUAAAUCAAAUGAACAAAAUGAAAAAAUAUUUGUGAAGCCCUGUUACAAAAAUUGUUCAUUCCUUUCAUUCUUUUUAUUUUUAUUCAUCCUUUCAUCGAUUUUUCCUGCAAAUUUUGCAUCAACUCAAUCAAAGAUUUGUGUUUGGAGGUUCAAUUUUCUGUUAGCUAGAUAAUUAAAACAUUUGUGUCUUUCAUUUAUUUAUUUAUUUGAUUUAUUUUAUUGCAAUUAUGUCUCUUAAAUUUGUCUCUUUUAUUUAGUGUAAGAAAUUUAUUUUUCUUUUUCAUCACCUUUAAUACCAUAAGGUCUAUUCCAAAGAUAUAAAGAAGUUGGGGAAGAUUUUUCAAAGUUAUUUUGGUUAUACUUUUUCCAAAAAUAAUUAGUUCUAUUCAAUUCUUUUCCGAACUUGAUUUCACAAUCAACUUAUUUGGGAUGCAGUCUUGUACCAUAACAACCUUGAGGAAGUUGGGGAAGUUGCCAAAUACUUAUUAUCCUUGUGUUUGUUGUGUUGUAGAAGGAUGAAAUGUGUGAGAAUGGUGAUGUACUCAAAAUUAUUAUGAAAUUUCAUUUUGUCUAUUAGAUAUUAUAAUUCUAAUAUGUACUUAAUUUAUGAGAUCAAUUUGAUUGUUGGAUGAAAUGUGUGAGAAUGGUGAUAUAUGGACUUUAAUUACUAUAUAUGUACUAAUAUUAAUUGGAAAGCAUGUUUUUUUAUUGAAAAACAUGUUGACAUUAAGUGGAAAGCAAUUUUUUUUAUUGAAAAAUAGUUUUUUUUAGGGGUGGGUACCCUAUGACCCACCUCUUUUUUCGGAUACCCGAAGACAUUAGAAGCGGGUUAGGGUCACAAAAUGGCUGAUCCGAUAUAUUAGGGUCGGGUCAACCAAAUCAUAUUAAGAACGGGUACGCGAUCCGUGCUCACCCCUAAUCUUUGGCAAAGCUAAUACUUAAAGUCUAAAACUAGGGCACCGGUUGUGUGGGUGAAAAUGUGCCACGAAUUUGGAUUAAAAUAGGAAGUAAUUAAGAAUUCCUAAGCUGACUUGCACUUUUUAAUUAUACUAAUUGGCAUAGUUAAUCUUUAAAGAGCUAUUAGAUUUAAUGACGUGUAAAAAAAGUCUACAUUAAUUACGAUAAGAUUUUGCCGAAGGAUUUAUAUCUAACUUACCAUGCACACACUCAUAUUUAAUACGCACUACUAUUUAGACAUUUUUCAAAUUAGUUUUACAAUUGUCAAAAAAAAAUUUAAUAAUUGAGGCCCUUUUUAAUGAUUGUCUCUUGGGUACCUAUUAGCCAAAUUCUCAUAAUAAUAUCCAAUAGAGAUAUCAAAUUUUAGCACUACUAGCUUGCUCAUAAUUAAAAAUCCUGAAAUAGUAUCCUAUGUUACGUCUGAUUACCAAUUGCAACUUUUGUAAGUAAUUAUUAAGUUCUAAGGGCAACAUCCAGUUCAAGGACUAGCAUCAUUAACAACAUUAUUUUAAAUGAGGAAGUCUAGAGGUGGUCUUCAAAAUUGAGAUCAAUUAGCAAUUGCAAAUUUUGUUGGUAAUUAUAAAGUUCUAUGGUGGCAUCCAAUUAUAUGCCUAAUUAAUAUUGAUAAUAUUAGUUAAUAAUCGUUAAAAGGUCCUAACUGGCACCCAAUUUCAUAUCAAUUGCAACUUUUAUUAGUAAUUAUAAAGUCCUAAAGUGACAACCAAUUCAAAGACUAAUUAGUAAGUUGUUGAGUUAGAUAGUUCUAUGUAAUGCCAACUUUAUAUUUCCAGUUGUCGUCACCCAGGCGUAAUUAGUGUUUGUAUACUUUUGUUUUAUUUAUUCUUUUUAUAUAUAAUAAUAAUCAAAUCCAUUUCUCUUUACUUACUUUUUUUAAAAAAAUAAUUUUAAUGAAUUUUUAAUUUUCCUACCCUUUUUAUACAUUAUAAUUAAAUAUUACUAUUUUAAAAUUUUUUUUUAUCAAUCAACCCAUAAUAUUCCUACCUCAUGGUUUCCCUAAUAACAUGUUCUCACCUAAUUUCUUUUCAUGCCAAUGAUAAAGAAUAUUACAUAUACUCACGUCAUUGUGUAUGUGUAUUCCUAGCUUAAUUAUAUUUAUGAUUUUUAAAAAUCUUGACAACUUCAUAAUUCAAUAAUUCAUUUUCUUACUUUUAGCAUAUUGCUGGUACUAAUCCAUUUAGUAAGUAAUUAAUUAUAAAUGUGUAAGGUGACAAUUAUAUAUAGCAUUAAUUAGUCUUAACAAGUUUAGUAAUUGAUAUAAAGGCAAAAAGUGGCAAUUAUUUUUAGGCCAAAAUAGUAUUGACAAGUUUAAUAAGUGCUUAUAAAGUCCCAAGUUGAUAAUCAAUUUUAAGAAUGACUACUAUUGGCGACAUUAGCGAAACAAUUCCAGAAGUCUAAAGUGACAAAACAUGUUAAGGGUACUUAAUUUGUGUUAACAUAUUAGUCAAACUAUUAGAAAGGCCUGGGUUAAAAUCAAAUUUAAGCAUAAUUUGUAUAGGCAAUAUUAGUCAAACUAUUAGAAUUGUCUAAUGUGGCAAUCAAUUUUAUGCUAAUUAGUGUUAUCAAUAUUAGUCAAAUAAUUAAUAAAAGGAUAAGGUGACAAUCAAUUUUAAGCAUAACAAGGGUUGAUAAUUCAAUCAAAUAAACAAAAACGCAUGAGCUGACAAUCAAUUUUACAACUAAUUAGCAUUUACAAUUUUAAUAAAAAAAAUUAAAAGGUCUAUGCUACCAAUUAAUUAUAAAACAUGUUUAUUAAGUACUUACAAAGGCCUAACAUGCAAUCAAGUUUAAGGUUAAGUAAAUAUCAAAAUAUUAGUAAGUAAUUGCAAAAAACUAAUGUGGUAACCAAUUAUAAGGUUAAUUAGAAUGGACAAUUUUUAGUCAAAAAAAAAUUUGAGUAUGAGGUUUCACCUUUUUUAGUCCCUUACUUUUACAAUGGUGUUCUUUUGGCCCUUCACAUAUCCAAAAUGCACCAUUUUCAUCCCAAUUCUCAUUUUUAGCUAUAUUUUCACUUUUAAUUCUAAUUGUGAACUAAUUUGGACCAAAGCUCAAAAAAGGAAAAGAAAAGAAAAAAAGCCAUUCUUUAGGUUCCUAAGUUCAUUCUUUGAAAGUUUUCAAACUCAUAUUAUUCUUUUUAAGAUAUUCAAACUAAGUAAAGGUUGAAUGCUAGAUUUAGUAUUUAAAAUUUUAUUUGUGGUGUUUUCAGGGUCCAAACGAAAUGUUUUCUUUGUAAUAAUGUAUUAUGAGCGAAUUUCUAGAGUUUAGUAAAUUUUUUUUUGGUCUAAAUUAUGUAGCACUUAAAAUAAGGUAAUUUACUACAUCAAUUUAGUUUCAAAUAAUAUUUUUAUAAUUUCUUUUCAUGAUUCUACUCAUAUGAUCAAAUAAAGUGCUACGUGAUUUUGACAACAUUAAAAGAUAGAAUAUAAUUUAUGAAGAUCUAAAAAUUCAUUCAUAAAAUGAUAUUAUGAACAAAACAAAUCUUGGUUGGACCAUGAAAACACCUCAAAUAAAAUUUUAAACAUUGAAUCUUACAUUCAUCUUAUAAAGAAAAAAACAACUGAUCUUGGAAAUUUCCAAUUUUACAACAAUACUCUAAAUUUUGGAGAAUGAAUUUAGAAGCUUAAGAAUGAUUUUUUUUUGUUUUGUUUUUUCAGCUUUGGUUCAGUUUAGUUCAAAACUAGAAUUAAACGUGAUGAUGUGGCCAGAAAUGAGAAUAGAGAUGAAAAAUGAUACAUCCUAGAUAUGUUAAGGGCCAAAAAUCACCACCAUUAAUAAACCGGUUUUGACUUCCUCUCUUUCACCAAAGUAUUUUGUACUAUUCCCUCCGUCCCAUUUUAAUAGUGCUGUUUCUUUUUUCAUACAAUUUAAAAAAAAGUAGUUAAUUUUGUUGGAAAAAUAAAUUUAGAUUACUAUUUUCCUAAAAUAUCCUCACAUUAAAUAUGGUACAACUUUAUGGGAAAUUGAAUUGAUGGUAAAAAAAGAUUCAACUUUCAUUAAAUAGGGUAGGUUUAUAGUAACAAUUACUUAUAUUGAAUAAGGAUAUUUUAAAAAAAUUAAAAUACAAUUAUAUUUUUUAAUUAAAAAAUAGAUUACAAUUUGGAACAGAUGAAAAAGGAAUAGAGGAUCGUAAACGACACAUCAUGACGUAGAAAGUGGCCGGAACCUUGUAAACGUAAAUGUCUUCACCCACGUGGAAAAUGUGUUAUGCAUAGAAAAUGGGGCUAUGACUUAUGAAACACGCACACAGAGCAUGUCCUUAGAAAACACAACACAUUGAAAUCUGUGCAAUAUAUGGAAAGAGCUCUCAAGUACGGUACCGUACAGCACGCGUCAUGUGAUCAAGAUUUCCCAAUCCACGACUGUGUGGGUCAGCCAUUUUUUUAUCCCCUCUGGAAGCGACAAUACCCUAAAAUUUGAUCCCUAAGCGAAGUCUCUUUUUCAAUCUUGUUGACUUCUUUCAUUUUGUUUGCUCCUAAACUUGUGAAAGAUUAGUCCCUCUUAAUUGUAGUGCAGUGCUUCCUAAAUAUAUUAAUAUUAUCUCAAUAAGACCAUGUAAUGACUAUAGAUUUCAUUUGUGGAACUUGCAACCUGGCAAGGACGUGAAUGCAAUAGAAAAUAAUGGUAAAUAACGGGUAAUUUCAUACAAAAACUAGACUACGGUAAUGGAGCUAAUUACAACGAAUAAAUGUUACCUCCAUUAAAGGGAGAAUCAACGUAGGAAAGUAUGUUUCAUGUUACAAAGUAAAAAGUGGUCAUACACUUGCAUUCAGGGAUGGGCUGGAUGCCAACAUGAUUUUCUGUUUAAGUGUGUUUAUCACUGUAACCUAUUAUCCAUCAAAACUUACUCUACAAUAAAAGAUGUAAUUGUUCGUUGUCCUUUGCUUUCCUUUCUUUGCCAAAUUUUUUUUUUCAAUCCAAUCUCUGUUAAGUGUCUCUAUCAGAAUUGGAAUUGCAAUUACGUCCAAUCAGAAUAUAUAACAGGACACAAUUGUAUCAAUUUGAUAGCUGGCAUAGGAUGGAGGAAGAUCGUUUUAUGAGUCUUACGGCUAAGGCACAUAGAAUUGCUCCGAAACAUGUAAAAAUUAGUCUCUUUUAUGUAUGUAUGUAAACACGUCUAAUCUUUUUUAAUUCAAAAGUAUAUGAUGUUAGUAUGUCGCUCAUCCUCUAAUAUCUCUAUUUAAGUAAGAUAAGGACACAUUUGUUGAUAUUAAAACAGAAGUGACACAAAGUAGGAUAUAAUUUAUUUUCUAUUUCUCCUUUUUUCAUCUCUGUAUUUUAUUUUAUUUUUUAAAUUUAGUUUUGAUCUAUUGAAUAAAAACUUUUAGAAAAAAAAAACCAAAUUAUCAACCACGGGCACCCGCGGGGGAAGUGCAGCGGGGCAAGGGGAAUUUUUUGGCAACAGGAUGGAGGACAGGAGAGGGAUCUCCCACCCAAAACUCGCCCCGUUGCCAUCCCUACACGUGAGAGUUUUCUACAUGUUUUACUAUUGUGUGAAACAUCUUUAGGGAGAGGUAUUAGCAUUUGGCUUGGCUUUUUAACAAGCCAAUUGCAAUUAAAUCUCUAACUAUUUAUAAAAGGAAUAAUUUCACAUAUUUCUCCUAAAGUUUUUAAGAAUUACAAAAAGUUCCCCUCACGUUCUAAAAAUUACACCUACCUCUCGUAUUUUCAUUGUUUAAGUAACUUUUUAGGCCCGAAAUGCUCGACCUUUUUUUUUCAAAAAUCUUGUAAUGCCCUUGAGUUAUAAUUUUCAACAAAAAAAAAGGAAAAAAAUGGUUUACAGUCUCUAUUCAUUCAUCCUUACUUGUUAUCACUGUUAACUACUCAUCAACGUCUAAAUCACCAUUAAAUAAACACUUAUCUUUGUUCUAAUAUUUCUCUUUUACCUAAAAAUUUUCGAUGCAAACUAUUGUAUCACCUAUAAAUGCCGCAUUAAAUAUCCAAAACCUUACCUACAAUCUCAUAUCAAUAUCAAAUUUUGCUUAAUACAUAACAAUAUUCAUCAAUGUCCAUAAAUUUCAAUUCCAAGGUUUCCACCUUUUUAAUACAAAAUAAUUUAAGCCAUCACUACUAAUAUCAAUAUCCAAUAUACUCCAUUGAAAUAGAGUUCAAAAUCGACCAAAGUCCCUCUAUAGGAAUAAUAUCAAUAAUUGUAAAUCAAAAAUAGAAACACAAUCAACUAUAAAUAUACCAGGAAUAUUUUUUUUCAUAACAACCAUAACAAUAUAACCUAUAUUUAACCCUAUUCCACUUCCUAUCCUUAAUUUUUUUUUUAAUUUUUUUACCACUGCCACUAUCCUCAUCUCCAUCUAAUUUGAUAAUGAAAUUAUCACUCAAUUUGUCAUUUGACAAUUUCAAUUUGCUAAUGCCUAUCAAAAAUUGGAAACAAAAAUGAGCACAAAGAAACUAUUUAAUAAUAAUUAAAAAGAAAGAAUUGAGAAAGACACCAAGAUAGGUAAGUAUUGGUGGUUUGGUGUGUAUAGUGGUUUUAUUAGUGGCGACUAUACACAUUUGAUUAAUAAGAAUAAAUAAAAGAGUUUCAAAGAAAAACAGUUGUAGAAGAAAGAAAAUAGAGAGUUAAAUGGAAAAUAGUGUACUUUUAGUUAUUAGUUGACAAUAGAUGAGAGAGAUUUAAUAUUUCAUAAAGUUUUUCAAUGAGUUGACAAUUAAUAAAGACAUUGUUGUCUUCUUAACACAUUAAAGGAGGUCUCUGUAAUUAUGUAAACCUCAAAGGCGCCGAAUGAAAUUGUCAGAAACCUCAAAGGAGAUUUCUGAAAUUAUCCCUUUAUAAAAGACUGAUCUGUCCAUUGUUAGCAAUCUUAUUCAUGAAGACAACAGCAUGCGUGGUGAAGAUUGAUCAGGUAUAUCAGGAGUGCACAUCAAGAGUAGUGGGAAUGCACCUGCAUAUGUAAUGGCCAAAACGACAUUAUCUGUAAAUUCUUGUGGGAUGAUUUUCUUCCAAAUGUUUUCUUGCUCCUGCACAAGGCAUAUCUUAAUAAAUAGUUGCUGAUUCAAAAAAAAAAAAAAAGACUUUACUCUAAAAUAUGAUUGCAUCUAAUCUAGAAAUCAUGAUGAUGACUUUAUGCUAAACUUUGAUCAUGGAUGGAGCAAUUCUUUCAACACAAAUUUUUAUUAAACACAUCCAUCAUCAUGAUCAGUGACAAUACCCUAAAAUUUGAUCCCCGUAAAGUCUCUUUUUCAAUUUUGUUGGCUCCUAAACUUGUAAAGAUUAGUCUCUUUUAAUUGUAGUGUAGUGCUUCCUAAAUAUAUUACCUCAACAUGAGUAUGCAAUGACGUCACAUUCUUGUCCAAUGACUACAGAUUUCAUUUGUGGAACUCGCAACCUGGCAAGGACAUGAAUGCAAUAGAAAAUAAUUAUUGUUCCCAUCCCCGUUUUUAACUUUUUUUUAUCUUUUAUUUGAUGUAAUUAAGAGGGUACAAGUACAAAAAAGCAAAGACAAGAAAAAAAUGCGUGGUGUAUUCGUUGGAGUGAAAUUUUAAUCUUUUGCUAUCUUUUCAGUUUUGAUGACUUUUCAUUUUUUCUGGUAAACUUGUAAAAAUAUCUUUUCCCUGUUCAUUAGUGUGGUCUUAAACAUAUUUAUAGGCGUCAUUUGGGACCAUUUCAUGUCUAAAGAAUCUAUCUAUCUCUCUCUCUCUCUCUCUGAAGAAACAUUUGGGAUCAUUUUGAUUCUUCAGACAUGUUUCUUGAGAGAGAGAGAGAGAAGAAAUUCAACAUUCUUCUUCGAGUGUGAAAAUGUAAACUUCGUUGCACCUUACCACUAAAAUAUUACUAUCAAUGACUACAUGAAAAGCCCAAAACAUAUUUAAUGUGGUGCAAAUAAUGGUCCUGCUACAGCAUACAAGUGAUUGAUCAAUUAAUGGCCAGAAGUCUAAGAAGUGGAAUAAUGUUUCAUAUGAUAUCUUUACUUCAUACAGUAGGAAUUUGCGGGGAUGAGCUCAAUGUUAUAGAAAAGUAUACAUACACCGACUGAGCAAGCCAUACUAUAGAAAAGUUGGUAUAGUCAAUAAAUUAGACUUCACAUGAUUAAUUUAAUAUGCCAUGAACAAAAACUUUAUAUGGAACGACUAGUAAGCUAGCUUAAGCUCAAGAUUGAAUAGGUUGUUUCUGCCUCUAUUUUUCUUCUUUUUUUUUUCUUUACCAGUUUAUGAGCUCGCUCAUAUAUUUUGUGGUAUAGUUAAAUGCCAUGCGGUCAAUUAGUCAGAGUAUGUACGCGUUGAAUAUUUAUGUAUGAUUUUGUCUAACAGGUGCCUAUUGAAUACCCAUUAAUAUAUAUAUUUUAGGUAUUAUAUUUUUAAAAAUAUAAAAUUAAUUAUGAAAAAUAAAUAACUACAAGGGAGGAUAAAUAAGAUUAAGCAGAGAAAAUAUAGAAAUACAAUAGAGGGUAAUAAUUGUUAGUAUGUGUAUAUAUGUGAUAGGUUUGGUAAAUUUUAAAUGUGUUACAUACAUUGGGUUUCCAUUAAAAAAAUACUUUAUGUAAAAGGCUAAAGAGAGAUAUAAAAGGUGUUAUUUCUAGAUAUAGCUAGUCCAUCUAAUUAUUCCUCUAAAUAACUACGUAAUUAUUUAGCAGGUGAUUAGAUGUUUUAUGAUUGGUAAUAUUUUAGUCUUUUCUUUUCUUGGAUGUGGAUAACAUGCUAUGGUUAAGUAUCUAAUUGUCGAUAAUUAAAUCUUUUCAAUGCUCAAACCUGUCAUUGGUUUUACAGCUCUAUAAUUAAAAAGAGACAAAAGAUAAGUAAAGAAAAGAAAGAAAGGAACAACAAAUGAAGCUGUUGGGGAAAAACAGAAUAAAAGAUUUGGAGAGAAACAGAAAGGGCUAGGAAUGAAAGAUCCCUUCAGUUCUGAAGCUGUUGUGGAGGGACUUGAAAAGGGAAAAAAACCAAAAAAAGAAAAAACAAGGAUGGAGAAAAAUAGUUUCCGCUUUAUUUUUCCCGUCCCCGUUUUCACAAAGUCGAAACGUUCUUUCUUACCCUUUCUUUUUCUUUUCUUUUCUUUCUUUUUUUUUUUUUUUCUCAAAACCUCCUAUAUAAAGCAGCUUCAACCUCCCUCCCUUUCAACCCCUCCCUCCUUCAACAUUAGCACUAAAAUACUACUACGAUGACGAAUUUCUUGAUCUUUGUCAUCAAUCUUGUCAAGCGCAUCCAUCUCUUUGAAGCCUUCACUCGGAGACCAGGCAGUCCACAACAGUCCCCGUCCUCACCUCAGUUGCCAACUAUCCAAGGAACCCAGUCUAAUGCAACACAUCCCACUCACCAGCAGCCACCCCCAAGCAAUACCGAUGCUUACAUGAGGAUGCAAUUGGCAUUAUCAGUCAUAGGAGUUUGUUUUACGGCUGCUGGUACUACUCUGCUAGCUCUCCGGACUCCUAGACCACUUCCAACUAUUUUUCACUGGCUUUGCAUGGCUCUCAUGCUGUCUUUUCUCUGUGUGAUUGUGUCUAUGUAUAUCCGAAGAUGCAUUCAGGUAGCAUCUCUUGUGAUGGACCAUGUUGCCCUAUUCUUAGCCUUCACGGCGUUCAUGCUGGCCGUCUCGAUGAACUUUCCGACCCCAUUUCUGGGCAUCACCGUGGCUCUCUAUUUCAGUGCUAUCCUUCUCAUCAUCUUUGCCAAUCUUUUGAUGCCUCGAGACUUAUCAAAUCCAUAAUCGUACAGAGUUACUUGUUACGUCUCUCUCUCUCUUUUUAAUAUUAAUAAGUCUUUAGUAUUAAUAAGUCGAUGUUGUAUAUCAUCUGGGUUGCUUGUUAUGAUGUGUUUACAACAUCUAGGUUGCUUGUUAUGAUAUGUUUUAUGUAUUUUCUGUUAUUGUAAAUCGUAUUAGACUCUAAUAUAUAUAUAUAUAUAUAUAUAUAUAUAUUUUAUAAUUCUAACUCGUUUUAUUCAUCAAGAAACAACCCAAGUUCUCUUACAAAUGCCUAAUUCUCCGAAAUGAAGACACCCCUAGCCUAUCUAGUCUGACCCCCCCACGAGCCAGCGCCGGAAGUGCGUGGAAAUUAUCAUAGACCUUGAUAUGCUGUUCAGGAUGAGAGACGCCUAUAUUGGACAAAACAUCCGCCACGGUGUUCGCCUCCCUGUAACAAUGCGAGAAUCGAGCCGGAUCAUCCACUAGCUGCCAAAUUUUCCAUGCCUCUCGUCGGAUCUGCCACGGACAUUGAACCCGCCGCUUCAGGAUCCCAACUACGACCAAUGAAUCCGAUUGUAUACUUAGAUUACCAUAGCCCCUGUGGAUACACAAUUGAAGCUCCAUCAGCAAGGCCCGAACCUUCGCAUGUAGGGAAGUAACCUCCCCAAAGAAAGCCGAAAAGGCAAUCAGAGGCAACCCCGAUGCAUAUAUAUAUAUAUAUAUAUAUAUAUAUAUAUAUAUAAGAAGUUGUUAGUAAAAAAAAAGAGUAAAUCUUAUAUACAUUGACGGUGUAUACACUAUCACGGUUGGAUAUACGAUGCAUAUGCAAAAUUUGAGUUUUAAAUUCAAAUUCAGAUUAUAUGCCAUGUAUCUAAUGGUAAAAGUAUAUAUACUGUCAGUGUAUAGAAAAUUAAUCCAAAAAAAAUAUGUUUGUAGAAUGUUCUUAAAAGAAGAAAGAGAGAUCAAUGUUUUAUAUAUGGAAAUAGCUAGUCCAUGUGACUAUUUCUUUCAAUAACUAAGAUAUAAUUCAGCAGGUGAUAAAGAUUAUAAAUGAUGUUCUAAUAUUUUAGUCUUUUCUUUGUCGGAAUAUGGUUAUCAUGCUAUGAUCGAUCUUGUAUAUUAGUUACGUGUUAGAUUCUUAAUCCAACGUUAGAUUUAUAUGUGAAUAAUUAUGUAUUACAAUUUACAUCAAAUAAGGUUUAGUCUAAUCAAAGUGAUCAAUUAUAGUUUGAAUUUUAAUGUGUCUAAUAGCAUGUGAGCCUUUAAUAUAUAGAAAUUUAAAGAUUAUUCAUAUUUCUAUGAUGGGUUGAAUAGGAAUCCAAAAAUAACAAAAAAGUUAUCUAUAAAUGAAAUUAUGGAUAAUUGUAUGUUUCGACUUUCGUGUUUUCGUGUUUCGUGUUUCGGCUUUCGGGUUUUGUUUGGAAGUCUCGGUUGCUGAUGGCAUGAAUUGUUGUUCAAAUAUAAUCUUUAUGCCUUCGGUCAAGUCGCGCCAUUGAUUCACUGUUUUGGUUACAUUGAAUCCAGUGGGUCGCAUGAUAACCAAACUUUAGUUGGCUGAUCCACUGUUUUACUAUGCUAUUUUAGUUGGCCCAUUGUUCACUUUCACAUCUCAAGCAUUCUGCUUUGAUUGAAACUGUGACUAGUUCACUUUUACGUCUUAGUUGAUUGAAACUAAGAAUCAAGUUUCCUUGUCAUAGUUAAUUGUUUAAUUUGUUUAUAUCACUUGAAUCCAGCUAUGGGUAUGCCUUCGGUUAUAAAAUUAGAACUACUAACUUGAAUUCUUUGACUUGUUUUCUUGUUUAAGAGCCAAUAUGCUUAUAUUUGUGUUAAGAAAAUUAGGGUUUUUCUAAUUUAAGUGAACCCUAAUAAAAUAAAAUAAGAUAUUUAAGGUUUACAAAGUCUAUAAGAUUGGCCCACUAAAUACAUAGUAUUUUAAGAUAUUUUGGGUUUGAAUGAUACAUUUGGAUCAAAUUAUGGAUAUGGACUUUUAGUCCAAUAAGUUUUGAUCCAUUUGACUAAUUUGACCAUAUUUGAUUAGUUUAAUCACGCUUAACCAGAAUUGACUAGUUUGACUCGAAUUGACUGGUUUGACCACAUUUUGAUCAGAGUUGACCCAAGUUGACUUUGGUCAUGUAUAAUUUGUGUAAUUCUAAAUUUGAAUAUUGAUAUAAUUAUAUAUGUUUUGGAAUAAAUUAAUUGAAACAAUAUACCAUCAAAGUGACCUCUAUUGUGAAAAUUAAUUUAUUUUAGAAUAUAACUAGUUGAGUACUUGUAAUUUUGUGAAUAUUGAUCGGCUCAAAGGAAAGUCAAUAUUUAACAAAAUUGCAUAUACGUUUGUGAUAAUAAACACGUGAUGAUUAUUCAGAUUUUUACAUGUGAAUUAUAAACUGAUCCAAAGAAAAUUUUAUUUUUUGACAUGUUAUUAUUGUUACUAUUUAUUACUGCACCAAGAUAUCACUUAGAAGUUAAUAUUUUCGUCCAAAGAUAAAAUAUUAAUGGAAUAUCGAUAUCUUGAAAUGAGAUUACCAUUAUUUGAAUUUAUUAUUAUUUUGGUCUAUAUAAGUUUGUUUUAAUUAUUUCAUGUUUUCUAUUCAAUUGUGAAUGAUGUUACAAAUAUUACUAUCAACAUCAAUAAUAUUCCUAUGUUGAAUAGCACAAACUUCAAGUCCUGGAAAGAAAACCUCUUGAUAAUUCUUGGAAUAAUGGAUCUUGACUUUACUUUAAGGGUUGAUUCUCCUCCACCUCUUACAAAUCAGAGUACUUCUGAUGAAAAGAGGGAUAAAAAAAGGUGGGAGAUAUCAAAUCGUUUGUGUUUGAUGAUCAUUAAAAAGGCUGUUUCCAAAGCAUUCAUAAGAACAAUGUCAGAAACGACAACUACCAACCACUAAGGAAUUCCUUCAUUACGGUGUCUAUCAUUUAAUUUAUUAUCACUGGCAUAAAAAAAAAAAAAGAAAAGUCAGAGAUAGAGAAAGUAUAGGGACUAUGAAUAAAUAAAUAGAUCUUUUCAGUUUUUAGUUCUAAAGCUGAUAUGGAUUUAGUAAAUUCCAAAAAAAAAAAGGAGGAGGAGGAGGAGAGCUCAAGGGGUUGUUUUCCAUAUACUUCGUCCACCUAAUUUAUUCUUUUGACAACUGUGAAACGGCCCAGCAACUAAUCAGAGGUUUCAUGAUUUAUAAUUUGUUUGCCCAUUCUUUACCCUAUGAUUAAAUAUGUGAUUAUAGAUAGUUAAAUCUUUUCUGUUCUGAAGCUGGGGAAUUUAUAGAAUAACAGAACUGACAAUCAGAUGGUACAUGCUGGACUAGCAAAAUGGAGAUUUUUUUUUUUGCUUCGUCCUCGCCAUGCAUCCUUUGUUUAUUACAAAUAAAUUGUUCUGUGCAAUUGGGUUGAACAUUUUUUUUUUUUAAUGAAUGAACAAUAUUGCAUGUUUAAAUAGCAAUAUUGGAGAAUGCUGCCCCUUUCAUGGUGCACCAAUCCAGUAAAUUAAUUAGCUAGUUAUCAUUAAUUGAGAGAAGUUAAAAUUCGUUCGAAUGACCAUGUUAGGAGGGAUGGUCCUGAGGGAGCGAGACCAGAGCAGGUUUCGAAGAAAUUGGGUAGGGACAAACUGAAUGAAGCAACCCAAGACGGAGGAGGGGAGACAACCGUUCCAGAAGGUUCACGGCCAUGAUUAGGCCAAAAAAAUUUGUGCGGCUCAAAUCACUCAUUGUAACUCGAUUUUCACGGCAUGUGGAACCCACAAAAAUGUUGUUCUAGUGUUACUCGCUGUUGUUCUAUUGUUACACCUUGUACAAAUGAUGUUAUACCGUGUGCAAAUGGUGUUACACCUUCAGUCCCGGAUCCACCCAAGACAGGACGAAAGUGUAGGGCCUAGGAUGUGACUCUAGAGAUUAUUUUAUAGUACUUUUGGAUUGAGUAAAAAACCUUGGUUUAUUUUUUGUUCACUUUUAUUAUUGUUCACUUUUGACUCUUGAUCUAUUUUUUGUCUUCGACUGAUCUCUAACGAAUUAAAUGUGCAUAGUUUAAGAACUUUUAGUUAUUUUAAACAUCAAUUCAAUCAGAAUUCAAGGGCAUUUUUGUCCAAUCAUAAUCAAAAGUAUUGAGAACUUAACAAAACGCAUCGAGAGUAGGAGUAGAAAUCCUAAAAAGAAAAAAUCCUUCAUUUUCCUUGAACUUUUCAUCAGAUUUCUCUACAAAAUUUCUAAAUUCAUUGAUUUCACUCUCGAGUGGCCAAAGUUUCAUCAAAUUUUUUGUGUCUAUCUCAACUAUGAAAUCAAUGAAUUUGGAAAUUUUAUGGAGAAAUUUGAUGAAGAGAUUAAGGAAAAUGAAGGGUUUUCUUUUCUCGGAACUUCGAUUCCUAUCUUCGAUACUUUUGAUUAAGUUUUUGAUGCUUUUGAUUAAUAAUUGACAAAAAUGUCCUUCGAUUCCAUCUGGAUUUGAAAGUACUCUCUCUCAAUAUUCUUUCCUCUGAAUAUAGGAUUUCCAUUCCUUCGAAUAAUCAUGGACCUAAUCACUGUUACCAAUGAUGCGUCUAAUCACUCUAAUGAUGUGCUUAAUCUAGUCCCAACCGCACACUAUAACCAUGUUACGGCAAUAGGACAAACUAAAGGAAGCAAGAAUUUGUUGAUCUUGUUACCAAAUUGGCAAUAAGCUGAAAUUGGGGAUCAAUAUCAGGUGGAACCACGACAGUCAAUUGUCAAGUAGAUCUCAUUCGAGCAAGUCCAUGCCAAAUCCUAGCAUAUGAAGUAAGGCUCAUAUUUAAAUAGAUUCGAUUUUUAAAAAUUCAAUGGUCCAAAUUAUAUCAUAUCAUUUGAUGAAAUAAUGUGGCACAAUCUGAACUAUUAAAUCUAUAAAACCAAUCUACUCAAGUUUUGGCCCUGAAGUAAAGAUAUCAUAUGCUACUGCUAAGGACUGAAGGAAGAUAGGCACACCACGUGACCCAAGGGUGCACUACUAUCCACCUUUAGAUUGAGGGAAAAUCUCACCCUUAAGUUAAUUUUUAGAGUGAGAAGACCUAAUCGCACCCGACAUUAUAUGUGCAUAUCCUAAAAUUGAUUUAUUGAUGCAAAUCCUCUUCGUUAAAUGAACUCAACUUAUCAUUAAGAGAGUGGUAACAGGGCUUGAUUUUUCCCACUUAAAUUCCGACCUUGGUUUUGCUUUAAAGAUCAUAUUUACUGCAGAAAAUUUAAGGAACAAAGUACUAAAUUAUUAUAGGAUUAAUUUUUUGAAUACCAGCAAUACCCUUUGCCACCCAUACUUACCAUCCAAAUGGCCCUUUUUUUUGGGGGGGGGGGGUGUGUGUGUCUAAUGUCAGCAUUAGCAAAUGUGUCUAAAUUUUAUCCUUGACAUCUGAAAAUAGUUUUACUAAGUAGCACUAGCAACCGAACAACUUGACUUGCAGCGAAGAAUAGGGCAAGAACCGACAUUUCCCAUUGUGGGAGGAAACCUAAAUCUAGUGGACUGACAAUUUCAGUUUUUGGUACUAAACUUGUAAACAUUAGUCUCUUUUAUAAUUAUAGUGGCGAACUAAAUGUAUUAUCUCCUUAAGACUAUUUAAUAACGUAACAUCCUUGCCCAAUGAGUCAAUGACAAGAUUUCAUUUGUGGAACUUACAACCUGGCAAGUUCAUGAAUGCAAUAUAAGUAAUUGUGUACAUUGUUUACUACAUUCUUUUGCGUACAACAAAUUUAAAAAAAAAAAAAAUAUUUGCCGAUACCUUUUUUUUGGCUUUUCUUUAUUGUAGUCUACUAUCCAGAAUUAGUAACUCACCUUAUUUUACGCUAAAACCCUAGUUUCUUUUUGGGUUUUCUAUCACCUCAAAGAUUAGAAACUGGCCUAAUUUCCAAAAUUUUGAGGUUCUCCUUGUAACAAUAUAUGUAAACUUCAUCCUCCAUACUAUAUACAUCUACCGUAAAAAUUCACCAAAUCCAUCUCACUUGCUUCAUCAGAACAUCGUAUUUAUCUUUUCAUGGACUUCUUCUUUCCUCACAUUCCAAAUCCAGUGCCUCUGCGUGUGUUUGUCUGUUCCUUUUUAACUCUUUUGCUCCAAAAGAGGCAUAAAGUUCAUGCUAGAGUUUGCCUUCUUCAUAUUCAGUGCUUGAGUUUUCUUUAUGCAGUCAUGAACGAGUACAUUUGUCACUGUCAAUCGUAGAAUGCCAGGGCCAAAUUGAAUUGCCAAAUAUUAAUGUUUCUGGCCAUUAAAAUAGUAGCCUUUGUCAUUGCCAAUUGUAGAAUGGUUGGGCCAAAUAUUCUGUUUGGAUAGAGUGUUAUUUAAAAUAUUAUUUAGAAUAAUUACUAUAACACUUUUUGUGAUAUGAUGUAUGUGAGAUAAAAAGAUGAUUGGAAAUAUAAAAAGGUGGAUUGAGAAAUGUGUUUAUGAUACAAGUGAAAUAUUAUUUGGAAAAAAGGAGCUAGCAUUGCCAAAUAUUAAUGUUCAACUGAGUGAUCGUGUGUCUUUUUUUUUUUUGGGAAAGCUGGUCGUUGACUAUUGUUAAUUUUAUAACCUGUACUACAAAAAAAAAAUUUUUUUAACUAGCAAUUGCAUUGACUACUUUUCUUGAAGACCAUUGCCAUUUCCCGUCCACCCUUAUUUGGUAAACUCAAAUAAGCCCCUCCAAGAGUACAAUGUGCAGAAUUGGCAAUGGUAACUUGGUUCAGGUUGUGGACAGUAGCUAAGGAUGGAAUUUUUUUUUUUGAAGCAAAAUUUUAACCUUUCAUUGAUAUCAUGAACAUUUGUGGACUUAUAUACAUCAAACAAACGCCGUUGACAGCAUAAAGAAAACAUCAAUCACUGAACAUGAAGAAGGUAAACAUAUUUCCGUAACCAAGUUCCAAUUCGCCUUAGUUCUUGGAAUUUUUGCCCCGACCAAUAACUUAUAAUUAAGACUUAAAUACGUAUUUGUGACUUUCAAAAUCUUAAACUUUGCAAUUUCAAUUUAGCGUAUGGCUAAAGUGACGCUGUGAAAGACUGAAAGUCAUGUUUAAGAUGUGGAAAGUUGCAAAAGGGGAAAGAAACAAAAGGCGAGAAAAGUGUCAGACUCACCAGCAAUGAUCCCAAAUGACAAUUGUGAAGGGAAGAGGGGGAAUAGGUUUUAGAGAUUUAGAGGCUUUCAACUCAGCCUUGCUGGCUAAGCAAAUUUGGAGAUUCUUAACAGCUCCAAAUUUGCUAGUAAGCAAGGUAAUGAAGGCAAAGUACAUGAAGGACGCAAACUGGAUGGAAAAAAAUCCCUCCACCUCAGCUUCAUGGUGUUGGAAGAGCAUCCAUAGUGCAACAUCACUGCUGUUAGCUGGACUUUGGAAAAGAAUUGGGGACGGCAGGUCUGUGAGUAUAUGGGGUGACAGAUGGAUAGCUGGUUCAGAAAAUGGCUUUGUAUCAGACACAAAACCUGUGGAAUGCAAGUUGGAAUGGGUAAACGAGCUGAUAGAAGAAGGGAAGUGGAAAACUGAACUUAUCCACAAGUGGUUUAGUACAAAAGAUGCUGAGCUCAUCAAAGCCAUCCCGACAAGCAUAGGAAGAAGAAAGGAUAAGCUGGUAUGGAGCCAUUCCAAAUCAGGAAUAAACACUGUAAAGAUGGGUUAUGCGGUAGCAAGACAACAGGAAGUCAAACCAGGUAGUAAGAGAGGUCAUGAUACAGAGACAAGUUGGGAGAUACGAAAACACAGUGUGGAAGAAGUUAUGGCACAUGAAGGUGAAGGCAAAACUAAAACAGUUCAUGUGGAAAUGCUUGCAAAACUAUCUACCUGUCAACGAAUUGCUGUCAAAAAGGCUAGGAAGAGAAGAAGGAAGAUGUGGCUGCUGUGGAGAAGACAUGGAAACCAUUGAGCAUUUGUUCUUCUUCUGUGAAAAUGCAGUGGAAGUAUGGAAGUUGGCACCGGUAAGAUGGGAUGGGUUACAUGAAAAACAACAGAAUUUUUUGAUUUGGUGGGAGAAAGUUACCCAAACGCUUUCCAUGAAUCAAGGUCAGGAUAGAGUAAGUCUUACCAUUAAUAUCCUCUGGCAAAUUUGGAAAGCCACGAACAAAAAAAUCUUUGAACAGGCAAACCAGGAUCCAUUCAAAAUGGUACGGAAGGCACAAGAUGAGUGGCUAGAGUUUGAACAGGAAAGGGAGCCAGAACAGAAGGUGAGCGUAGGGAGGAUGAACAAAGACAUACCCACCAGUAGGGAGCGGCCAAGGAAGGAAGAGAUAAGAUUGUAUACAGAUGCGGCUAUAUCAGCAAAAAGAGUUAGGACAGGACAAGGGAUAAUAGCAAGGAAUUGGAAAGGACAGAUAAUGAAAGCUAAAAGAAUUGUCACACAGGGGAAGGGGACAGCAAGCAAAGAAGAAGCUCUUGCCGUAAGAAGUGCUCUACUGAUGGCCAAACAAGCAGGAUGGACAAAAAUUAUAGUCCAUACAGACUGCAAAUCAGUGGUUGAGCAGAUCAAUAAAGGCAGUGAGUAUGACUACAGUACUGCAACUAUCUUAGAAGACGUACAAGAACUUAGUUUAGGCUUUGAAAGAUGUUCUUUUGUGUUUAUCGCUAGAACUGAAAAUCAAAUCAGCCAUGCACUAGCACAAUAUGCAGUAAAGCUAGUACAUAAUAUUGACUGGAAGCAUGAUUUCCCAAUAUGGCUGACUGACUUAGUUAAGAAGGAUAUGAGGGCAGUAUCCCCUUUUUGUAACUUAUCCUUGUAAGGUCACGUGUUAAUAUCUAUAAAUUGUUAUCGUUUGUUAAAAAAAAAAGUAAGCAAAUGAAAAUUAAAAAGACGAAAAGAAAAUACAUAUGUAAAUAAAUGUUCAGCAAAACUUUUAUUUAAUCAUGGACUAGAGGCUUCACAAAUAAUUCGUAUGCCGAGUUGAGUCUAAGUUUAUCAUAGAUACUAACUGUAAAUAUUAAAUUACAAAAGAUUAAAAAAAGUUUCCGGGGUAUAUUAAGAGAAUAAAUAAAUUUUCUUGUACCUUAAGAAAUUUAAUAAACAAUGAACGUAAUUAGUACUUUCUAUUUCCUUCAUUUCCUUGUUUAGAACCACUAAUUAACUGUGACUAGAGGACUCUGACUGACUACAACCAUGACUUAGUAGAAAUCUAUGCAACUGCAGGUUGAAACCGAUGAAAGUUGUUCUAUGCAACUCGUCGUCUAUGUGAAGUAGGCUCAAAAGCAUUUAAACCAGACAAGAAAAUUGAAACGGAUUCAAUUGAAGAAGGGGAAAAAAAGUACUAGCUAGUGAAAUUUUGGAAGAUUUGUAAAGAAAAACUAAUGGAGUUUGUCUCUUACUUAUUUUUUAGUGUAUUUUGUUAGCAUUUGUUGGCGUAUUUCUUUACAAGCUUCAAUAAUCUGUUUAUGCACCGUUCCAUUCAAGUACAUAAUUUGUCGCUUUUUAUUUUUUCCUUGUCGCUUCUACAUAUAUAUAUAUAUAUAUAUAUAUAUAUAUAUAUAUAUUUAAUAGGGUGGUGUUCUACUUUAACCAUUUUUUUUGGGAUAAUUUUAGAAACCUCCCUUGAGGUUUCUUACUAUUCCACUUAGUUCCCUUGACAUUUUAAAAAUUGCAAUUGCCCCCCUUAAUUUAACACUUUGGUAACCAAACUUUAAAAUAGAGUCAAAAUUUAAUGAAUACCCUGAAAUGCCCUUAUCUUACAAAUUUCAAUUUGUUCUUCUAAACAAAAAGAGCGUCAAGUUUUUCAUGUCAAUAUUUGUUAUUAGAUAAUCAAUUAUAACAAUAAAUCUUUUGUUGUAAUAUGAUAUUUUUCAUAUUGCUUUAUUGGGAAUAUAAAUUCUUUUUAUGAUAGAGAAGAAAGUGCUAUUUUGUUUCUUUUAAAGUUCAUGGAGUAUUUUUUUAAUAAAAAUUUAUGGACUAGUUUAGUAGUAGAACUAUCAUAAUUUGGUAGUGAUUUUGGGUCAUUUGGUUUUAACAUUGUUGAUUUAUCCUUGAUUUUGAUACUAAAUAAAAGAGCUACAAAAAAAUUGGAGGAUAUUAAAGUUAUAAAAAAAAAUAUUACUAGUUUAACGUUUAAUUUGGAUAGAUAUUUGGGACAACAUUGAUAGUUCUUCUAUACUUCUAAUGAAAUAUAAGAAAAAAUGAAUAAGAAGGGAAAAGGUAAAAAAAAUUAUAAAAUCCUUUGCAUAAACAUGGCAACAAAAGAGUUUUAUUAAAAAUAUUAAAAUUAGUAUUGUCAUUUUAAAUGGAUAAGGGAGGUAGGUGUAAUUUUUAAAACCUUAGAAGAACCAAGUGGAAUUAUUAGAAACCUUAGGGGAGGUUUAUGAAAUUAUCCCCUUUUUUUUCCAUCUCCAUUAUCCUAAUCAACAACGGACAAAUACCGUAUGAUUUUGUCACCUGUGGAUUUGCAAAUACAAACCUACUGCUUCCCCUCAAUUCCUUCCUCGAUCUUUCUGUACAACGUACUAUCAAGUAUCAAUACAGCACACCAACCAGUUUACAACUUUCCCAUCUCUAUCUUCCACCUGCAUAUAAUUCCUUUCAUCUAAUCAAUUGAGAUGAGCAGUAAACUUCCCCUCAAUCUGUGGUGGACGCAUUCUGUAAUAUCCACUGGAAGUCAGACAAGAAACUCGAGCAUUAUUAACAAAAUGGAUCCACUACAAUCAGAGGAAUAUCGUAUGGCUUUUAGUGUUGGAAUUCAGUAGCUGCUCCGCCUUAUCCCCAUUACGUAAGUUUAAUGAAAACAAUAAGUUACAGCAUACAAGAGGUUAUGCAGAAGAUUUGCACCCUGUAGAAAUGAAAUCUGAGCAGCGUACUGACUUAUACGCGUGAAGGGAUUGUGAACCUGUAACUGGGCAGACCCACAAAAAAUUUUUUUGAGAGGAAUAUUUUCUGGAAUGGCAAAGCAUGCUCAGGAUGGUUCCUCAUGCGUUCAUAAGUUUCAAUCUCACUAACACUUCCCUAAAUCGGAAAGAUGUCAACCAUACCACUUCCUGUAUAUUCUCCACCAUCAUCAUCACAACCACCACCAUCCGCAGCCCUCACCAUCCACCACCACCACCUGUCCUUCUCCUCCGCCCAUCAGAAUCACCACCACCACCACCACCACUGGCUUCAAUUUGAUAAGCAUCAUUAGCUGUCCUUCAUUCCAGUUCACUCUGUCAUAUUUAAAUGUUCCAGUGACUUUCUUUCUCAUAGUGUUGCUGGUUAGUAAAGUUUCAUUGACAACAAGUGCCUUCUACCGUUUCCAUAUGUUCCAGCUUUAGCUGACCAUUUUUACUUGGAUUCUUUUUCCUAUUUUGGGUUGCCGUGGAGGGAUUGGGGUGCAGGGGUGAGACAGGGUGAUCAGUAAGACGAGGUAUUCAUAAGAUUCAGUUAAAAUCAGACAAGAAAAUCAAGCAUUAAUAGUAAAAUGAUACGGCUUCAAUCUGCAGAAUAUCUCAGGACUUCUAGAAUCGAAAUUAAAGCACCGACUCCACCAUAUCCCAAUUAUAUAAGGAACAGAAGAAGAACAAAUUUAAUGAAAAAACGAAGUUGUAGCGUACAAGAUGAAGAGCGUUCAACUAGUACUACUUAGAACUCUUCUUUGCCAUGCAAAAAAACUCUCCAGCCAUGUGUGUUGACUCACAAUUGAUCUUCUUAUAGACAUUCCUUAAGUGUACUGUGGGCUUCAAAUUAAUGACAAGUUAAUUUGAUUAGAUUUAUCCCAAAGUUAGUAAACUUCUCGCAGUUCAAAUAGCCUCUUCAGCUUCAUCUGUUAGUAAUUAACUGCAAUUUGGCUUAAAAAUCAAGAAGUCUAGGAAUAGAUUUAUGCCGAGAUCUUCUCAUACCAAAAUAAGAUCCUGUUGUAUGAUAUUUACUCUUUUUGCUGUUUUGGCAAGCUGUUAAAAUUAAAUGCUCAUCAACUAUUGUCUCCAUUUUCUCCUUCUCCAAGCAGAAAAUUUUUAAACAAGCUAGUAGAACUAGAGAGCAUCUCAUGUUCUUAGAUCCUAUUAUAUUAAACAUCCAGAGUAUCAUGCUUGAAAACUAUAAAUUCAACUGUGUGAUUUAUCAUCAAUCAAAAGAUAAUACGACCCCAUUCUAUCAAAAUGACUAACCAAAUAGAUUAAUUACCAAAAAAUAAAAGGCAGAAGAGUUGCAACUUAUAGAAUUGCAUUCUGAGCAAAAUACUGACAUGUACAUAUGAUGAGAUUAUGUUCCAUUACUUGAGCACACCAGCAAUUUUUUUAUGCUAAGGCUGAUUGCUUCCAUGUUCUUAAGUUUCAACCUGAGGAAAGCUUCACUAAAUUGAAAAUAUUGACUUCAUCAAUUCCACUUCCCAUACGUGCUCUCAUCCCUUAUGUUUCCUUAACACUUUUAUUAACCAUAUAAUUUCGACUAAAUGUGUCGAAGCAUUGUUUUCCAAUCUAAAACUUCAUAUUUAGAACAACCUUUCGUGUUUCUCAAAACAUAUACAUUUGCUAUCGAUAUAAAUGGAAUAGAAAAUUUUGGCACUAAUUUAGGUCAAGCCAAAGCAUACAUAGCAUACAUGGAGAUCAUCGCGUGACCAUGCAGUCAUGGCCUUUAUCUCUUCGGCUAAUUGACGAUCAUAUCUACUCGAAAUUGACAGUAUAGCGUUCAAUGUAUGUUUCUGCUAGCCAUAAUCUGCUCAGACAAGCUAUUAACUGCAAACUGAAAUUCUGACUUUUCCACGCCUAGUCCUAUAUAGGUGCUAACUUCUUCGUUUUGCCCUCCAUGUCUUGUUACAGAACAUUAUUUGUAAACUUAGUAAGGUCUCAGUUUGCUUAGCAUUUUAAGCCUCAUGAUAUCCAAAGAUUCAGGGAUAUAUGAUCUAUAUUAUGCAGAAUAAGUCAGCAAUAUGAAACCACCACCUGGUUAUUAGUUUUCUCCAAGCAAGUUGCAUUUGUCAACCGAUUACUAAUAUUCUGUAAGAAUAGAGCAAACCAGCAAAUUCCAAACAGCAGAUGCUAUGUUGUUUAGAUCUCAUCUCAUGUGGCUCAUUCACUUGAAAAUUAGCCAACUAAGUAGUAUGAGAUUUAGAUCUCUUCAUAUGGCAUGAAAUCCAAAAAAAAAAGUUCAUACAUCCAUAUUGUAGUAGGCCAGACUUACCUAUCUCCUUAGCAGUUGAGAUAGCAUAACCAGAAGAUGCAUCUUUUGUGUGGUCUUUAGGAUCUGAAAAAGGUUUUGAACAAAGAACUGUUGAUCAAGUGGCUAUGGAGCAGGUUUCAUGAAUCUGCACCAAGAAAUGGUGGUAAUUCCAGCAGUGCUUGCUACUGUUGCUGAGGCAACACUCCAGAAUUCCUGAUGCGUCUUUGUUAGAAUUAUCUGCGCAAAUAUCACAUUAAGUUCAAUUGCAAUUCUAGAUAUACCUUCAAAGAUUGAGCAUGCUGCAUUUAUGAAAUGCCCAAUUGCAUCUUUUCUUAGUUGCUGCACAUAUUGGGCAGACCUGGAAUGGAAUGGUCAAAAAAACCAUCAAAUUGCCACUGAGAAUUGAAAACCAAGAGAAUCAGCAUCCAAGAAAAAAUCAAUAAUCCAUGCGAUAAGGUAUUUGUUGGUUUCUUUCGAAUUAUUGGUUUGUGGUCAGUGACGGCCAGGAUUUUUUUUUUUGGGGGGCCAAAAUUGAAAUUCCAUUCAAAGAUGACUAAUUCAUAUAUAUAUAUAUAUAUCAACUCUCAUAAUAUAAACUAAAAUUGAAAAAAUUUAGGGGGGGCCAAUUUUAUUUUACACACAUAUUUACAUAUUAUGAAUUAAAAUUCUCAAAACUUAGGGGGGGCCAUGGCCCCCCUCUGCCCCCCUUGGCUCCGUCAUUGUUUGUGGUCCCAUGUAUCAAUUUGGAGUUUGUGUGGUUACACAAAAGAGUAUCAAUCAGGCUAUUUCUAAACAAAUCUAGUGGGGAAAAGAAAUAUGCCGCUGUAUUUGGGCUUGGGUUGCUAUUCAUUCUAAUAAACACGAAGAGUCCAUAGGGUUUCCUUUGUUUCCUAUUCUUAUGGAUUAAAAUUAGCAAGAAAACAUUUUGGGUUUGAACAUUCCGUCAAUAAGAUUAUUGAAUGGGAAAAAAAUUAUGGUUACAAAGUAUGAUGCAGUCUAGCAGUUGUUUCCCAUGCAAACAACUUGGAUGGAAAUUUUUCUUUUUUUGCAUAAGAAAUCUAAGUGGUUAUGGGGAACUUGUUCUGUGAGCUAUUGCAUGUUGUGGCUCAAUGUUUUCCAAUAGUUUGGCUGCAUCCUCAAUCAUUUUGCGUCUAUUUAAUUCUCUUUUAUUCGACCAUAGUUAAAAUCAUAAGAUUGACAUGGGUAUUCUGGUUUAGCUCUUUACAUGUCAAUUUCGUGAUUAUUUUAGCACAAUUUUCAUUUAUAGUUAAGAUUAAGAAUUAUGGAUAAAUAUGGAUGCUUUAAUUAGCCCCGUCUCAACGCGAUUAUUUAAUUGGAUAAUAUAUGCAUUGAGGGUCAACUUUAAGGUUUUGGAUCUCUUUUUAUGCUAAACACUGUCAUAUUCUAUAUGAAUCCUUCUAAGAAUUUUAUGAACAAAAGUGCCAUUUAUCUGUUUUGCUCUUCUAUAUAUGAAUGAUAUGGAGAAGAGUUUAUGGACAUAAAAUUUUUGUCUCAGUUAAAUAAUUGAUAAAUUUUAAUGAAUGGAAUCACCAAAGUAACUUUUAUUAUAUUUAUUGAUUUAUUUAAGGGCAAAAAACCUGGGCGGCCAUUAAACUUUUCCCAAGAUCAUGUUUUGGCCAUCGAACUAUUUUUUGUCAAUAAUUGUCCACUAAACAACUUAAUCAGGCCACCCGUGACCAUUUCGUCGAUAAUAGCUCUUAAUUUCUGAAAUUAGCAUUACACGUGGCAAACCACAGGGGCAAUUUUGUCCGUCAAUCCACUGACCGUUCACUUACAUUAAUACAUCAACUGAAAAGAAAAAAAAGAGCGGUAGAAACAAGCCAACUAAACAAACUGAAGUGUCUGGUCUUGUGGAGGAAAAAAUAGGGACUCAAUUUCUAGCCCUAAAUUCUGUGUCAGAAAUCGAAGAAGCCAAGAAUGUCGAGACGCUCUCCUAAACCCAUACCUAGAUGCUCCUGCGGAUUAACAGCAAUGGUGAAGACCUCAUGGACAAAUUGGAACCCAGCAAGAAGAUUUGUGGUCUGCACUUUAGGAGAGGUAAGAUCUUAGAGAGGUAAGAUGUUAGAUUUGUAAUGGAAAUAUUAUAACAAGAGGAUUUAGUCUUGGAAAAUGUAAAUUGCAGGAUGAGGGAUGUGGUUUUUGGGAAUGGUAUGAUCCAACAAUGUGCGAAAGAUCAACUCAAGUGAUUCCUGGUUUGCUGCGAAGAAUGAAUAGAAUGGAAAGUAAUAUGGAGGAAUUAGAAACUUCAGCAAGAAGAUGGGAAAAUAAAGCUCAAAAAUUGGAACUUAAAGUUGCAAAAUUGGAGGGUGAAGUGAAAAAGCACAAGACCAGAGAGCACUAUCUCAAAAGAGCUCUUCUCGGUACAUGGGCUUUUAUAUUGUUGUAUUGUUUUUGCUGCUAUCUGAAGACUGUUAUUAAGAGUGACCAUAUGUUGGCCAUCAAGGGAUAGUUAAUGUUGUUUGGUGAUUGUGAAGAAAUGGAAGUAGCAAGGUUGAGUGGAUACAGCUUUUGGUGGUAGUGUCCGUAGCAAUAGCAGACCAAAGAUUCCCAUGUUGUAUUUUAUAGUGAAUUUUUCAUUGGUUUGUUUUCUUAUGUAAUGGAAUCCUUGCUGUAAUUGUGUUACUUUUUACUGAAUGAAUGGAUGCAAGUUUUUUGUCGUUUCUUAUGAAUUGCUGUAAUUGUAGUUUCUUAUGAAUGCGGCAUUAUAACACAGUAAAUUAAGACAAAAGGAGUAUUUCCAUUGGAUAAAACUAACUACAAAAGUUUCCAAUUUGCAGAAGUACACAGCUUUCUGUUGAAUAUGCAAAAAGAUAGUGGAUGAAAAAUAAAAGGCAUCCACCAUAACAAAACAAAAGCCAUCCACUAUCAACAUGAAGUGGAUCCUGCAGUUAAACUUUAAUGCAUCUAUUUUAACAGCCCACUGAACUUAAAUAAACUAUUAUAAGUCAAAAGACUUAUGUACAUAUCAGUCACCAUCAUCAACAUCUCAGAUCACAUCUACAACUGUAUCCAAUUCCAUCUAACUUGCACCUGCACCUCUGCCUCUUGUAGAUCUAGAUCUAGAUCUACCAGCAUUUGCACAUCUUCUACCCCUCCACCUACCAACCUUGAAGGGUGGUUCCUUUCCCAAGUAGGCAUAGUUAGCAUUAAUCAUCCCUUUGUCAGCAUCAGUCAAGGGCCGUUUACCAUUUCUGUUGAAUUUCCUGCCAGAUCUAGAACUUGUAGCUGCUGGAUCUGGUUGCUGAACUACUGGUAUUGGCUGUUGAAGUGGUGGAGUUGGGUGUUGGGACAUUAGAUCUGAUUGCUGAGUUGCAGAUGCGAUUGGUUGGCUUGGUUGGCUAGCUGAUGGAGUUUCCUGUUGCUAUUGCCCUUGGGUCUCUAUACCUUGUGACUGAACUACUUUUGCUUGCUGUUUUCUUCUUGAAACCUUGUACAAAUGGAAGUUGAUUAGAGACUAUAUUUAUGUAUACUAUAUGACAUUUGAAAUACAUUGAACUGUAUGUAUACUCACAUGUUUUUUCUUCUUUGGCUGGCCAGAUUGUUGGUGCUCAGUCACCUCUUUGCAUGUUGCAGCAUUGUGCCCUGUUUUACCACAUUUUCUGCAAUGCAUGGUGACAUUUUUUCUAAGUUUUCUUCCAUGGUUCUUCCCUUCUGUCUCAUCUCUUCUCCUUGCCUUUUUUGGCCUCCCAGGCUGGACAGUGGGAAUUGGAGGAUCAAGUUGAAGCAUGCUGGACUCAGGCCACAGUACUUGGCUGCUGAUGGGUUGCAAGACAUUAUUAUAAAUCUGUAAAAAUAAGCUCUUGUAGUAACAUUCCACAAUCAUUUCAUGUGGAUCAUCCUCAGUUUGCUUAAUUGCUGCAAUGGCAUGGGUACAAGGUAAACCAGAUAAUUCCCAGAUUCGACAAGUGCAACUCUUCUUUCUCAAAUUCACAGCAAACUGGGAAUUCCUUGGGCCCUUUACCUAAUAACCAUCAAUCCCAUUGAACUGUGGGAACCACUGGAAAGACUCUUCAAUUCUGUCCUCAAUAAUUUUUCUAAUCAAAGGACCGGUUGAGUGUGGAUAUCUAGUCAUGGCAGCCUUUCUUUUUUGAAUUCUUUCCAUCAUCAGUUCUCUAAUAUUCUCCAAGCAAGAUAUAAUUGGUUUAUCCCUGGCCUCUAGUAUAUGUGAAUUGAAAGAUUCGCAUAGAUUAUUGACAAUCAUGUCACAUUUAGUGUGAGGAGAAAAGUAAGCCUUACACCAAUGCAUCGGAUGAGGAGCCUUCUCCACCCACUUGUAUGCUUCAUUGUCAUACUCUUUCAAGUCCUCAGCAGCUUUCUUGUACAUCUCAAUUGUACUGCUCCUAGCUAUAGCCCACAGCAUCCCUUUAAGUGCCUUUCCAGGAUGUUUCUUCUUGAAAUUUUGAUACAUGUGCUGCACACAGUAUCUAUGCUCAGAGUUGGGUAGCACCUCGGAUAAUGCUCUGUCCAAUCCCUGCAUAAAAAAUAAAUGAAUUAUUGGUUCAAACAGCCACAAGGCUCACAUCAAAUGUUGGAUAAUAAGAUCCAUACCUUUUGUUGAUCAGAGAUGAAAGUGUAGUGACACUGAUUAUCUAUUUCCAGAUCCGCUUGGAGAAGUUGUAAGAACCAUUUCCACUGUAUUGUAGCUUCCUUCUCCACUAUGGCCCAAGCAAUAGGCCACCAACCAUUGUUGGGAUCAACUGCCACUGCUGAUAACAGUUGACCAGGGUAAGGCCCUUUUAUAUGGCAGCCAUCAAGUCCAAUCACAGGUCUACACAUUUUGAAUCCUUCUUUUAGUGCACCUAAACAACAGUACAGUCUCAUGAACCUAGGAUUCGAACCUGGAUCUCUAAAUGGAGUGAACUCGACUACCAUGGUAGAAUUAGUAUGAGUCUUCUUAAUCUCCUCACAAUAUUCCCAUAUAUGCUUAUACUGCUCGACUGCACAACCUUUGAUUCUGUCAACAGCUAUACCUCUAGCAUUUCUGGCUAUUGUUUUCGAUAUUUGUAUCUUGUACUCCUCAUGCACUGUCUGCCUUAAAGAAUGGAUUGGAAUGUUCAUAUUGGCCCUAAUUCUGUUCUCAUAUCUCUCAGCAACCCAUUUAGCAGUCAUCAUUUUAUUUUUCCAGGCAUGACUGCAGUUUUCAUGUACAUCAUAAAGGGUCUUAAUCACCAAAUCAUUCGUCCCAAGUGCUUUCUCUUGAGAAGCAUAACACUCCCAGUUACAUGGAUCCUUGCACCUUACCCUUACUCUUAGUUCCUCAUUAGUGUAAUACCAAACAGGUCUACCAUUAGCAAUCGAAUAAUUCUGCAUUGCGGCCUUAAACUCAGCUGAUGAUGCAAAUCGCAUCCCAACCUGGAAAUGUGGAUUUCUCAUGUUCUUUUCAGCAUUGAAGUCAACAUAUUUGAUUCCCUUCUGCACUUCAUCAUCUUCAUCAGAAGAAGCAUCAAUGCUAUGCAGGUCAUCCUCCAUCAUACUGUCAUGCAACACAUCUUCAUCAUCAGCUUCUUCCAUUUCCUCAGCAGCUUCCUGUGAUGAUGUGUUAUGGUCAGCCUGUGCUGAUGAUGUCUUCUCCCUUCUUGCUGACCACUUUCUUUUUCCUCUUGUUGUUUUUCUAGGAUACUUUUUCUUUGCUCUCUUGCUGCCACCAGAUGAUCCAUCAGUUGCCUGUGAUUGUUUUUCAGCUUGGGCAUCGCGUUGACCAUCUCCAUGUGUACCACUUUCCAAGCCAUUUACAUCCUGGCUCUCAUGGAGUAUAGAUUCAGUAGUUCUCCUCAUAACAGGUGAGGGAAUUUCAACUGUGGGAGUUGGUUUCUCACUCCCAAGCAUUUGAUCAUCUUUGCAAAACUCUUCAUCAUCAGUGAAAUGCUCCCUUUCUGAACUGCUGUCAUUUUUAUCAUCUUCUUCACCUGCCCUUGCAUUCACAUCAGUUUUAUCUCCUUGACUCCUACUCUUUACACCAGUCCCACUAGUUUCUCCCUCAAUGACAACACUUACUCUUACACCUUUACCUCUACUUGUACCUCCUAUUGCUGGUCCAGGGGCAGUCAUAUUUGUACUAACAAAAGAGCUAUCAAAAAGAUUUUUUCUAACCACCAAUUGUUUAUCAAGUUCUACAACUCCACUGCCAUAUUCAUCUACAACUACACUACCAUGUUCAUCAAUUUCUUCAAUUACAACCCCUGUUUUUUUCUUACUACCUAACAGCGGGGAAUGUGACUGGAUGUCAAGAAUUUCAUGUAAAGGCCUAUGGUCACAGUAAACAUCUAUCAGUUUGUGCUCGUACGCCCAUUUGCACAUUGCCACUAUAUCUGCAUCUCCUUGUAACUCUCUUAAUCCCUUAUUCAAAUCACUCCCAGGUUCUAAGUAAUAGUAAAGCAUUGCACCAUUAUAUCCUAAUUCCUCAACCAUGUCAUUUAUCUCAUGGACAGACAUUCUCUCCGCAUCACACGCAUCAACAUAAUCUAUUUCACCACCAACGUAUGUUUUAUACUGACGCCCACUAAAUCUACCACCAUGAAACAUUCUAAUACUGAAUAGUUCAGAAUUAGGCACUGCAAUGAAAUGGGAAAAAAAAGGAAUCAUUUCAUUUGAAAAAAAAAGACUAAAAAAAACACUUGUUUAUUUCAAAAUUUCCCACUUUUACAACCGGCAGUUGGAUGAAAACCCUAACAUUUAAACUCCAUAAUGCUGCUACAUAUUCACAACCCACAAAUAAGCACCUUCGAUUUCAGACACAAACUUGAGUAAUACACCCAUUACAUUUAGUUUAAAGUAUAGUUUCAGUUCAUUCACAUGAUUUUCCCCAAAAAAUAACUUACCGUAAAUUUCAUAUGGAUCAAUGUCGAUGUCUCUUCUCCUGAUUUUCCACUCCAUAGAUUCACCACGAUUUUCCCUUCUCUUCGAUCUUCAAAACCCUUCUCUUCGAUCUUCCUACAACGAUUUUGAGAACUUCAGUUUGUUUAGUUGGCUUGUUUCUACCGCUCUUUUUUUUCUUUUCAGUUGAUGUAUUAAUGUAAGUGAACGGUCAGUGGAUUGACGGACAAAAUUGCCCCUGUGGUUUGCCACGUGUAAUGCUAAUUUCAGAAAUUAAGAGUUAUUAUCGACGAAAUGGUCACGGGUGGCCUGAUUAAGUUGUUUAGUGGCCAAUUAUUGACAAAAAAUAGUUCAAUGGCCAAAAUAUGAUCUUGGGAAAAGUUUAAUGGCCGCUCAGGUUUUUUGCCCUUUAUUUAAUAAGGAUUCUGAGAUGUUCAUGUUUCAAAGUUCUGUGUUAGUUUUCAGCUUGAAUUUUUAUUAAAAGUUGAAAUUGCUUUUUGAUAUAUGAACCUUUGUUAUUAUAAUUACUGAUUGUCUUCUUGGUUCAUCUACUUGUGAAGAAUAUGUCAUCUACCUGUGAAAUUGCGUUUUGAUAAAUGUGCAUCACUUUGUCUUGUUGGUAUUAUAAUUAAGAAGUUGUUGUUGUCGUCGGAAACACGCAGAUCAUGUAAUUUGUUUGACGACCAAUACCAUAUACUACAUGGUUCACUUCAGGGGAUGUUUUAUGAUUACUAUGUUUACACUGUUCCAUUUUUGGGAUGCAUCUUUCCUUUUCAGAGUCUAAAGCCUAUUAUUGGAUUGAAGGAAACUUGAAUUUAAGAUCGAAAUUGAAUUUUGUGCCAUAAAAAGUCAAUAAAUUUUUUUUUGGAGUGAAUUACCGUACUACAUCAUUCUUGUUAAUCAUAUAAGUUGGUGAGUUUUUCUCCUUCAAGGACUUUACUAUUGACAGGUAGCUCAUUCAAUUGAUUUAUCAAAUAAAACUGUUUUAGAUCGUUCAGGUGACUCUUGUCAACUCCACAAUCCAAAUGUAAUCACCUACCUUUUACAUUUAUGAACAAUGCUCAAAAGUCCCAUAUAGGUUAUAUACACUUGAAAAGAUUAUACUCCCUCUGUCCCACUUUGAUAGUCCUGUAUUCAUUUUUCAUCUGUCCCAAAUUAUGGUCCACUUUCCAAUUGAAGAAUGUAAUUGUAUUUUAAUUUUUCUAAAAUACCCUUAUUCAAUGUAAGUAGUUGUUACUAUAAAUCUAUCCCAUUUAAUGAGAAUUGAUUCUUUUUUUACCAUCAAUUCAAGUUCCCGUAAAGUUGUACCAUAUUUAAUAUGAGAGUAUUUUAGAAAAAUAGCAAUCUAAAUUUAUUUUUCCAACAAAGUUAACUAAUUUUUUUUAAACUGUGUGGAAAAAGAAACAGGACUAUCAAAGUGAGACAGAGGGAGUAAUUUAUAAUCGUAUAGUUGGGCACACCAACUUCCAUUUGCAUAAUUAAUGGUAAAGCAAUAAUGCACUGGAUGUACGAAUCCGAACCCAGGUAUGGUUUAAAUCGAGGCCUUCUAUCAUACAACAAAAAUUUAUACGUCCCACAUAUGGCAUCGAAAACAUUAUACAUAAUAUGAUUUGAAUCUUAUAUCUUCUUUUUUAGAUCAAUCUUAUCUCUUAACCUUUUAGGAAUGGUCACAUUAGCAACCUUUCCUAUCCAAAUUCGAUACACAAUUUCGUCAAAAUUUCAGGAAGAUAACAAUAACAAGGAGAAAAUGAAUAAAUGACUCGAGCAAAGCUACAUAGGUCUUUAAUUAACGCCGAAAUUUUGAUGCAGUAAAGAGCGAGCGUGGGGUUUUGUUUCCAAUUCUCUGUUGAAUGAAAGUUCUUGUCACUUGGGGAAUUUUGCAUGUUUAGUUAUUGGGUAGUACUGCUGAAUAAUAGGAUACUCAUGAACAUGAAAUGGGCCGACCCAAAAUCUUAGUCUCAAGCUAUUUUAUGGCCUCAUUCUGAUUGAGAUUUGAGACGCCAGUCUAGGAGAGCAUGGGGCCACAAAAAGUUGGAAAAAAAAAAAAAAAAAAAAGGUUUCUAGUGGGGCCCUGGGGAAGAUUUUGAUUUUUGAGUGCUCUCUGCUUGUGAACUGUGAAGUGCUUGGUGAGAAUUAUUUAAACGAGUAUUAGUUUUAUUUUUGUUUAAUAAUUGGAUUUAAAUACGGGUACUUUUUUCUUUUGUUUUUCUUUUUUUUUUCAAUGAUAGAAUUUAGACACAAGUUUAAUUCAGGACAGAAAUUUCCGGGACAUUGCGCUAUAAAAGUAGAUAAAGAUAGAUUGGCACUUAACUAUCAAAGUUCUAAAGGACGUGUCAAAACAAACGGAGGGUCCCGCAUGCCAAUUCACCCCGUAACAAAGUUCCAAAGAAGUGUCAAAACAAACGGAGGGUGUCAAAACAAACGGAGGGUCAGGCAGAGCAGAUACCUAUGUGGCAAAAAGACCUAAGUAACAAAAUGAUAAUGACCUGAAAGGAUGUUUAGACUUUAGACAGACAGAACACAAACCUGCGUGACAAAAAUACCUCUGUAACAAAAAGACAACGACCUGGUGAAGAAAGUCAAGGAGACAUCUAGGCUCACACAUGGCUAAUUGUCAUUGGACUUAGCGGCAGUGGGGCUCACCACACCAGGCACCUGCACUACUACGUAAAUGCUUGUGCGACGAUAUAAAAUUAUAAAUACGGCGCCACACAACACCGGUGGGGUAGCGAACCCAUUGAGAAUUUUUCUUCCGGCGACUCAGAAAUGUUGGGAGAACUCAAGCGUGCAGCUCUCAACUUCUUCAACACCUUGAAGAUGUUCGUUCAGGGCUUCCCGGUAUGGAAAUGGCGGGGGUCUCGAACUCAAGGGCAAAGUUGUCUCGUAAAGUGAAAUUUGCUCUCUACUUCCUAUUUUUUGCUCUUGCAGUAUCAUCUGGUAAUUAUGCCAAUACAUAUUAUUAGCUCACCAGUCAGAGUAUGGCGAUUCACCUAAAAGUAAACUAUUUGCCUUAUACUAGGACUUUAAAUACAUAUGACGUAUCUUGUACUUGACUUAAUACUAGAACUUUAACAACAGCAUAAAUACUUUAAAUGCCAACACAUAUUAGUUUAGUUGAUAAGUAUAGGUCAUAGAGAAAUCGUGUGUAAUGGUCUCAGUGGUAAUGUUCUAGUAACACUCAUUAGAGGCGAAACUACCCUUAAAAAAAAAACUUAAAAUAGUCAAACAUAAAAUAGCACCAAAUACUGUAUGAGAUAUUUUAUGCUGAGCAUGCAAUUGGUUCCUUAGACAACAAAGACCAAUAACUUCCCGACAUAAUUGAUUUAAAUGAAUUGUAAAGCCAAACUAAAAAUUCGUUUUUUUUAUGUUUGAUUUAUUAUUAGGAUACAACUUGCUUUCUUCAUUUUUUUUUUAUUGUAGUCAAACCUCACGACUAAACCCUAUCAAAAAAAAAAACUUCACGACUAAACCAAGGUAGUGCAUUAUAUUUAUGCUCUCUAAGCUUAAUGAGGAGAUAUUCUUUGAUGCUCUUCCCUUUCCAAAAUAGGCUAAGCCUACUCAUUGAUCAUAUGUUAUUUACGUAAAUACAUUUUGUAACAUGACGCAUGAGUUGCUUUUAUUUCCUUACAUUUUACUAUUACAUGACUCUUUCCACUAGCAAUUUGAAAAAAAAUCCGUCAAGAAGAAUAUUUUAUAUUUUUUCACAUUUUUUGUAAAAUAGUUGCAAGAUAUGUGACUAUUACGUGACUCUAUUCCGUAGCAAUUUGGAAAAAAAAAAUCAUCAAGGGUACUAAAUGUGCUCAAAAGUUGUAGGAUUGAAUACCAAAUUUGUUUGGGAUAAUUUCAUAAACCUCCCGUGAGGUUUUAUGAAAUAUCACCUAACUCCCUUGAGGUUUUCAAAAUCUCACUUAGCACCCCUUGAAUUGACAUUUUGGUAACAUUGGAAGCCCUUCUAACCAAAAGUAAUAUUAAAAAAUUCAUGUUUGAGGAGAGAGAUUAUUUUAUUGCCUUUAAUACCCUUAGGCUAUAAAAAAAAAUUAAACAUUUUACAAAACAAGGAAAAAAAAUACUAAAUUGGAACCAUUUUAAAAGUGAGGAGAUGAAAAUUGGUAAAAUUUUAUGUUACAACCAAUAGUCACUUCUACAGUAAGAAGAGAUAGUAAAAACAAAUACUAUUUUUUAAACCAUUUCUACAAAUAGAAUUCUUCAUAGCGUUGAAGGUAAUUAGCAUGUAAAAUCAUACAUUUGAGCAAAAAAAACUUAGUAGUAGAUGAAAUUCAACUUCAAUAUCAUACAAAAAAUUUACUCAAAAUAGACAGACUUUUUUUAUGGGUAUGAAAUAUGAAAAUCUUAUUAUAGAAAAAAUCAGAAUUUGAAAAAUUAUUUGGAGUUUCAAUUACUUUAUUUCUCUUGGGCUCUACAUGAAUAGGAAUAAAUAAAUAAAUAAAGUUGUGAAACACCAAAAAAGGAAAAAAAUAAAAAGAACCUGCAGCUAUUCUUCUCCAAAUGCAUUGAAUAUUUCAUUGAUUAAAUCCUAUAUUUCAUUGACAUUUGCAAUUCAAUUAUGCAUACAUAUAUGUAUGUAUGUAUGUAUAGACAUUGUUAAAGAAAAGUAGGAAAUUUAGAGAAAGAAAAAUAAGUUCAGAAAAUUUAAAUAUGAGGGUAUUAUUGACAAUUCAUCACUUUUGAUAUUAGUAUAUGGCCCUACCAUCACUUCAAGGGUGUUAAGUGAGAUUUUGAAAAGUUUAGGGGAACUAGGUGAUAUUUCACGAAACCUCAAGGGAGGUUUCUGAAAUUAUCCCAAUUUGUUUUGCUCCAAAAUUUGGGAAUUAAAACUACUCAUGCAUCAAAGUUUGGGUGUUGCAUUUUUCUAUUUGUUUAAUAAUUGGAUUUAAACAGAGUGCUUUUUUUCUUUUCUUUUCUUUUAAUGAGAGGAUUUAGACACAAGUUUAAUUUAGGGCAGAAACUUCGAGGACAUUGCGCUAUAAAAGUUAGAUAAUGACAAAUUGGCACUUAACUGUCAAAGUUCUAAAGAAGGUGCCAAAACAAACAGAUGGUCACCGGUCAGCGUAUGGCGAUUCACCUCAAAAGUAAACUACUUGCCUCAUACUAGGACUUUAAAUACGUAUCUUAUACUUGACUUAAUACUAGAACUUUAACAACAACAUAAAUAAAUUAAAUGCCAACACACAUUAGUUUAGUUGAUAAGUAUAGGUCACUUCCUCAUAGAGAAAUCGUGUGUCUAAUGGUCUGAGGGGUAUUGUCCUAAUGACAGUCAUUAGAGGCGAAAAUACCCUGAAACAAAAAACUUUAAAUAGUCAAACAUGAAAUGGCACCAAAUACUGUAUGAGAUAUUUUAUGCUGAGCAUGCAAUCGGUUCCUUAGACAACAAAGACGAAUAACUUCCUGACAUAAUUAAUUUAAAUGAAUUGUACAGCCAAACUAAAAAUUCAUUUUUUUGAUGUUUUAUUUAUUUAUUUAUUAGGAUACAACUUGCUUUCUUCAUCAUUUUUUUAUUGUAGUCAAACCUCACGACUAAACCCUAUUAAAAAAAAUUUACAGUCCAUUUUAUAUUUAAUUAUGCUCUCUAAGCUUAAUGAGGAGAUAUUCUUUGAUGCUCUUCCCUUUCCAAAAUAGGCUAAGCCUACUCAUUGAUCAUAUGUAAUUUAAGUAAAUACAUUUUGUAAACAAGACGCAUGAGUUGCUUUUAUUUCCCUACAUUGUGGCAAAAUACAAGGAAUAAAAUUUACAGUCCAGGCUUUGCAUGAAACUGUUUAUCAUUUCCUAUCCUAUCUUUCUAGUGUCUUUAUCAUAUAAGGUGAUCCAACUAAAGGUAAUUAGUGAAGAGAACUUGGGAGGCUUAAGGAAAUGACUGUGCCUUUUUUUUUUUUUUUUUGGGUAAAAGAAAAAAUAAGUGUGCUUGAUGUCAAGUGUGACCUUAGUUUGUUUUAUGAUAUUUGUGUGCACAAAGAGCAAGGUACAACCUGACUUGGGUUUAAACUUUUUUUCCCUUCCUCUGGGUGGGGGGGCUCUUACCUAUUUUUUUGGGAGUUCACUUAUAUAGAAAAUGACUUUGAAAAUCACGACAACCAUGAGUUAAUUUGUAUUUGUUAUACAAGUCGUAUGUCGUUUGGAAUAAAAUUUUCUUAUUUUUAUGUCCAAUGGAUUAUUUUUGCACACUAUUAUAUACCAAAAUAGAGAUCUGAUAUUGUCUGCCUAGAGCAGAUAGUAGUCUAAUAAAGUCUUUCUGUAAUUUACAAAAUAAACAAAUCACGAUUACUUUGAGUUAUUUUACAAGUCUAUCAAAGAUUAUCUAACUUUGUUUUGCAUUACUUGAGAAAAACAAUGGAAUGGAGUUUGCUUCUGUUGAUUCUUGAACAAGUCCUUCUCCAAAAACUAAAGAUAAGGCUCUGCUAAAAAGAAUAAAAAUAAAGAAGGUAAGGUCCUAAUGUUGAAAUGAGUGAAGAUGUGGACAAAGUACCGACUUAAAGGCGGUUCUUCUCUUGACAAUAAUAUACGAACACUAUCACAAUGACCUUGUGAAGAAAGUGGAGCUACAGUUUCUUCACCAGGUCAUUGUCAAGUGAAGAUGGUGUUCGUAUAUAUAGAUCCUGCAUAGUGUCCGAAGAUUAGUUAAGUGAUAAUAUGGUAGAAUUAGAGCUCAUACGAAUAUCGUCUUCACUUUCUUCAGCAGGUCAUUGUCGAGUGAAGGUGGUGUUCGCAUGGGUCCUUCCUGCGUAUUGUUCGAAGAUUAGUUAAGUAGUGUUGUGGUAGAAUAUUAGAAGAGUGGGGCUCCAAAAUAGGUGAUCAUAUGGUUUUAUUUAUUCGAACACCAUCACAAUGACCUUGUGAAGAAAGUGGAGCUGGUGUGCUGGAGCUACAGUUUCUUCACCAGGUCAUUGUCAAGUGAAGAUGGUGUUCGUAUAUAUAGAUCCUGCAUAUAUAGUGUCCGAAGAUUAGUUAAGUGAUAAUACGGCAGAAUUAGAGCUCAUACGAAUAUCGUCUUCACUUUCUUCACCAGGUCAUUGUCGAGUGAAGGUGGUGUUCGCAUGGGUCCUUCCUGCGUAUUCUCAGAAGAUUAGUUAAGUAGUGUUGUGGUAGAAUAUUAGACGGUUGGGGCUCCAAAAUUGGCAUUCACUUGAUAAUGACCUGGUGAAGAAAGUCAAGACGAUCUGCGCUCAAAAGAUCAUUCACUUUCUUCACCAUGUCAUUGUCAAGUGAAGGUGGUGUCUGCGUAUUGUUAGAAGAUUAGCUAAAUAGUAAUGUGGUAGAAGUAGAAUAGACUAGAAGAGUGGGGCUCCAAAAUUGGCAUUCACAGGAGUGUCUUGUCAUUGGAUAUUCUAGAAAUUAAUAUGCAUGGCUACAUGUUUUGUUUUAUAGAUUCACACUUACAGGUGCCUGAAUGCAAUUGGCAGUCUUAAAUUUGAGAACAAGUCAUCGUUGCGAUGCAGUCUUUCACCUAAAACGUUCCGUCGUUUAGUUCAGCACAGGCUGCACAGCAGCAGUGUGUAAUUUUCUCCAGUCCUAGUGUCUGUGGCGCCCACCGGGCCACCACCCUUUCCGUGGGAACGCACCUACAAGGCAAAGAGUCUAUGUAUAUGCUUGUCCGACGAUAUAAAUAGAGGCGCAACACAACAGAGGUGGCAAACCCAUUGAGAAUUUUUCUUCCGGAGAAUUACCAGUCUCAGAAAUGUGGGGAGAACUCAGGCUUGCAGCUAUCAACUUCAUCUUGACCUUGAAGAAUUUCGCUGAGGGUCAGGGCUUCCCGGCAUGGAAAUGGUGGGAGUCUCGAAACGGGGGCGCCCAACAGUCGCCAACCAUGGAACUCCAACUCCAACCUAGUGCAGCAUCUCAACUUGAGGAGCAGCCGUCCCUGCCUACCUUCCGGCAACCAAAUAAUAAUGGCGAUGAUCAGAACCCCAACUUCGUCGACUAUGUGAUGAAGAUGCAGUGGGCGUUUCUGGUCAUUGGAGUUUGUAUUGCAGCCUUUAGCGCCGCCUUGCAAGCUCUCAAAACCCCUGCACCUAUCCCUCCAACCUUUCACUGGUGUUGCAUGCUUCUGGAGCUGGCCGUUCUUGCUUUGUUGGUCUCCGUUUACGUCUGCCGCCGUUACGAGACGGCAUCUCUUGUCAUGGCACAUGUUGCAAUUUUCUUGGGCGCCACUGCAUUCGUGCUGGCCAUUGGAGUGACUUUUCCGGCUCCGCUCACUGGGAUAUCCAUCGCACUCUACUUCGUUGCAAUCCUCGCAAUCAUCUUUGCAAAUCGUUGAAUCUCCUGCUCAGGUAUUUGUUUAUUAACUUUUUUCUUUUUCUUUUUGGCAUUUUUCAGCAUAUUUUGAUUUUUGUUUUGCUAUAUACAUAUCUACCUGGCUGAAACAGGGCUUGCCAGGACGUACUACUGUGUUAUUCUCUGAAAUGCUCGAACAUCUUCGCUGAUUUGAUGAUACCAAAAUUCUCCUAAAAGUUAAGCUCAUGCUUCUUCGCUUUGUCUUUUCAUUUGUGUGUGUGUUUUUGGAAGGAUUGUUAUCCAUGUAUUUUACGAAUGCGUGUAAACAGGCCAAACAGACAAGAUGUUGUUGUUGUCGGAAAUAUGCAAGUCACGUACUUCAUUUGCCGACUAGUCCAGUUGUUAAAUUCUCAAGGAUGUUUUAUGAUUUCCAUGUUCGUACUGUUCCAUUCUUGGAAUGUGAACAUCAUGCUAUAAUUGAAUUUCUGGUUAUAUAUAAGUGGAUCUUUUCCUGUUCUGAAGACUGUGAAACCUAUUAUUUAUUGGAUUGACGGCACUGAAUUAUUUAUUUCACAAAAAAGAAAAAGACAGAACAGAAAAUUCGAGUGUCAAUAUAUAGAGGUUUUAAUUUCUGCACCUGAUGAUUGGUUUUAUUGCAGUGCAUGCAACGAAGGAAGAAAGGAUGUGGAUAAGAAAUUAGGAAUAAUUAGAAUUGUUAACCAUAAUCCAACAUAAAAAAAAAAAAAAAAAAGAAGAAGAAGAAGCAGAAGCCAUGAUUGACUUUUUAUUCUCUUUAAGAAAUAAAGAGAUCCCUUCAAGGAAACUUGAAUUCAACAUCGAAGUUGAAAUUCCACAAAUCUUGUGCCAUAAAGACUUAAUUAAUGGUAGGGCAAGAAUGCACUGGAUGUACAAAUCAGAACCCAGGUAUAAUUAAAAUCUUGGUCUUCUAUCAUAGAGCUUCUGAUGAAGUAAUUAAGCACAGGAAAGUACUGAUAUGCUAGCUUUUUUCCUUCUAAUAUCUCCUGCAAAUUAGAGCUUCAAGAUAAUAUAUAAUAGUUCAAUAGCAUAAAAGUGCCAUUCAUACCCUGUGAUAACCGAUGAUGCAGUGCUGCCAUAAUGCUUGCUCAAGAGUACAAGUAAGAAAGCAAAAUGGCUCCUCCUCACAGAUAAAAGAAUACUGAUGCAUUAUCUGGUAUCAUGAUUCAUUACAAACAUACAAUGCAAUGCCACCCCAAAAUGUAACACGCUGAUUACUUUUCUGUCGUGAUUUAACCAAGCCUAUUUGACUGACAUCAAGGUAAACUGUAGUGUCUUCCACCACUAAAGAGUAACCUGAUAUCCAAAUUGUGUUGUAUUACAUAGAGAACAGACAAGCCUAGAAAAUAGUUGAUAUGAUGACUUCCUGAAAGAAAGCAGCUCGCUGCGUUCUCUCCUCAUAAUUUUGUUCUUGAACUGCAUCUGGAAAAGAUGGUCUGUUGCUGCAAGAAGAAAAUUGAUCAGAAUUUUGUCACCCUAUCUUGAAAGUCAAGGUGAUGCACAAUGGAACUCUAAUCUUUCACCAGUUCACCAACGGAGAGAAUAUGGCAACUAUUCUGUUAUUCCUUCCUUUUAUUACAAAAUGCUGUUGAUCAUUUGGUAAUUUUCAGAUGAGUAAAAUCUUUAAAUUGCACAUUCAUUCUUGAUUAACUUCAGACAGAUUGGAUUGAAGAAAAAUUUGCAAUGACAUGACAUAUUUGCUAAACAGAGGCUCUGCCGCCAGAGCAAACAACAAAAAUGCUACACUAUUUUCAAAUCAACUGGCAAGCAGACAUAGGAAAAGUAAUGAAGCAGCUUCUAUCGAGUACGAUCGUUCGCAUAGACAUUAAUUUGUCAAGCAUCAUUCACUGUUCUGCAUUUCCAGUUCACUCUAUCCUGUUUACAUGCUCUGGCAACUUUCUCAUAAACUCACUGCAGUGGAUUGCCAUUAAAAUGCCUUCCAUUUUCCAAAUAGCCCUACUUUAGCUUACUAUUUUCACUUCGAUUUUUUUGGUUUUUGGGGGAGAGAGGUGAGGAGGGGGGGGGGGGGUUGUGGUGGAGGGAUUGGAGAGCAGAGGUGAGACAUGAUAAACUACACAGAGAGGUAGGCUAUAAUAUCAAGUGAAAGUCAGACAAGAAACUCGAGCAUCACCAAUAAUAUGAAUUCACUUCAAUCUAAGGAGAAUCUUAUGAGAUCUUUUAUUCAUGUUAAGCUAUCCGCUCCACCUUAUUCCCACUACAAAAAGGAAUGAAAGGACAAAAAGGAUUAAAUGAAAAAGAUAGCUUAUAUCCAAGAGGAAUAAAGAUACAAGUAAUACUAGUUAGAACUCACCUUAUUCCCACUACAAAAGGAAUGAAAGAACAAAAAGGAUUAAAUGAAAAAGAUAACUUAUAUCCAAGAGGAAUAAAGAUACAAGUAAUACUAGUUAGAACUCACCUUAUUCCCACUACAAAAGGAAUGAAAGAACAAAAAGGAUUAAAUGAAAAAGAUAACUUAUAUCCAAGAGGAAUAAAGAUACAAGUAAUACUAGUUAGAACUCUUCUUCUUGGUAGUGCUCUUAUUGGGCUUGCCAUGCAAACAACUCUCCAGACACGUGAUAACUGACAUUGAUAUACUGAAAGGCAAUAAUUAGGUGGUGAAUAUUGUUCUGUAACUUAGAAAGUUUGUUUUCUGGAUUUCCAAAAGAAUACAAAGAAUGUUUUGAUCAGUUGUUGUCAUUGCAUUUUAAAUCAUCUGUAAUUCUUUUAUCUGCAAUUUGGCUUCAAAAUCAAGAAGACUGGUCAGCGUCAGAGUCAUGUAUAGAUCUUCUCCUAUUGAAAUAAGGUACUUCUAUGCUAUAUCUACACUUUGCUGUUCUGGCAAGCUGUUCCCGCUAAAUAAUAAAACAUUUAUAUCCUCCUUUUCCUCCUCCAGCAGAAAAUUUACGUAGAAUCCUGUAGAAUUAGAGAGCAUCUCAAAGUCUUAAUUCCUAUGAUAGUGAUGAUCCUCAGUGUGACACUUGAAAACUUAGAAUGCAAUGGUUACAGGUUUAUCAUCUAUCAUGAAAUUAUACAGCUACUUUUUAUCAAGAUGAGUAACCCAAUAUUAUCAAUUACUAGAAAAGAAGUUUAGGAAGCAGACAUUUUAUGGCAUUACAUCUUAAGUAAAAUACCAAUGCUAUUCAUUUUCCAAUCAAAGCAACCUAGAUGAUCUUAAGUUGGUGUUCUUUUCUCUUUAAAUUAUUGCCUUUGAUAAGGUUAGCCCAUUCAAAUGUUUUAUGACUUUCUUAUUUAUUUAUCUCCAUGAAAGCCAUAGCUAUUUCACAUCCUCUACGUGGCUCAUUAUAACUCCAAAAGCCAAAAUUAUAUAUUUUACUUAAAUUACAGCUACAAACACCACUCAAAGAGCCAGAUCAUCUUAUACAAGUGAAAAAAUUAUGUUCAUAUAAUUGGGCACACCAAAUUUUGCUUUUGAAUAUUUCUGGAAGAGCAAAGAAUGUUCAGCUUGAAAAUAUUGAGUUUAUCAACUUCACUUCCUGUAUAUUCUUUCAUCCUUUAUGUCUUCUUAACACUUCAAUAAACAAUUUUUUUCAAGUAAAUAUGUCAAAGUAGUGUAAUCCAAUUUAGCAAUUCGUAUUUAGAACAAUCUUUCCUGUUAUACUGUGAACAUGUCUGGGAAAAACUUAAUUCAGGUCAAACCAAAGAAACUAUAACAGAUGGAGAGUAUUUUGAGAUUAUGCAUUCAUGACCUUUAUCUCUUCAGUUCAUUGAUCAUUGCUUCUCCUCCAACAUACAGGCAUGGUCUUCAAUGUACAGUUCUGCUAGCCAUAUCCUAUCAGGCGUGUUAUUCAGAAAGUGACUCACUACAAAGUGAAACUCUGACCUUGCCAUGCCCAGUCCUAAUAGGUAUUACCUUAUUCUUGAUUUUGCUCUAGAUGUCUCGUUAUAGAACAUUAAAAGGUAACUUCUAAGUUCGCUUGGAUCUUUUGGCCUCAUAAUGUUCAAAGGUUCAGGGGUCCUAUGUGAUCUGUAUGCACAACUAGUUAGAAAAAUGAAACCACCAUCUGAUUCUAAGUUUGUCUCCCCUCAAAACAGGUGACAUUUGACGACCUGUUAAAAUACUUGAAUGUACAAGAAUUGUACAAGUUCCUACAGAACAAGCAAAUUCCAAACAAAUGGUAUUAUGUUGUUUACAUCUCAUCUCAUGUGGCCUUUUUAGUUCAUAAUGAGCUUAAAUUAGGUUCCCUUAAUUAAAAAAUUAGCCAACCAACACCAGCAGUAUGAGCUUUAGAGCUCUUUAUAUAGCAUGAAAUUUAAGUUCAUAAAUGCAUAUAGUAGUAGGCUAGACUGAAAUCUUAGGGAGGAAGAAUUUACCUGUCUGCAUUAGCAGUUGAGUCAGUGCAACUAGAAGACACAUCUUUUUUGCUGUCUUUAGGGUCUAAAAAAGGUCUUGAACAAAGAAAUGGUGAAAGGAGUGGAUCUGGAGCAGGUUCGUGCCCGUCAGACUGACUACUUAAUGAAUUUGAACCAAGAAAUGAUGUUAACUCUCGCAAGUCCUUGCCUACUGUUGCUGAGGUGUUACUCCACAUGCCUGAUUUUUGAGAUUUUCUCCGGCGCUUCAAUAGUUUAACAUUGUUCAGUUAUCGGUCGAUAUCACAUCAAGUUGAAGUCCAGAAAGGGAUAUACCUUCACCGAUUGAGAAUGCUGCAUUGUGAAAUGCCCGAUUGCAUCUUUUCCCAGAGUUGCUGCACAUAUUGGGCAGACCUGGAAUAUAGGAUAGAAAAAGACCAUCAAAUUGCGACACCAAAUUAACAGAAUCAGCAAAGAAAAUCCUUUCAAAUUGACCAAACUAAAAGCAGAGAAAAAAAAAAGGAAAGGAAGUUGGUUUUUUUCCCUAUCUGACAGAUUAAAGCACACUACAGGCGCAAAGAUCAUCAUCAAAAUUUUGUGCUUCUUAUUUGUCAGAAAGACAGAGUACAGUGACAUGUAAGGCCUUCAAAUGCAAAGAAGUAGAUAUAAUAGGAGUAACGUUUGUUAACAAUGUUAAUGGAUUAUACCGCAUUUUUCAAGUCAAAACAAUGCUCUUCUUGCAAAUGGCUACACAGCACUGGAACUUCAAUUUCUACAUAACAGAAAGGGCAGGGAAACCAUGCUCUAACAUCAUCUUCACCUUCAUCUCCUAUGGCCAAAUGGCUAUCUGUGCAAUUAGGAAAAAAAUAAACAAUUUAAAGAUGGGAGUUUGAUGAACUUAUCAUCUUUAUCAUCACCACCACCAAAAAUAAAAAAUCAAGGUUGACUGCAGAAAACAGCAAUUGGUCCAUCAAGCAACAUUACAAGUUCAAGAACUUUGCUCCUGAAUAGACUCACUUGUUAAUUAGAUAAUAAAAGUUAAUUAGCCAUGUAUAGAGACCCUGACAACUACUAUCUUUCUAAAAAUUUGUCUAACAAAAAGUAAGUCCAGAACAGUGGAAAAAGAAACUGAAUAUCAAGAUUUAGCUAUAUCUUGCAAGGCAAAAUCUAGAGAAACUAUCAAGUCAAUAAUCAGUUCCAUAACCACGCCUCAGCAGAACAAAAGAUUAAUCAUUUACCUUCUAUUACCUCAAAAAUCCAUAACCUUCGCAAAUUUUGAAAGAAAAAACAAGAAAAACAAAAAGGGCUGGGUUGAAAUUACUUGUAUUUACCAGAAUUGUUCAGUCUGGCAGCUUGGACAGCUGAAAAAUGUUUAGCUGUGUGAAUUCUAGCAGCCCAGAAAUCCACAUCCAUUUCUGCUUCGCUUCGCUUACUUCUCUGACAAAUGAAAAAUGAGAAGUACUUAAAGAAGAACUGAUUCACCAGACAGUGAAAUCUAACAAAACCAAUUGGUUAGAUUGACUUCAGAAGAUCAUGAGAGAUUGAAGUGAAGAAAAGAAGAGUGGCUGCUGCUGCUUUUUGAUUGCUCAUGUGCUCAUGAUGUGCUGUUGUGUUGUACUAAUUUGUAUUCUUGUGAUGAGUGAGGUGUGAGGAAAGCUUUUUAUAAGAGAGGGAGGGGGGAUCUGGCCUGACAUUUCAGUAAGCUUUUCUGACACUCAAAAGGUUGGUUUAUAGAUGUCUGACACGUGGCAUCUUAAUCUCAUCUUUCUCUUUCUUUUGGAUAAUUUCAGAAACCUUCUAUGAGGUUUUCGACUCCUUCAUUGGCUUCUUUUCAGAUUUUGAAAGUUGCACUAAUCUCUCUUAAAGUUAAUUAUCUUAUAAUAUUUAAAUUUAACUAAUCAUUAAAAAAUAAUAUUAAAAGAAAAAAAAAUAUAAUAUCAUUAUUAUCUUUCAUUUAUUAUAUUAUUUAAUUAAUUUAAUACCAACUCAUACAUUAAAGAAAAAUAUUAAAAUUUGUUAAUUAUUAUUAGGGAUCAAAUUAUAUAUAGCAUCAAAAAAUAAAAAAGUUAUCUUAUAUUUUUCACUUAACACAAAAUUCAAAUUACUCUUUUCACUUAUAUAUCCAUUGUCAAACAUGAUUAACAAUAAAUAAUCAAAAAAUUUACAAUUAAAAUAUUAUAGAGAACAAAUUUUAACAUCAUAAAUAUUUUUGUCAACAUAUUAAGGCUAGUUGUUGAGAUUUUUAUGAUAUUGAAGUUCACCCCUUGUAAUACUUUGGUUGCAGAUUUUUUUUAUUAUUUGUUGUUAAUUGUGUUAAACAAUGGAUUCGUAAUUGAAAAGAGUAAUUUGGAUCUUAUAUUAAGUGAAAUAUAUAGAAUGAUACACUAGUUUUUAUGCUAUGUGCGAUUUAAACUUUGAUAAUAAACAGUAAAUUCUUGUAUUUUCUUAAUGUUUGGGUUGGUAUUAAACUAAUAAAACAAUUUAGUAGAUGGGAGACAAUGGAAAAAUCAUAUUAGCUAUUUUUUAGAGUGUUUUUGAAAUAUUUUACUGUAGCAGUGUAUAUGAAAAACUUUUCCUAUAGAUGUUUUUUUGAAAUAUUUGAUAUAUUAUAUGAAUGAAAUGUUUUUGAGUUGUUUUUAUUUGUUUAUUACUGUAGCAUUGUAUUUGAAAAACUUAUUUUUGAAAAAUAGGCCAAUCCAAACAGAGCCAUUAUUUUUUCAGUCCUAAUAUCACUUUUUAAUUGAUGAUUGGACACAGAUUUAUAAGAUAAUAAAUCUAAAGGGAGGCCAAUGAAAUAAUUAAAAAUCUCAAGGGAGGUUUCUAAAAUUAUUCCUUUUCUUUUUUUUAUUGCCAACCAAUGGUCGUUAUCUCUGUACAUUUUACUCAUCAAAAUUCUAAUGUCACUUUCUACUUUUGUUUUCUUCCUUGAGAAGAAAAGUUAAUCAUGAAAAUUGCAAAUUUUCAUUAUUGUGGACGUACAUCAGAAGUUUCUAAGCUACUUCUGAAUCAUUAAUUUUGGUUAUAGGAAAGUGUAAAUUGUAGUGAUUUGUGUAAGUAAGGAUUAAUUAUAGAUGUAAUUUACUCUUGAUUCACAUGUGACUAAUAUGUUUACUUGUUUUAUUAUUAAAAGAAAGAUGUCUUCCUCGUCUAGCAGCAAACAUCUUCUAAUUUGUGAAUCUGAUCUACAUACUGAAGGUGAACCUUUGAUUAUAGAACAAAAAAAAAUUCAAGAAGUGACAAAGCUAUUCUCAAUAUAAAGGCUUAAAAAUUUUGUACCUAAAGUUUUUAUAAUUAUUGUUGUUAAUCAAUUCGAGCAAUUCAAAAGCUUAAUAAAACUUAGCUCGCAAAAGCUCAAACUCGACUCAUUAAUUUCAAUAAACGAGUGAAGUUCGAAUUAAAAAAGUAUUCCAAUUACAAACGAGCCGAGGCAGCUCGACUUGUCUCUCAAUCAACCAGCCCAAUUGAACUUGUUAGUGAUGGCAUAUGUCUCAUUUCACAAUACACAACAAAUAGAAUUAGGGGUUAGAUUUUUCGAGUUCAAGCUCAUACAAGCUCAACUCUUUUGUGAUUAACGAGUCAAAUUUGAACUCGAGAUCGAGCCCCGCACCUCUUUUAUCGAAUCGAUCUGGACUAGAUUUUAGGACUCAUUCAAUUAAAGGAGUGAGUUUGAGCCUAACUUGACAGAGUGUCGAGUAGAGUUUGAACUCGACUAUUAACACCCUAUUUAUAAUGCACGACUUGUUAGAUUGGCAUGGUGGCCUCACCCAUUACGCUUUUGUAGCAUAUGAAGUCAUUUCUUGAUAUGGUUUAUUUCAUCAAAGCUUUUGGGCUGUCCUCUACUAAUAUUUCUUCUACACUAAUAUCCCAACUGCCUUUUAUUGUCCUUGCAGCCAUGGGCUAAAAAUGAGCCUAAUUUUAGUCAGCCAACGAAUUACUCCUGUUAUCAAAAAGGAAUUUCUAAAGUAAUUGUUGUAUUUCACAUUAUUUUGUUGUCUAGUUUGCGUUUAGAUUGAGAAAUUUGAUGAAAGAUUUAAAAUCAUUUAAAAUUCUUAUAAUUAUUUAAAUUAUUUAAGAGGUAUUUAAAUUUAUAAAUUACAAAUUAUUAUGGUAUUUAAAAUAUAUUUUAAUAAUUAGUGAAUUAUAAAUCCAAAUAACUUAUAAGCAAUCUAAAUAAUUAAAAGAAUAUUGAUGAAUUUCAAAUCUUUCCUCAAAUUCUUUAAUCCAAACGGAGAAUUUUCAACUUAAAAUAGAGAAGUAUUCGAUGUAAGAUCACUACAACCAUAGGUCGGUUGGUAAGAUGUCACAUCUUCUUCCCAUCAGUAGUCAUAUUCAUUACGAGGAUUAACUAGCAAACGAGUACUAGUAAACAGCAUUAGACUCAUAUGCCUAGCUCCCAAAAAAAAAAAAAGGUGCUAUUCGACCUGAUUUAAAAAUUAGAAUACACACUUGGAUGGGGAUGCGCCAGUCAAUUUAGUCCGACCAAAUUUCACAAAAUCCAAGGAAUUGGAAACAAGAUGAGACCUUAAAGCUCACAUGACACUACUGAUAUUUAUGAAACCUUUGACUUGAUUUCUGGCUAAGACAAAUUUGCACCAAAAGAAGAAAGAAAUAAUCCAGAUGGUGAUUAACCCCUAUACUUAAUUAGUGUCGAUUAGUACCUAAGCCUCAAUAGUCCCUAAAUCUUAUAUUUCCUUGUCGGAAAGUAGGAAUUAAUAAGUAAAACAAAAAAUUUGUUCAAGAAACAUGUCAGGAUUGAAAACCAAUAAAACCAGAUCAAAAUUUUGUCAAAAUCAGGAUGAUUUAAAGUUUUAACCAAUGUGUUGUAAUUUUUUUUCUUUCCAUAUUUUUUUCUUGUAUAUCUUAACCCUUGUGCUUGUUUCCAGACGAAGCCAAAUGGAUUCAUUGAAUGUAUGGUUUUGACUGAAAUUUUCAGGAUCGAGUUUAGAAACACAUAUUCGAUAGAAUUAUUACUAUAAUACACUUUAAAAAAAAAUGCUGUCACCGACCCUUUUCAGAUAGAAAGAAGUAUGUUCUUCCUAUUAUCCAUUGUAAAUAACUCUAUAUGGCCAAACAAAGGGGGAAAUUAGGUUGGGGAUAAAAAUAAUGUACUAUUUAACUAAAAUAGAAUAGUUCUGAUACUCAAAAGACAGAAUUCUAACUCAAUAAAUUAUAGGAAUUAGUUAAAUCUAUUUUUAGGCGUACCUACCAAUUAAGUUUAAAAUAUGAGGGAUGCAGAUCUGGCAAGUUGUUGUAAAGUUUUGAUCUGUCUCAGCCCAUAUGGAUAUUCAAGCCAGUGAUUGGCAAUAAAAGGUUACUUUGCACCUAAAAGAUUCAUUAAAAGAAGUCACUCAUGGAUUUACUAAAAUAGGGCAAACCUAACUAAGGCAUUAAGAAACUACCAGCCUUUGGGUUGGUGGCCACCACUAAACCAUUUAAGGCUUGGUGGAGUGGAAGGCAAGGGUUCAAACCUUACCUCCCACCAACUGCUACAUUAAGUGGCUUCUUAAAAAAUGCAGCAGACGGGUAUGUAGUGCACCCGUCUAAUUCGGUGGUGGUUCAAUCCCCACCGGCCCCCCUAGACCCACUUGGAUCUCCCCCUUAGAUUAGGAUAGUGUAGGAUCCUAUAGAUAAAAAAGUGAUGAUUGAAAAAAAAAAAAAAACUAAGGCAUUAAGCAUGGAAGAACAAGUUGAGAAAAAUAUGGCUUUAUGACAAAGGAUGGUGACUAAGACUAUUGUUUAGUGCAUGGAAUAUGGAGCAAGAAUGUGGCUUUAUUAACGAGGAUAGUGACUAAACUGUAGUUUAGUGCAUGGAAUAUGGAACAAUUCGUCAAAUGGCCACACAGAAAAGUUGACGGCACCCAGAAAAGGCCAAACAGAAAAGUGUAUAAAGGGUUAAAGUGUCAAUUCUCAACGGUAAAUCUAUGAAGUGACAAUUGAACGGAAUAAAUUGUGGUGGAGAUGAGAAGGUUGAAUGCUUUAUUGAAAUAUAUAAUUUAUGUUAUAAAGAUUUUUAUAUUUUGUCUACAUGGGCUCUAGGAGGGUAUUAGAUUUGAUCUGUUGUGUUUUUGUUUCUUUCGGUUGCGGGCUAUACCCCAUUUCUUGAGCUUCUUUUGGGCCUCAAAGACUUAAUUUGGCUAAGAUUGGGCUGCAAAAUUAGUGCUCAAGAGCUUAUUGGUGAACUGGGUUUAAACAUCAAUAUCCUAAUCAUGCAUAAAUACACUGUAAAAACAUUGUUUAAUUUUGAUGGAGAAUUGUAUGAUUGCGACUCAAAGGAGAUUUAUCUCUGUGUAGCUAGGCUUUACACCUCCGUCCGAUCUGAAAAAAACAAAAAAAAAAAAAGAAAAAAAUUAUAUAUGUGUGUGUGUGUUAAUGAAUCAAUGCAAGUGAAAAUACUGUUGUUUUCAGAAAUUAAAAUAUUUUUCAAUAUCUGCAUGUUUACAGUGUAUUGUGGAAUUUGAGUCAGAAAGUGUUGGCACUGGCCGUAGAGAGUUGUUAAAGCUUUGUUCAAUUGUAGGCAAAGAUAGCUGAUACUUGAUUUCAACUCGAAUUCUUUUUUAUGGUAGAUUUUCUCUAGAAUACUUAAAAAUUGUUCCUUGGACCCAUUUUCUUGGGGUUUAAUUCGACUUUGCAUCCUUUAACUAUUUUUUAAUUUUUACUUUGAUCUCUAAACUUCAAAAUAGGGCAUUUUGGUCCCUGAAAUAUGAAACUUGUUCCGCUUAAGUAAAAUCUUUAAUGGAAGUGGGAGAAAUUUAAUACUUAAGGUGAAUGAAUUUUUUUAAUUUAGAGAAUAAAGUGAGAUGAAUUCUAUACUUUAGAAACUAAAGUGGGACAAAUUUUAUAUUUUAGAGGUUAAAGUGCGACAUAAUAUCUACUUUAAGAACUAAAAAUAUUCCGCUUUGAAAUUUAAGAAUCAAAUUGAAAAUUUCACUGCAGUUGAAGGGUGCAAAGCAAAAUUAAUUCAGUUUUGUUUAUUCUUUUGCUGCCAUAUUUGCCCCAUUUUUCCUUUUGGAAAACUCUCAAUAAUUUAAAGUUUUCAGGAGAAUUGGCAUUCUGGGCUUCCUUUUUAAUUAAUACUAAUUGUUUCCAAUCGUCAAAUUUGCAUUCUCAAGCCACGCAUCAAAGUCAAUCAAAGCCUAUGCUGGUGUUUAUAAUGUGCAUUUGUCGUAGUAUAUAAUUGAUGAGCACCAAAACAAAAUCCAUCUUGCAAAUUGAGGUUCUCAAAAUUUAUUUCUUAGAAAAAUCUUGUUCUAAAACUUCUGGCUAACCUAUCACCUUGCUUGAAUUGAAAUACAAAUAAUAAAUGGUGUGUCUUUUCGUCGAAUCUCAGCUAAACGAUCCAUAACCCUUUUAUGUUUGGAAGAAAUGGAUAUAUGACAAGAACAUAUUGUAUAGUUCGUAAAACAGGAACUGAAAAUGAAAUUCCCUUAGACCUUGAUAAUGCAAUCUAGUACAAAUAAGUCAAAUAACUUUAAAAGAAAAUCUGGGGGAGGGUUGGGUUGGAUGGUAGGGGGAGGAAGUGUAUACAAGAGGUCUCGGGUUCGAGUCCUCCUGCUUACACUAAAAAAAAAAAAAAACUUUAAAAGAAAAUCUAAAUUCGUACCUAGCUUGAAUAUGGAGAAUACGCUUCAGAAAGUAAGGGUUUUCAUAGUUUUAUAUGCCACCAAAUUCUACAGUAGCAGAAUCACAUACUUGUUUUUAUUUUCAUUGUAACCACUUAUACAUGGAAAUUAUUUACCUUACAAAAAUUUACUCCAUGUGGGGUUCUUACCUUUCUAGUGCAGGAAAACAUGAAGAAUCAUGUUAGCUUUUGCAUAUGGAAUUGAAUAAUUUUGGUGGGGUAACAAUGCCCCUAGAAGUACUAAACAACCUCUUCCAAAAAAUAGGUCAAAGAACCACUUUCGUUAAUUAAUUCUGAUCAUUAACCUUUAGACAGAAUAAAGAGGAGAGAAAUCAGAAAAGUUGAUUGCAAUCAGAAAAAAGAUUUCCCAAGUUUGUGGCUACCAGAGAAUAUCCAGCAGGUUGAAACUUGAAACUCGAAACUGCUUAAACUUCAGUAGGCAGUAAAUUACUCUGGUCAACUGGCUUUUCAAACAAAAAUACUUUUUUUUCUCAAGCUUUUUUUGACACAAAAACAUAAAAGCAAAAAGGGCAUCAAUGGACAGAGGAAUCAAGCACAGCUAUUCGACAUAAAGUUUUUUGUUAGAUCUCUAAUUAAUUCUAUAACUGACUAAAAGUAAGCCAAGGUGAAGAGAACUAAAAUUUAAAACGUCCAAGCCACAUGUUUACCACAUCCACCUUCAGCACAUAAAUGUUGUUACGACAUAUUUCAGGAUCGUAGGUUUAGCUUCUUCAGCCCCUUUUGACAAUUAUAGAAGACAAAUGAUCUAAUUACACCAUAUAUCAUAUGCUAACCAAUUUGAUAACUUCAUUUACUCUCUCUAUCUCUCUCUGUGUAUAUAUAUAUGUAUAUUGUGGAUAUAGUUAUUAAUUCAUGAUCUGACAUAUAUAACACGGGACCUUCAUUCUCGAGUCUGCGAGAAUUUUUAUGAAAGCCUUUCAGUGACAUCUCUUCCAUGGGAGUUUGAUUUAUUAUCCCUCUCGAAAACAAAGAUUUGAAGUAGUUUAUAACUUAUUGAUCAGUACAUGAUGAAUGAUAGUUCUCUUUUCUAGUCUAAUUCAAUUACUCAUCAAGAAAGUACACUUUAGUGUAACAUUAGCUAGUCACUUUUUCUUACAUUUUUGAAUUCCUGAGACAUUUUUCUUUCCACCGUUCACAUUAGUAUGAAAGUCAAAUUUGUUACUUUUCUUGGGUGUGAAUUGCUUCGAGCCUUUCAACGAAUUGCAAUCCUUUCUAAUAUGUGUAGUUCUUGGUAUGAGUAAACAACACAUCAGUCCUACUGUAUAUGCCCCUUGCCAAAUGUGAUGGCCUACACUAGCAUAUUAUUUUAUGGUAGUAGCUUUUCUUUGAGCUUUUGUGUUGAUAUAGAUGGAAAAGAAUUUCCACCAUGGCUGGUGAAGAUUUUCAGCAAAGUCUGCUCUGACCAUGAUUACGAUAUUAUUGAACCUAAUGGCUACUGGUCACUGCAAUUCCUUACACUUGGGAAGAAAUUGUCCCUUGCAAUUGUAGUUUUUAUGCAACAAUCAUGAGGAUACAAACAGACAGAUAUAUAGGACAAAUAGUUGAAAGCAGGAAAAUGUAGAGCUUCUGCUUGCAAUCAUGGUCAAAUAGAGUAAAAAAAAAGUAUCAUUUUCUCCACUGAAGAAAGUAAAAAUGCCUUCUAAGCAAGCUUGUUUAAGUGAUCAUACUCUCACUGUUUAUCUGAAUCUAGUUAAGCAUGUUUGCUACUUAAUUCUCCAUUACGUGUUGUGUAAAAUGAGCAUGCGCAAAAUGAUUCUCCUGGAAAAUCAAGGGGAAAUCUUAGCACAAAAACACGAUCAGUUUAGCUUUUAAAGAGUCAAAGAAAAGCUCUACAAAUUAAGCUUCAAGUUCACAUUCAGCAUAUACAUCGCACAUGAAAAGCGAAAAGAAAUGUAGAGAGAAAAAAAAAACAGAAAGGAAAUAUCUACUGCUCAGAUUUCAAAAAUGCUGAUGCUUGAAUUUUAGAAUGCUCAAGUGGGGAAAGUUUUGCAAUCUACAAUCACCAGUGAAGAAAGGAGAGACCUGGCUGCAGGCAUUUAGAUGCUAUUAUUGGUUUCAAGCAGUAUUGAACAAAAUCAAAACGAACUCAAUCGGAUACAAGACAUGAAUCUAUGUCCCAGGAAAGCUGUUCAAGAGAUGUUAUACAUUCCAAACUGCAGUAUAUCAGUCUCAUACAUUAACUCCAUAAUAAACUAUUUAUUUCCUCAUCAAAACAGCUACUAUAAUUCUUCAAGUUACAAAUCUGAAACCUUGAAACUAACCUAGUCAAUGGAAAAACAGAAGAUCAAGAACAAGAUAACACCCUAUUGCAUAAACUCAAAGGGAAAAAAUUACAAGGAAGAAAACAAUGCAAUUAUUUAUAGUAGUAUAUCUGAAAUCGGACCAGGAGCGCUUGAUUCCCCAUUAAAGAAACUCACAGGAGUAUCAUGGCUGUUCUUCUCUUCAAAUUUGAUCCAUCAGAAGAAGAAGGCUACAAUAGCUUCCAAAUUUUUCCAAGUAACCCUGGUGAAUAUGCUGGACUUGGAACCUGGAACCAUUGAAUAUCCUCAUAUUUUGUGCUGUAACCACUGUUCUGAAUAAGGAAAUCAACCAAUACUUAUCUGAAGUCGGUUACAAAAUGGACACUGCAUUUAUAAACAAGACUGUAGGGGGGUUGUGGGCUAGGGCACUUGUAAAAUUGCAGAGCACGCAUACUGUAGAUAUAUUUAUCUUAUAUUCCCGCAUGCAUCUGGGACUCCCUUUAAGGCACUAGUUACUUUUCCACAAGACAGUGAAAGAAAGGUGGGGGGACGGUU